RNAcentral lists this long non-coding RNA (105757 nucleotides) under Malus domestica (apple). RNAcentral's name for it is "long non-coding RNA (MDOM_LNC011874)". Lineage: Eukaryota; Viridiplantae; Streptophyta; Magnoliopsida; Rosales; Rosaceae. The record is from RNAcentral.
GUUCAAGCAUCUUCAUCCAAGGGUAUGUAGUUGUUUCCAGUAAUUUCUUUGUGAAGUUGCAUUUCAGGGUAUUAUUGACUCUGUUUCAUCAGAUCAUGUUAGGGUUGCCAAUGUUAGAAGAUGUCAAUCCAGCUUCACGUUUUCCAUCCAGCGCCAUUGGUCACGAAGCUGCUUGUUACAGCCGUAUUUGGAGUGAGGUUUGUCACCCAUCCAUUAUUGAAAAUAGUAAAGCAACAUAUCCUUGUUACAUCGUUUCCCAAGUUUGCAAUAACAAUUGCCAAUUGUGGUUGUAUUGCCCGAUUCAAUGGUUACGUUUGAAGAAUUUCAUCCUUAUCAUCCGUGAUUCUCCAACAACCAGCGCUGAUGCCUCAAAUGUUUCUUGUAGGUUUUUGCGGCUGAUAUAUUUGCUUCAAAGUUUCAUGAGAGUUAUCUGAACCAGUAUGUUGGCAUGCAGUUCAGAAACAAGGUAAAGAAGUUGCUCGAUAGAGAGAGAAGUGUUGCCAAUUUUGAUUUAAUUUCUCCAUCUCCUCAUACUCGUUAAUCUCCCUCAAAAUCUCUUAAUUAAGAUCGAAGUAGUCUAAUCCCGUUUGGUUUAUUUCGUUAUUAUUGUCCUUGUAGGUACUGGCCCCAGGAGGGUCAAGGGAACCCAUUGAACUGUUAACUGGCUUUCUUGGGAGAGAACCAUCAAUUCAAGCUUUUAUCGACAGCAAAUCACAAUACCGAUUGUGAAUGCAGACGGAACUUUGCCUACCCUAUUCUCCGAUAAGGCAAGAUCAUCUUGCGGUUUUGGUUUCCGGUAACAUUAUUCAGUAUCACCUCUUGUGUUUUUCGUCAAUCUUCGCAGCGUUUGCAGCGGCAACGAGUUUUUCUGUUGAGGUUAGGGCUAGACUUGCGGUUGUAGGUUGCUUAAGUUUAGAGCAUUGCAAUUUUGGUCGCUCCAGAAAAGCCAGCAACUGUCGUUCUUGUAAUUAUUCGUCUCUCUUUAAUAUGGAAGACUUGUUACUUAAGCCACGACCCCUUCCUGUUCAUAACUAAAAACUUAUUUGCAUUCUAUUGCAUUCAAAUUAAUCAAUAAUUUAGUAUUUAGUAUUUUAAAAUGUGUUGAUACACAAAAUCAGUGAAGACUUUGGAACAACGUAAAGUGUCAAGUUUGUGACAUUCGUUCGGUUGCUCCGGUCACUUAGUGAUGAUGAUGUGUAAAGAGGUAGAGAUAGAGAAGCAAACACAUAAUGUACGUGGUUCGUCCCAAGUCCGACUACUUUCACGGAGCAGAAGAGUUCUCAUUAAUAGUGAAAGGUUUACACAAAUACAUAGGUUUAAACAUAAUUAUCAUUAGUGGGUUUUAAUGACUAGUUUAAGUACAAUAAUGACAUUAGAGAUUCAUUGUAGGAGAAUGAUCUUUUUUUAUAGUUAAGCAGAGUCUUUAGCUUUUGUCCGCGGUCGAUGUGAGACUCGAUGAGUUUUAUUAUGAUGUUGACAUGUGUCGCUCUAUGAUUGGCCUUCUGGUUGGAGGGAAACUCUUGUGCUUCAGUAGCGGUGCUUCAACAUGAACCCCUCAGUGGAUUCUUGAAGGUAUGAUGUUGACUGGUGUUUAGUAGUUUCGAGAUUGAUAAAGUAUGGUACAAACAAAAUGAAAAAAUUAUGGGCAUUAUUAGAAUUUAAUCACAACUUGCCAUGUCUGACUAUCCAGAAGAACACCUCGUGCUUGACGGUUGACUUGGUGUAGCACUGUGAGUUGAAGAUUGAAUAUUUCCUCCUACUCCCGGUCUAGGUGUCAGAACACGGGAAAAAUGCUGUAUGUCAUUAUACAAGUAAAGAAAAACUUGAAAAAAAAUAAUAAUUUGUAUAACAACAUAUGACUACCUUACAUUUCGGCACAUUGAAAAAUUACUUUCCUUUACUUAUACAUAUGUCAUACCGUUUCGUAUUCUUGACACGUUUGAAAAAACUCUUUCCGCCACUCUUUUUCUCUCUCUUGAGAUAGGUGAAGUAUAACUAUGUGACAAUUAUUUCUUGUUACUUUUUUCUUUUUCAUUAUAAAGAAUUCUAUGGUGUUGGGGAGACUAGUUCAUCAUGAAGUUGGACUUUGGACGGCUAAGAGUGGCUCGUUCUGACCCGCACAGCGAAAUUAGGAAGCAACAUCUCAUUCUUGGAUUAGGUUUCUAAGGUUAAAACAUAUACCAUCACUUAGUGCUACGAUUUUAUGCUAUUUUUUUUUAACUUGUAAAUGUUCGAUUCUCAUUAAAGAUGAAUUUGAAUCACAUUUUUAUUAGCUUAUUAUGAGGUCAAGUCUAUCAUCUCUCCUUAGUUUAUACACUAUCAAUUCUAAAAGAAUCAAAUCAACUACCACUUUUUAUUAUUAUUUUUUAUUUUUUUAUAAGUACAAUGAUAUAUAUAAAGGGAGAAGUAAAAAAUGGUGAAACAUUCAUAAUUCCAAAAUUGUCAUCUCCCAUUAAAUAUACAAAUAAAAUAGAAAUUCACAGAAAAAAAAACCCACUCCUGUAGCUAACUUUAUUUUUUUUAAAUAUAUUACUUUAUUUUUCUGUUUUUUGUUUUUUCAAAUGAAAAAUCAAAAGAGUCAAUUGCCACAUGAGUACUUGUGUGGCAAGAUGGCUAGUUUUAAAUUAAGAUAAAUCUAAUUUGAUAUCGAAUUUGAUAGACAUGAAAUUUAAAUCUAAAAUCUUUUAUUUAUAAGUGAAGAAAAAUACUAUCAGAUCAAUAAAUGAUUUGAUUUCUGGUAUCACUUAUUAGAUUAUGUACUUUUAAAAAAAACGACCCAAAACAAUAUCCUAAUUUCAGAAGAAAAAAAAAGAAAGAAAGAAAAAGACCCGGUACGGUAUGGAAUGGGUGCGUACUAAAUAUGCGGGCCCGUGUAUUUUGGUUUUGACUUGACUUUCCAAAGAAGCCCAGAAAGGAGUCGAAGAAAAGCCAGAGAGAGAGAGAGAGAGAGAGAGAGAGAGGCAAAGGUGAAUAUAAACUGAAUUAAUCAAAUCAGCAGUGGAAAAGUAAUGAUAAAACCUCAACAAUUAUUUAUUUGAUUUCUUCGGUCAACAAACUACAACGAGAAUGAAGGUGGAUAAUAACGAAGGCCGAGUCCCUCCCUUGGUAUACUCGUAAGUGUUGUCACCCAACCCUGAAAUUCUUCGUUCUUCUCAUCUGGGUAAUUGUUUAUUCUUCCUGUUUGCAUGUGCUUUUGCUUCUUUUUUUUUCCUUUAAAUUUGUAGCUAUUCAAUUUGUUUUUUGAGCAUUGGGAAAUAAUGUGGUGAUUGCACACUCUGAUUUUUGUGUUUUUCCUCUUUUGAUUUGGAUGAACAGGGCAGGGAGUUGGGAUUCGUGAAUUGAGUCUGGAAAAUUUCUGUUGAUUUUUUUUUUUAGUUUAGAGUGGAUUUUGGCAUCUGGGUUUUGGAUUUUUAGCUGAAAGUUUGAAUUUUUGUGGCGUGUUUUUGUUUUUCCUAACAAGGGCAGAAGGCUAAAGGGGAGUUUGUUUGUUGGGUGAUUGAGAUUGGGAAAAUAAGGGCUUGGUGUGAUCUUUUGUGUUAGAUAAGCGGGUCGGGUUUUAGUUUUCGGAUGAAAAGGGGGGUUCUUGGCCCCCUUUAGUGCAUUGUUUUCAGAAAUACAGGCAUAGAAUUAGCUUCUGGGUAGCCUAAGAUUAUAAUUGUUCACGAAAGCUGUGUGAUUCAGUCGGCCGGGAGUGGUUUUGCAAAAAGCUUUUGGAACCUUAGAUACCGGUGUGCUUUGAGAGGGUGGAGUUUUGUUUGUUUGUAUGAACUAUGUUGAGACAGAUACUUAAUAAGCUUCCCCGGAAGUCUUCUUCUAAGAAAGCUGAGAAUCGUGAUACAUUGUAUUCGAAUGCUCCCACCAAUUCAAGAAGCAGUGAUUUGGGGACCAGUAAGUCUGGGAAUUUGACUACAUCUUUCCCACCAGGAAAUUCUGUUCCAGACACGGUGAAAAGUUACAGCAACAAGAAUGUGAGGGGUGCAAAUUUGAAGCCGAAUGGUUUCGUGCUCUCUUCUUCUUAUGAAGCAUUGCCUGGAUUUAGAGAUGUUCCAAAUGCGGAGAAGCAAAGCUUAUUUAUUAAAAAGGUGAGUUUGUGCUGCGUUGUAUUUGACUUUACCGACCCAACAAAGCACCUGAAAGAAAAGGAGAUCAAGCGGCAGACACUAUUAGAGCUAGUGGAUUAUGUGACUAAAGCAAACGGUAAAUUUUCAGAAGCUCUUAUGCAAGAGCUUGUAAAAAUGGUGUCUGCAAAUUUGUUUAGGGUGUUUACCCCACAGCCUCGUGAGAAUAAAGUUGCAGAUGGCUUUGAUUUGGAAGAGGAAGAACCUUCAAUGGAUCCUGCAUGGCCUCAUUUGCAAGUAGUGUACGAGUUAUUGUUAAGGUUUGUCGCAUCACCUGAGACAGAUGCAAAAUUAGCUAAACGAUAUAUUGAUCACUCGUUCAUUCUCAAGUUGCUGGAUCUUUUUGACUCUGAAGAUCCUAGAGAAAGAGAGUAUUUGAAAACAAUACUGCACCGAGUUUAUGGAAAAUUUAUGGUGCAUCGCCCAUUCAUUAGGAAGGCCAUCAACAACAUCUUUUAUCGUUUCAUCUUUGAGACUGAGAAGCAUAAUGGGAUUUCUGAACUCCUAGAAAUUUUGGGCAGUAUUAUAAAUGGAUUUGCUCUACCACUGAAAGAAGAGCAUAAAUUGUUCCUCGUUCGGGCUCUAAUUCCCCUGCAUAAGCCAAAAUGUUUAGCUAUGUACCAUCAACAGUUAUCUUACUGCAUUACGCAGUUUGUAGAGAAAGAUUGCAAGCUUGCUGAUACUGUCAUUAGGGGUUUACUGAAGUACUGGCCGAUCACUAAUAGUUCAAAGGAAGUAUUGUUCCUAAGUGAGUUGGAAGAAGUGUUGGAAGCAACUCAGCCAUCUGAAUUCCAGCGGUGCAUGGUUCCCCUCUUUCGCCAGAUUGCUAAUUGUUUGAACAGUUCUCACUUUCAGGUAGCGGGUUCUUUCUCUGCUUUGAGUUUUUCCUAUAAGCUGUUUAGUGCACCUUUUCUCUUUAUAACUUCUUUAGUCUGCCACAUGCAUGAUACUCAAGUUGUGCACUUAUUUUGUUCCAAGCAGGAAGACUUCUCUGCAUUGUUAUCUUUCUUGUCCAUGUUAAAUGUGAUACAUUUAAUUUUAAGUGUUUUGCUUGUGUAAAUUUUCUUCUCUUUCCAUCUCUGGCUGGUAAAUUUAGACACCUCAUUAAUCCAAAUUGUUCUGCAGCUAUAUCUUAGGUUCCCAUAUUGUAGGUGAUCAAUUUGUACUUGCCUUUCCGUGUAUGUUGUUUUUUAAUUGAGGGAUUUUUUUACUAUGUUUUUCUUUGUUAAUCGUCAAGUACUAAUUAAGCCAUCUAAACCUUGGAUCCUUUCCACUACUGUCUCUUCUCAAAAAAAAAAAAAAAAAAAAAACCCUGGAUCCUUUUUGUCAUCCAAAGAAAAACCCUUAAUUUUUUUCUAGUUGGAUUUCACUUUGUUAGCCCUUUGCUUUAUUGUCAUUUUAAUAUUAGGACUUUUGUCAAGAAGAUUCAUGUUUGUUGAGUUCUCUUCAAUAAUUUCAUGUUUGGAGGAGAAUGCAUGAAUACUUUCUCAGGUCUAACAAGUGGCGUUUGAAGGUGAGGACGCAAUUUUGGUGGUCCACCUCAGAGGAGUAGAUAAAGAUUGAAAUAAGCUAACAUAAAAUAAUGAAGUAAAAUUCCAUGCUCAGCGAACUUCAUGACCGAUAGUCCAUGGGUUUGCAUGUAUUGGAGAUUCUAAUUAGGCCUGUACAAAAUUAGGAAGAAAUAGAAUAUCACAAGAGUUAAAGCUCAAUCUUGGUAGUCUCUUCGAUUUCUGAGAUCGGCCCUCGUGGUCUCUGAGCAGCCCAGCUUUUGAGAAAGCAAGCGCCUCUUCGAUUUCUGAGAUCGGCCUUCGUGGUCUUUAAGCAGCCCAACUUUUGAGAAAGCAAACGUCUCGUGGUCUCUGAGCAGCCCAGCUUUUGAGAAAGCAAACGCCUCUUCGAUUUCUGAAGCUCCGUCGAGUGCAGAUUUUUAUCGAGGCUGGCAUUAAGUUCCAAAGCACACUUGAAUCUCCACCAGUAGAAGCUCCAUUCUUGCACUUCUAAGAUCUUGAUUUGUCCGACCUCUUCUCUCUUCAACACCUUUGAAAAUGUCUGGCCCCUCCGACCGUCGUUUUGACUUGAACCUUGUUGAAGAGGCAGCCACGCCUUCUCCAGACAACAUAUGGCGCCCAUCCUUCGUCUCCCCUACUGGUCCUCUUACUGUUGGGGAUUCCGUGAUGAAGAAUCAUAUGACCGCUGCGGUAGUGGCCAGGAACCUUCUCACUCCCAAAGAUAACAGACUACUUUCCAAACGGUCUGAUGAGUUGGCUGUUAAGGAUUCUCUGGCUCUCAGUGUUCAGUGUGCAGGUUCUGUGUCUAACAUGGCCCAACGCCUAUUUGCUCGAACCCGCCAAUUUGAAUCAUUGGCGGCUGAAGUGAUGAGUCUCAAACAGGAGAUUAGAGGGCUCAAGCAUGAGAAUAAACAGUUGCACCGGCUCGCACAUAACUAUGCUACAAACAUGAAGAGGAAGCUUGACCAGAUGAAGGAAUCUGAUGGUCAGGUUUUACUUGAUCAUCAGAGAUUUGUGGGUUUGUUCCAAAGGCAUUUAUUGCCUUCGUCUUCUGGGGCUGUACCGCGUAAUGAAGCUCCAAAUGAUCAACCUCUGCUGCCUCCUCCUUCUAGGGUUCUGUCCAGUACUGAGGCUCCAAAUGAUCCCCCUCCAGUGCCUGCUCUUUCUGGGGCUCUACCGACUGCUGAGACUUCUCCUAAGCAACCUUUGUGAAGGCUCCCUCUUGUUUGUUUAUUUUGACUCAUGUAUAUGUACAUAUUUGUGACUUAUCGGGGAUAUCAAUAAAUAGCUUUCCUUCAUUUCAACGUAUUGUGUUGAAUACACCAAAGCCUUCUUCGCUAAGUUCUCUGAAUUUUCUUUUGUUGAAGCUUGUAUGUUGAAGCUUUGUGAGUGGAGCAUGUAGGUUGGGGUAGUAUUCCCUUAAUUUCCCGAGUGAGGAAAACUUCUCGGUUGGAGACUUAGAAAAUCCAAGUCACUGAGUGGGAUCGGCUAUAUGAAUCUUUGAACGCCAUUGUGCUCGGUCCUGUGUCAUGUCCUCCGUUAGAUCCAAGUACUCUAAGUCUUUUCUUAGAGUCUCUUCCAAAGUUUUCCUAGGUCUUCCUCUACCCUUUCGGCCCUGAACCUCUGUCCCAUAGUCGCAUCUUCUAAUCGGAGCGUCAGUAGGCCUUCUUUGCACAUGUCCAAACCACCGUAACCGAUUUUCUCUCAUCUUUCCUUCAAUUUCGGCUACUCCUACUUUACCCCGGAUAUCCUCAUUCCUAAUCUUAUCCUUUCUUGUGUGCCCACACAUCCAACGAAGCAUCCUCAUCUCCGCUACACCCAUUUUGUGUACGUGUUGAUGCUUCACCGCCCAACAUUCUGUGCCAUACAACAUCGCCGGCCUUAUUGCCGUCCUAUAAAAUUUUCCCUUGAGCUUCAGUGGCAUACGGCAGUCACACAACACGCCGGAUGCACUCUUCCACUUCAUCCAUCCAGCUUGUAUUCUAUGGUUGAGAUCUCCAUCUAAUUCUCCGUUCUUUUGUAAGAUAGAUCCUAGGUAACGAAAACGAUCGCUCUUUGGUAUUUCUUGAUCUCCGAUCCUCACCCCUAACUCGUUUUGGCCUCCAUUUGCACUGAACUUGCACUCCAUAUAUUCUGUCUUUGAUCGGCUUAGGCGAAGACCUUUAGAUUCCAACACUUCUCUCCAAAGGUUAAGCUUUGCAUUUACCCUUUCCUGAGUUUCAUCUAUCAACACUAUAUCGUCUGCGAAAAGCAUACACCAAGGAAUAUCAUCUUGAAUAUGUCCUGUUAACUCAUCCAUUACCAACGCAAAAAGGUAAGGACUUAAGGAUGAGCCUUGAUGUAAUCCUACAGUUAUGGGAAAGCUUUCGGUUUGUCCUUCAUGAGUUCUUACGGCAGUCUUUGCUCCUUCAUACAUAUCCUUUAUAGCUUGGAUAUAUGCUACUCGUACUCCUUUCUUCUCUAAAAUCCUCCAAAGAAUGUCUCUUGGGACCCUAUCAUACGCUUUUUCCAAAAUCUAUAAAGACCAUGUGUAAAUCCUUUUUCCCAUCUCUAUAUCUUUCCAUCAAUCUUCGUAAGAGAUAGAUUGCCUCCAUGGUUGAGCGCCCUGGCAUGAACCCGAAUUGGUUGUCCGAAACCCGUGUCUCUUGCCUCAAUCUAUGCUCAAUGACUCUCUCCCAGAGCUUCAUUGUAUGACUCAUUAGCUUAAUACCCCUAUAGUUCAUGCAAUUUUGUACGUCGCCCUUAUUCUUGUAUAUAGGCACCAAAGUGCUCGUUCGCCACUCAUUUGGCAUCUUCUUCGUUUUCAAAAUCCUAUUGAAAAGGUCAGUGAGCCAUGUUAUACCUGUCUCUCCCAAAACUUUCCACACUUCGAUUGGUAUAUCGUCUGGGCCUACUGCUUUGCUAUGCUUCAUCUUCUUCAAAGCUACAACCACUUCUUCCUUCCGGAUUCGACGAUAAAAAGAGUAGUUUCUACACUCUUCUGAGUUACUCAACUCCCCUAAAGAAGCACUCCUUUCAUGUCCUUCAUUGAAAAGAUUAUGAAAAUAACCUCUCCAUCUAUCUUUAACCGCGUUCUCUGUAGCAAGAACCUUUCCAUCCUCAUCCUUGAUGCACCUCACUUGGUUUAGGUCCCUUGUCUUCUUUUCCCUUGCUCUAGCUAGUUUAUAGAUAUCCAACUCUCCUUCUUUGGUAUCUAGUCGCUUAUACAUAUCGUCAUAAGCCGCUAACUUAGCUUCUCUCACAGCUUUCUUCGCCUCUUGCUUCGCUUUUCUAUACCUUUCACCAUUUUCAUCGGUCCUAACCUUGUAUAAGGCUUUACAACAUUCCUUCUUAGCCUUCACCUUUGUUUGUACCUCCUCAUUCCACCACCAAGAUUCCUUUUGGUGUGGGGCAAAGCCCUUGGACUCUCCUAACACCUCUUUUGCUACUUUUCAGAUACAACUAGCCAUGGAAUCCCACAUUUGGCUAGCUUCCCCCUCUCUAUCCCACACACAUUGGGUGAUUACUUUCUCUUUGAAAAUGACUUGUUUUUCUUCUUUUAGAUUCCACCAUCUAGUCCUUGGGCACUUCCAAGUCUUGUUCUUUUUUCUCACUCUUUUGAUAUGUACAUCCAUCACCAACAAGCGAUGUUGAUUAGCCACGCUCUCUCCUGGUAUAACUUUGCAAUCCUUACAAGUUAUACGAUCCCCUUUCCUCAAACAACAACAACAACAACAAAGCCUUUUCCCACUAAGUGGGGUCGGCUAUAUGAAUCCUAGAACGCCAUUGCGCUCGGUUUUGUGUCAUGUCCUCCGUUAGAUCCAAGUACUCUAAGUCUUUUCUUAGAGUCUCUUCCAAAGUUUUCCUAGGUCUUCCUCUACCCCUUCGGCCCUGAACCUCUGUCCCGUAGUCACAUCUUCGAACCGGAGCGUCAGUCGGCCUUCUUUGCACAUGUCCAAAUCACCGGAGCCGAUUUUCUCUCAUUUUUCCUACAAUUUCGGCUACUCCUACUUUACCUCGGAUAUCCUCAUUCCCAAUCUUAUCCUUUCUCGUGUGCCCACACAUCCCAGAAAGCAUCCUCAUCUCUGCUACACCCAUUUUGUGUACGUGUUGAUGCUUCACCGCCCAACAUUCUGUGCCAUACAACAUCGCUGGCCUUAUUGCCGUCCUAUAAAAUUUUCCCUUGAGCUUCAGUGGCCUACGACGGUCACACAACACGCCGGAUGCACUCUUACACUUCAUCCAUCCAGCUCGUAUUCUAUGGUUGAGAUCUCCAUCUAAUUCUCCGUUCUCUUGCAAGAUAGAUCCUAGGUAGCGAAAACGGUCGCUUUUUGUGAUCUUCGCUAGAUUGCUCCGGUCAUUAGUGUAGAUAAGUAUAUAAAUGGAUAGAGAUAGGAAAGCAAACACAAGAUGUAUGUGGUUCACCCAGAUUGGCUACGUCCACGGAAUAGAAGAGUUCUCAUUAAUUGUGAAGGGUUUACACAAGUACAUAGGUUCAAGCUCUCCUUUAGUGAGUACAAGUGAAUGAUUUAGUACAAAUGACAUUAGGAAAUAUUGUGGGAGAAUGAUCUCGUAAUCACGAAACUUCUAAGUAUCGGAGUGUGGUGUCGUCUUGACUUGCCUUAUCUGUCUCAUAGGUAGAUGUGGCAUCUUCUCUGGAAGUACUUUUCCUCCAUCUAGGGGUGGUAUCUUUAACUGGUGGAGAUGCACAAGGUAAUGUAUCAAUUUCACUUGAAGCUUACUUGUAGUUUCAGGCUUGGUCAAGCGCGAUACAAACCAUGUAGUAGGAGUCCCCCAAGUCGCCGAGCUAGGGGGUCUGCUGAAAGAGGUGACAGACAAGGUAAGCAAUCAGAGCUCCGACUGAUUGUUCACCUUCUCCCCAUCUUGCAAUAGCAUAAAGGAUAAAGAGAAGAAAAAUGAGAAGAGAUGAUAUGAGAUACUUUUGCUUUUGAAGAAGUAACUUUCCACAGGCUUAUUCUUGAACUGAGCUGGAGGGUUUUAUGGUUUCCUCCAGAGUAUAAGGCCGACUGAAGAAUUUGAGGGUCAAAACAAGUCCAUCAAAUCUAGAGUACGUUCCACCCUGCUGAUAUGGGAUACUUUUGCUUUUGACAGAGUAAUGGAUGUAUCGGCACGUGUGCUGUUACGCUUGUCUCCACAUGCUUCCUUGUAUCCUUCGCACUUGCCCUAUCUGUUCCUCAAGCAGGUGCGGAAUCUUCCCUGGAAACAUAAGCUGUUGAAGAUGAGUACUCGAGAGCAAUGCCAGGUAAGUAAUCAGGUAAGGGGUUCCAGGCAGUCAGUUCCUGGCUGGAAGCUUGAUUCCAAGUGCUGACUGAUUGCUCUCUUUCACCUUGUCUUGCAGGUAAAAACAAGGCCAAAGGAAAAGACAGGAAAAAAGCAUGAUAUGGGAUACUCUUGCUUUUAACCCUGAUGAUAUGAGAUAUUCUUGCUCUAGUAUAGCUUGUUUGUAGAGGUAUUAUCGGGGGGAAAGAAAGCUGAAUAUUUCGAAAGGCUUCGUUGGGAGUGCCCUCUCAGAUAUGAUGAAGGGUUGAGCAUUUUUGCAGGUCUGCCUGUCCUUUGGGGAUGGAGGUCGACAUAUAUAGGAGUCUCCCUAACAACAAGUAGUAAUGCUAUUCCUUUACCCUGCUUGGUCAUAGCACGAUAGUGGGAGCUGUCAGUUUCACAUGUUUUAACUCUGUCAGAGCACUUUGAAAAAGUGGUCUGUGGUAUCUGGGUCUCGAGAUUCGGAGAACAAUGCCUCUUCGAUUUUUGAGAAAGCAAUCAUGCUAGGGGUCUGGCUCUCGAGAUUCGGAGAGCAGUGUCUCUUCGAUUUUUUAGGAAGUAAUCAUGUUGGGAGUCUGGCUCUCGAGAUUCGGAGGGCGGUGCCUCUUCGAUUUUGGAGCAAGCAAUCUUGUUGAGAGUGUUGUCUCGAAUGUGAGUAAAGGUUGGGCAUGUUUGCUAGUCUACCUUGCCACGAAGCACAAAGGUUGACACACAGGGACUUUCCAAUUAUCCAGCAAUGGUACUGUUCCUUUACCCUCUCUUCGAUUUUGAGAAAGUAGUCAUGUUGGGAGUCUGGCUCUCGAGAUUCGGAGGACGGUGCCCUCUUCGAUUUUGGAGCAAGCAAUCUUGUUGGGAGUGUUUUCUCGAAUGUGAGUAAAGGUUGGGCAUGUUUGCUAGUCUACCUUGCCACGAAGCACAGAGGUUGACACACAGGGACUUUCCAAUUAUCCAGCAGUGGUACUGUUCCUUUACCCUUGUGGGUAAUAAUAUGGUAGCUAGACCUUCAAAAUUUAUGUGUCUAAACUUUGUUAGUGCUGUUUCUUUGCUAUUCUUUUACCUUUCUUGGUCAGAGCGAUGUAGUGGGAGCUGCAAGCUUCACGUGCUCAACUUUGGCAGAGAACUUUGGCAAAGUUAUCUGUGGUACCCAUGAGCUGUUGUUGCGUGUGGGAAGUGGGUAAUUGAACAGUAAGAUUCAUGUGCUUUCUACUUCACCAGAAGUCUUCAACAGAAUGCCCAUAAUUUCUGCAAAGCUGAGUGUGCGUGUGACAGGUGCUGACAAGGCUAGAAAAGUAGGUGCCUCUUCGAUUUCUGAGAUCGGCCCUCGUGGUCUCUGAGCAGCCCAGCUUUUGAGAAAGCGAGCGCCUCUUUGAUUGAUUCGGAGAACGAUGCCUCAUCGAUUUUUGAGAAAGCAAUCAUGCUGGGGGUCUGGCUCUCGAAGAUUCGGGGAGCAGUGUCUCUUCGAUUUUUGAGAAAGUAAUCAUGUUGGGAGUCUGGCUCUCGAGAUUCGGAGGGCGGUGCCUCUUCGAUUUUGGAGCAAGCAAUCUUGUUGGGAGUGUUUUCUCGAAUGUGAGUAAAGGUUGGGCAUGUUUGCUAGUCUACCUUGCCACGAAGCACAGAGGUUGACACACAGGGACUUUCCAAUUAUCCAGCAAUGGUACUGUUCCUUAGGUGAUCACAUGUUUUUCUCUCUUCUUAAAGAAGGUGUCUCCCUGCCCACGUGUCCAUUUAAAUCUCCUCCUAUAAAUAACUUCUCCGUCUGAGCAAUUCCUUGCACCAAGUCUCCAAGGUCUUCCCAAAAUUUCUCCUUCGAACUCAUAUCCAACCCUACUUGAGGUGCGUACGCACUAAUCACAUUGAUAAGUUCUUGUCCUAUUACAAUCUUGAUUGCCAUGAUUCUAUCUCCUACCCUCUUGACAUCUACAACAUCUUGUGUCAAGGUCUUGUCCACGAUGAUGCCAACACCGUUUCUCGUUCUAUUUGUGCCCGAGUACCAAAGUUUAAACCCUAAGUUUUCUAGAUCCUUUGCCUUAAGACCAACCCACUUAGUUUCUUGUAGGCACAUAAUAUUUAUCCUUCUCCUCACCAUAACUUCCACUACUUCCAUAGAUUUUCCCGUUAAGGUUCCUAUAUUCCACGUUCCUAAACGCAUUCUACUCUCCUGAACUCUACCCUUCUGUCCUAGCUUCUUCACCCUCCCCCGUCCAAUAGAAUCAAAGUACUUCUUUUGUGUGUCCCGUGUAAAGUUGAUAGGUGCAUAUGCUCCCAAACAACUUUGAGUGAAGUCGUUCGAAAAGAAGUUUCUAUGGCCCCCUUGCUCAUUUAACACUGCAUCCGGGUGCCUAUAGAGAUACAGCGACCCUUGCUCACUUAUCACUGUGCUCGGGCCACACAGCGCGCCACUUACGGGUGACGCCCUAGCUUUAGCGCGAUUUCGUUCUGAAUUCAUUUUCAUAAGGAUUCGACGUAACUGUGGAGUGCCGGCUAUCGACUACCUGACGCCCUCCCCCUCCUCCUUUACCCGGGCUUGGGACCGGCCAUGUAAGAUAAACUUACAUAGGCGGAGUUAGCUAACAUAAAAUAAUGAAGUAAAAUUCCAUGCUCAGCGAACUUCAUGACCGAUAGUCCAUGGGUUUGCAUGUAUUGGAGAUUCUAAUUAGGCCUGUACAAAAUUAGGAAGAAAUAGAAUAUCACAAGAGUUAAAGCUCAAUCUUGGUAGUUUCUCAUAGAUCCCAUGGGCCAAAGAAGUCGUCCUACAAUGCUUGAUUGAUUUCUGUAAGUGUUGGCUGUUGAGAGGAUCUAGAUAAUGUCCCAGGAAAUUUUGGUGCUUCUUGUUUUUCCAUCAACAAAAUUGGGUGUUUGUUGGAUGUUCCAUUUUGGUUACAUAGGAUUUUUAGACUUUAAAGGGAGGAGUCUCAGACGUUUGAAGAGCAUUUUGAAUCUCUUUGGAGUUCUGAUUUUCUGUUCCGCGAGUCAGUCAAGAACAUUAAAACUAGUAUUACAAUGCUCUUACUUAAAACGUAGUGUCACUGUCAAUUCCAUAUGGUAUAAAUCUUGAACUCAAACUCCCAACCAUUUCUUUGGGUAGUCGGCUUGAGGAUAUGAUUAUGUAUUAAGCAAAUUAUGACUCAUCAAUUAAAGAACUACUACAUGAAUUGGGAAAAUGUUUAACCAAGUAUUCAGCACGAAGUAGAGCUGAAGUAAACUUAAGGUUAUGCAUGUGAGUUCUCUUCGCAGUGGACGAGUAAAUGUGAAAUGAAUUCCCGAUUGUAUCUUCUCAGGAAGUUUUAUACUAGCCAAUCAUAUAGAACUUUGACAUUAGUCUCUCAGUAAUUAAUCCUACUUCUGUUUUAUGUCAUGUUUUCAUUGUGAGAAAAUAGCUUAUUCUCGUUGCAGCUUUUGAUUCUUGAAUCUGAUGCAAGCAAUCCUUGUUUUGUCAGGUGGCAGAGAGAGCUUUAUUUUUGUGGAACAACGAUCACAUUGAGAACUUAAUCAGACAGAAUCGUAAAGUUACUGCCUAUUAUCUUACCUGCAUUGGAGAAAAAUGCUAGAAAUCACUGGAAUCAGGCUGUCCAUAGCUUGACCCUAAAUGUCCGAAAAAUUUUCAACGAGCUUGAUCCUGAGCUUUUCAAGGAGUGCUUACUCCAGGUUCAGGAAGACGAGUCAAAGGAGGGCGAGGUUGCCGCACGGCGUGAAUCCACUUGGAAACGCUUGGAAGAAGUUGCUGCAAAGAAAGCUGCGAGCAACGAACCUGUGCUUGUUUUCGGCAAAGCACCUCCCAGCACUACCUCGCUUUAGCCGGAGCAAGAGACUUGCUGACAACACAAUGACAUCAAAUUCUGUUAAUCGAAAACGGGAUUUGUAGCACUGUGACGUGGUUCGGGUGGUUCGGGUGCUUGUUUUCAAAGAUCAUUGUGUAUGUUGUAGUUGUAGCUAGGAAAUGGUUCUGGCAGAUAACCCCGGUCCAAGAAAACAUUCUGCCUUAUUGAUUGUUUUGUUUAAAAGUUAAUUUUCUAGCUCCUCUUUCAUCCAUUUGACAUAACGGGCUCACUUAUUCUCCCAGGAGGAGAGUUCUUCAAGGCGGCCCCAUCACUCGACUGUGUGGCCGAAGACUCAUAGCCGAAAUACAAAGUGUGCUGAGAGAUGUUUUUACCUGUAUCUAAGAAUUUUUUGCCUCAUCAAAUAUAAAAUAAUAACCACCGCUAAUGUGUGAAAUAAGAACUCUUACGUGAGCGAAAACAAUGUUUUAAAAAAAUCACCCCAAGGUGCGCCCUAGGCGGCUUUGGAGGCUGGCUGGAAGGAAAAUCGCCUCUGUUUUGUGGGGAGUCAGCGAAAAACUCAUCUAGGUUUCGUCGGGGCACGUCUCAGGACGUUUGGGGGCGUCAUUUUUGUUUAAAAGUUGUCAAAAUCUGAAAAAUAAAAAUUUAGGUCAAGUUUCAAAACUUUUAGUUGCAGAACCUCAUGCUUCAAGGCUUCCGCCUAAGGUCUUUGUCGUUUGAGUAAGUUGUAGAAAUGAUCUCUUAAUUUUAAUCAAAUUUGAGCAAUGAUCCCUCAACUAAAAAUCAAUUACUAUUGGUCUCUCAACUUAUCAAAAUGUGUAGUUAUAGUCAUUUUUAUCAAUUUUGUCAAAAUAAGUUAUGUUGGAAUAACCAUUCAUAUAAUUAGGGUUUCUCAACUCAUCAAAGUGUGUAAUUAUGGUCAUUUUCGUCAACUACGUCGAAAUUUUUGUCAAAACGAUUUAUGUUGGAAGGACCAUUGCUACAAUUAGGUUAAAGUUAAUGGAUCAUUUCUUUAGUUGAAUUAAAGUUGAGGGACUAAUGAUAAUGAAUUUUUAGUUGAUGGACCAUAGCUGCACGUUUUGAUGAGUUGAGGGACCAAUAGUAAUUGAUUUUUAGUUGAUAAACUAUUACUCCAAUUAAAUUAAAAUUAAAGGAGCAUCGUUCUUGUUUUUUAAAACAUUGAGUGACAAUGAUCAUAAACUCCACUAAAGAUACUGUUCUUUUUUGGAAUCUCUAAAAACAAUAAAAAAAAGUUAGUCAAAUAACAAGGAACGAGGAUCCUCUGGAUCCUUUUGUGAGGAUCUCGGACAUCUUUAAAUUAUAUUUGUUCAUCAUAUAUUAUACAGUCAGUUAUCGUUAAUUACUAUUUAUAUUUAAUUUUAUAAAUGAUUUCUACCCAUAUAAUGCACGAUGAACUGAUACAAUUUAAGAAUAUAAAAAAAAUAAAAACACAAGGAGAGAUUCGUUCGAUGAGUUGGCUGUGAGUUGGCUGACUUUUCUUUCAUGUAGCUCUCACUCAGUCACUUGUGGUGGGAUUAAUGAUCACUUUUCUCGCUCUCACGAUGUGGUGACGCUUAUUUCUAUUGAAUGUGUCAAUCCAUAUCGCUCUCUCUCCCUCCCUCCAAGUCCAAGUUAGAGAGAGAGUUUUUGUUCGAGAGCUUUGGUUCCUUUACCAUUUUCUCUUUUCCCAACUUUUACUUUCUUUCAACACUCUCUCUCAAACGGUGGAUUUUAUGGGGACUGAAAUUGUUGAAUGUUCUCCUGGUCACCUUUUCUACUUCGUCUCUCUCUCUGUGACCCAAAAUUUAAUAGAAGAAAAGCUCUUUGCUUUCUUGCACUGCUUAGACUCCUGCUGAUUCUGUAAGUAUAAAAAUUUCAUCUUUUUACACUUGAGUUUGGUACCCUUUUACUUUUUUGCUCGCACCCUUUUAGAUUUUUUCUUUUAGGCAUCACUUUCCCUUGGAUUAUUUCAUUGUUAAUGAUAUCUGUGGAAUGCUAUCUCUGUGUUUCAGAUCGCACUCAGAUCGUGUCAGCUGCAGAGCUAACUGGGUUUAGCUGCUGAUUUGGUAAAUAUAUCUGUAUGUAUGUAGUCUUCAAGCUGUCCUUACCUGGAAGUAGAUUAAAGACAAGAGCUUUUCUUAAUUUGGGAACUUGUUAUUGGACUUUGGCUUAAAUCAGUUUCUGCUUCUGGGUUACUGAAUUUGACCUUAGAAGGUGUCAAAUUUUUCUACUUUACCGUUAGAGAUGUAGAGAAGUUGAAGAAUCACUAGAAUAUAAUGAUACAUGACAACAAGGGAACUUGCUUGCUUUGAUUAUUUGCUUCUGAGAGUGUAAGUUUAAUCUUCAUAUGGAAAUGGGUGUCUCUAUCUGGGUUUUCGAUUUCUUAUAGUGCCGAUUGUUGCUCAUUGAGUGUGUAUCUGGUUUGAUUCUUCUAUCUGAGGUAUCGAAUUUUCGGUUCAGUUCUGCUUUGAGGGUUUGACACGAUUUGUGGUUGGGGUCUUUUGUUUUUGAAGUCAUGAUCAAGAAUUUAAUUGGUAAGCUUCCUAGGAAGCCGUCUAAGUCAGCCGAGAAUCGUGAAUCUGGGGGUUCAUCUGCCGCUACAUUGAAUGCUUCCUCUAUAGGUUCAAGAAGCGGUGAUGUAGGGAAUAGGCCAAUUAAUUCAAAUAGCGUACCUCUUUCAGGCCUUGAUUCUGAUUCAAAUUUAGGAUAUGGCCAUGGAAGUAAGCUCCCUCAACUUGUCAACUCAAGUCUGAAUUCUGUUACCACUUCUUAUGAAGCGUUUCCAGCUUUUAGAGAUGUACCAAACUCCGAGAAGCAUCACUUGUUUGUGAAAAAGCUGAACUUAUGUUGUGUGGUGUUUGACUUCACUGACCCAACGAAAAAUCUGAGAGAAAAAGACAUCAAGCGGCAGACGUUGCUAGAGCUUGUAGAUUAUGUUACUUCUGCAAAUGGAAAGUUCAAUGAAAUCAUAGUGCAAGAAGUUGUAAAGGUGGUGACUGUGAAUUUGUUCAGGUCAUUCUCUCCACAGCCCCGUGAGAAUAAGGUUUUAGAAGGAUUUGAUGUGGAGGAGGAGGAGCCUUUGAUGGACCCUGCAUGGUCACACUUACAGAUUGUGUACGAACUUUUCUGAGGUUUGUUGCAUCGCCCGAGACAGAUGCAAAGGUCGCUAAGAAGUACAUUGAUCAGUCUUUUGUUCUCAAAUUAUUGGAUCUCUUUGAUUCUGAGGAUCCUAGGGAAAGGGAGUACUUAAAAACAAUUCUGCAUCGUGUCUAUGGAAAGUUUAUGGUGCAUCGCCCAUUCAUUAGGAAGGCGAUCAACAAUAUAUUUUUCCGAUUUAUUUUUGAAACAGAAAAGCACAAUGGGAUUGCUGAGCUUUUAGAGGUUUUGGGCAGUAUAAUCAAUGGAUUUGCUCUUCCGCUUAAAGAAGAACACAAACUUUUCCUAGUUCAGGCUCUGAUCCCCCUUCACAAACCAAGAUGCUUACAAAUGUACCAUCAGCAGUUGUCCUACUGCAUUUCACAGUUUGUCGAGAAAGAUUGCAAGCUUGCAGAUACUGUUAUAAGAGGGCUGUUAAAGUACUGGCCAAUCACAAAUAGUUCAAAGGAAGUCAUGUUCCUAAGUGAGCUCGAGGAAACUUUAGAAGCAACUCAGCCAGCAGAAUUUCAAACAUGUAUGGUACCACUCUUCCGCCAAAUAUCUCGUUGCUUGAGCAGUUCACAAUUUCAGGUAUUGAGCUGGGUCUUCAUUUAAUUUACUAUUUCUUUGUGCUCAUAAAUAUUUGGCCUGUUUGAAGAAACCCAUCUCUCUCUUCCCUUUGCGCUCCCAAAAGUUUUGCAUGUCACCUUUUAUUGAUUCUGAUAAGUAUUUUCUGCCAUUUGGUUUGUUUUUACUCUUGUUUAUAUCUUUGAUCAUUGUCAUUGUAUUUCCUUCCAUAUUCGACUUUAAGGGAAGUUCUUCUGAAAUAUUUACUUUCGACAAUGUUAUCGUUUUAGGGAGGUCAAGCUCACUUUCCAUGUAUAUCCUGACCAAGAACCUUGAGUUGACUGAUGUGUGCUUUUACAGGUGGCAGAGAGGGCCUUGUACUUGUGGAACAAUGACCACAUCGAGGACUUAAUCAGACAAAACCGUAAAGUCAUAUUGCCCAUUAUCUUUCCUGCUUUGGAGAAGAAUGGCCACAACCACUGGAACCAAGUGGCGCGGAGGUUGACGUUAAACAUCCGUAAAAUCUACUCUGACAUUGAUCCUGAGCUAUUUGAGGAGUGUUUGCUCAAAUUUCAAGAAGAUGAAGCAAAAGAGGAGGAGAUUAAAGCAAAACAUGUAGCCACCUGGAAGCACUUAGAAGAGAUUGCUGCUUCUAACGCUGUUAGCAGUGAAGCAGUUGUUGGCCGCUUGGACCCAACCCAGACAUCUCCAAGCUAAUGGUAGAGGGAUAUACUUAUGCAGUUAGAAGUUCUCAUAUUUCUGUUUUGCUGCUUUUUCUGAUCGUUGGGUGGGAGCAUUGCGUGGCCGUGUGCUGUGAAAGGUUGAACACUAUUUGAUAGUUGUCCAUAGCCUUUUCUGUUUUUCCCUCUAUUUCAGCUCGUCACCCCUAACGUUUAGAGAAACGUUCCACAGCAUUGAAGUUCAUGAUUCUGGGAUUUUCACAGAUACCAUUUGCACGAAACAACACAACAGGAGUUAGAAGCUGCAUUAUGUAUUCAGCACGGUGAACAUAGAGGUAUAGUUGAUAAGGGUUAACAUGAAAGAAGCUACAAAAUACAGGUAAUUUUAUUCAUUUGGAGUAGAUUUAAUUGGUUUGAAGUACUUAACUACUUAGUCUCGUUUCUGUAUGUGUAUAAUAUCUAUCCAUGGAUCUCAGAAAGAAUCUGUUUGCGUGUGCUUUUUUUUUAAUAUAUUGAUAUAUCUGAUUGGCUUUAGUUGUGAUGAAUGUUCUUAGGCCCUAACUCAUCAUUAAAAUGCAUUUACUGGACUUGUACUUUCGUCUACAUGUUCCUGAGCAAAUGAUGAUAAUUUACAAAUGUGUAAACUAUGAACAUCAACUAGUUGAACCAUAGGACUGGCUGGAAGACAUAAACCCAGUUACAUAGGCUUAAGAGCUUGGUGCCACAGAAACAAAUUCUAGGAGCUCGUGAUCACUUUCAAAUUUAGCCAUGUCUUCUUCGUCCAAGGUCACCCAUGCCUCUAUUCCGUCACCCGAGCUACUACUCAACAGUAUGACAACAUUCUUGAUGGGCACAUUACUAAUGCAUGCCCAGGUGGGUUUUCCCCAUCCAAAAUCAGUGUUGUAUAGGGAAAACCUAAUCCAACUGCUGAACCUGAAAAACUCAACCUCUCCUUCGGAGACCAAUUCACUCGUUUCUUUUAGAGGCUCACAAGCAUGUGAAAACCCGUCUUCACCUUGCAGUUUCCUCACACAAUCAUCAUCGAUCUUCCUUAUUACUUUUCUUAAUUGGACCACGAAGUCAUGCAACUCUGGUUUGCUUUCAUCUUUCAUUAUGGAUGCAACAGCAACCCGCCAGAUAUUACCAAAAGAAUGCUCUGGCAAAGGUGGAGCCAUUCGUUCCCUUAAAUACCCCACAUGGGAUAUCGCCAUUGAUGGCCUGCCCCUACCCAAUGUACCAAUCUUUGCGUUCAUGCUCGACUUGCAUAUAAGGGCUGUCAGAGCUUCCACACGAGUGGGAGCACGGCCGUCCGUGCACAAUCCCUUGGAUGCUUUGACUUUCAGCUUGGCCAAGCUGGAUGCAUCAAACACAAACCUCUUUGUCACGAACUUUUCUCUCUUGAUCAAAUUGGAUGGCAUGAAGAUUUGUUUGUCCCUAGGUGGAAAGAUGUUGGCUGAAUUUAGGGAGGGAGUGAUGUUUUCAAAAACACCGCGUGACCUUGUAGCCCAAGCAUCAAGGAACGAAGACAAUGUUGCACCAUCUGCGAUCUUGUGGGAAAGGCAGAUUACAAUGCCCAUGCCACCGCAGUCAAAGAAGUUCAAUUGAAUGGCCAUGGCUGCAACUGCCUUGUCCAUUCUAAUAUUGUAGGGAUCAAGUGGAAGAAGUUGUUGCACUAAAUCCAUUUCUGGAAUUUUUAGUAUCUCAGAGAGCUGAAUGUUAGCUCUAGCUCUUGCGAAGGCAACAGCUCCGUCUUCACAAUCCACGGAUGCAUUGCCCUCAAUCCUUCCGGCCAAAGGGUAGAAACCGGUCAAGGUUUCCGAUAAAGAGUUAUUCAGCUUAUCAACAAUGGUGGUAUCGUCAAUGUUUUCAGGAGCUGAGUAGAAAAGAAUGACUGGCACAUAAAACAUGGGAGCUAUCUGCUCUAGCAAAGAGAGUUUGUAGCUCUUAAGGUGGUCUGGAAUCGGAGAUGAUGGUUUGCAUUGAUCUUCAGAGACUAUCUCAAUCUUCAUCUGCAUUUUCACUUCUUUUUUUUUUCUGUUAAAAUUGCAGUUACGGAGAAAGAGAACUUUGAGAUGAAGAUUAAGAACUAAUUACAGCAAGAUAAACUGAUUACAGUUAAUCUGUUUUCAAAACACUAUUUAUAAGCAGCUAAUCUAUUGCUGAUAGCUACGCUUGCCAAACCUAACCAUUUCAAUUUUCAACCAACUCCUUGUUGAGCUUGGAGAGGAUUUGGAAACUUGUUUAAGCUACUAGAAAUUUGGAAGAUUUAGGGUUGGUUUGGUAUUGCUUCGCUUUGAAAAAAAAAAAGCUACUUCUACUGUGCUGUGAGAAUAAGCAGCUGUGAAAUAAAGCAGUAGGGUGUUUGGUAAACUUUUUUGUAAAAGUGCUUUUGAAAAGAAAAAAAAGCAGUAUUAUAGUGUUUGGUAAACUUUUAUGUAAAACAGAUGUGAAAAAAAACCGGUUUUUCAAGGCUGGGUUUUGCAGCUUUGUGUUUUAGUUUUUCACCCAAAACUGUGAAAAAAGCUGAAGUUGAAUGUUUACCAAACACAAAAAAACUCCCAGCUUUUUUUUAUACCCACUUUUUUCAAAAUCACCUCAGUACCAAACGAGGCCUUAACUGGUCAUCCAAUGGAUAUUUACACGUGGCGUUGAUUGAUCGAUUGCUUGGGAAGCAAGAACGUUGUAUCACCAUUGUGUGAUGCAUUAAAAUUUCUUGGUUAAUGUCAAUGUCACGCAUUAAAAUUUCUUGUUUAAUGUCAAAGUUACUGCUAGGUAGGUGAUUAAUGUCAAUGUCACGCAUUAAAAUUUCUUGUUUAAUGUUAAAAUUUCUUGGAUAUGCUCUUAAUAAACAUAGUGAAAGCCAAGAAUCAGAAUAAUUCCAAUAUAAACAUAGUGAAAGCCAAGAAUCAAAAUAAUUCUAAUAUAGAAAUGUUUGGUUUGAUGUGGUUUCGAGUUUGGUUUGGUCCCUUUUUGUGUAUAUUCUUUACAUAUGUUAACUGGAAAAAAAAAUCAUGGAAAGCUGGGCAUGCUUUGCUUUGGCAUGAUGAAAAAUGAAAGGGAACUUUAACAAAAAGUUUUCGGUACUGUUCAUUUUAACGAAAAACCACAUUUUUACACUAAAAAUUUUUUGAAUGGUCUGUUGCUCCUGAGUUGCUUGCAUUUCUUGAAGCGGCAUAUCUUCGUAACACCUGAAAGCAAAUGAAAUCUCUAGAGUAAAUAACAAGCAAAAAAAGCAAGUUGGCGGCGUGCAGGACAUGCUUGCCGCGGCAUAGAUGAUGUGACAUGCUCACAUAUUACGCACAUAAAACAACUUUCUUUUAAUUUUUUAUCAAGCCAAAGUGAUAAAUAUAAUUUGGUUGAAGAAGACAUACAUCUUGUGGUAGGCUAACGCUUGUGCCAGAUUCAUUAGAGUUGAACUUGUAAAGAGCCUUUUGUAAACACAUGGAGGGAGGGGCAUCUGCAGCGCAUCAAUAGAUAAAAAAAUGCUGAGAGAGAGAGGGAGGGAGGGAAUGCAGAGAGAGAGAGAGAGAGAUUUGACCUCGUUUUGCCCUCUUCGUCCCUUCUUAGACUGUCCAUCACCAGUAAAAAGCUCCUGUAGUGCCUCCACGGCUACAGAUCCACUAUUAUCCUGAUGCAUGCCUCCAAGAACAUUGUCUGAUAAGAGAGCAAUGGGGGAUAUAUCGGUUGCCCUCAAAAAUGGAAUAGGCACUGUAUUACCAGCUGCAUAUAUGGACCAAAGCUGCCAUGAACAUGAAAAUAAGCAAUUAUAUACUAGUGUUGAGCCUGUUGACAACCCGGUAUUUUUUUAGGAAGGGCUGGUAUUUAAGUCAAGGGGUUGGGAUAAUUUUAGAUUAGUGAUAAGAGAGGGAAUUAGGGAUGCCCCUUGAGGAGAAGAAAUGAGGAAGGCAUGUCCCACUGUGAUAGGGACCUAUCAACAGGCAAGCAUAGACCUCAGAGCGAAUAUUACCUUAUCUUGCAUUGCAAAAGCUUUCCGGCUGACAGCUUCAUUCUUCACUUUGCCACUGCUUAUACUGCUUGGACCUCCAACCUGGACUUGAGAUGUGCUUUUUGUCUUUAUGCUCUGCUCAGAUGCCUGUAGAGUGUGCGUAACUGGAAUGCCGUUUUUGGUAAUACUACUUGAAUUUUCCUCCCUGAUAGAGCAUCAUCGUAAAUGUUGGUAUCGUCAAUGGUGGUAUCGUCAACAAUGGUGGUUUCUGAUAAAGAGUUCUUCAACUUAUCAACAAUGGUGGUAUCGUCAAUGUUUUCAGGAGCUGAGUAGAAAAGAAUGACCGGCACAUAAAACAUGGGAGCUAUCUGAUCUAGCAAAGAGAGUUUGUAGCUCUUAAGGUUGUCUGGAAUCGGAGAUGAUGGUUUGCAUUGAUCUUCAGAGACUAUCUCAAUCUUCAUCUGCAUUUUCACUUUUUUUUUUUUUUUUCUGUUAAAAUUGCAGUUACGGAGAAAGAGAACUUUGAGAUGAAGAUUAAAAACUAAUUACAGCAGGAUAAACUGAUUACAGUUAAUCUGUUUUCAAAACACUCUAUUUAUAAGCAGCUAAUCUAUUGCUGAUAGCUACGCUUGCCAAACCUAACCAUUUCAAUUUUCAACCAACUCCUUGUUGAGCUUGGAGAGGAUUUGGAAACUUGUUUAAGCUACUAGAAAUCUGGAAGAUUUAGCUGGUCAUCCGACGGAUAUUUACAUGUGGCGUUGAUUGAUCGAUUGCUUGGGAAGCAAGAACGUUGUAUCGCCAUUGUGUGCUGCAUUAAAAUUUCUUGGUUAAUGUCAAUGCCACGCAUUAAAAUUUCUUGUUUAAUGUCAAAGUUACUGCUAGGUAGGUGAUUAAGUUUUAGACCAGGAGAGUUGCGAGGGUGAUAAAACUGUUGAUCAACCUAUGGAUUGCGAGAUUAGGGUUGAACAAGUUUUUUAACCCAGAAGAAUAUGGAAUUGGGUUUUCUUGGGUUGAAGAGUUAUUUGAAGUGACCAUGGCAGUUGUAGGGCUUGGGCUGGCUAGGAUGUGUUCCUUUCAUGUACACUCGUAUCGUGUUGGGCAAACAAGCCGCUGACGGGGGAUGACCCGUUUGAAAUGCUUUUAGGAGAAGAACUUCUACUUCUAAGCGCUUUUAUUAUAAACACUUUUUUAUUUGAAAUGCAAGUGCUUUUUGGACAAACACUUAAAUUGUUUUGAUAAUACCAAAACACUAGUAAGGUUUUUUUUCCACUAGAGCCGCUUUAAGUUUUUAUUUUAUUUUUAAAGCGCUUUAAGAUUGCAGGGGCUUGUAACUCAGUUGGGGUAGGAAUGUAGGAAGGUAGGAAUGUGGGUUUUUACACCAAUCUUAAUUAUUGAUGGCGGCGAAUUCCGAGUCAAACAAAUUCAUGGUUUAUAGGUAUCUCAUUAUGGAUUAUAGCGAGGGAGCUACGUGUGACCUUUUUUAGUAUUUUAUUUUUAGAAAGUAUAGGACAUUUUUUAAAUUUAAAGAUUCAUUUUACAACUUUGUUGUAGCACAAAAAAAAAUCAUACGUGGCACUUCAAAUUUAGUUUUGUAGACUCUUGGAUAUGCUCUUAAUAAACAUAGUGAAAGCCAAGAAUCAGAAUAAUUCCAAUAUAGAAAUGUUUGGUUUGAUGUGGUUUCGAGUUUGGUUUGGUCCCUUUUUGUGUAUAUUCUUUACAUAUGUUAACUGAAAAAAAAAAUCAUGGAAAGCUGGGCAUGCUUUGCUUUGGCAUGAUGAAAAAUGAAAGAGAAUUUUAACAAAAAAACCUCUGGUACUGUUCACUUUAACGAAAAACCACAUUUUUACACUAAAAAGUCAAUUAUGUUACUAUUCACUUUACCCUUUAUUUUAUCCUUAUCAUUAAAACUCUAAGCUUUCAAGCCUUUUUCAUUAGUUUUUCUAAAAUUUUAAAUGAUUCAAAUCUGAGAACUUGUUUCUGAGAGGAAGGAUGCAAGAAGUUUGGAUACAGGAGGACGGCCCUAACUAGCUGAGCCUAACCAACAAACUGCAUUCGCAUAAUACAAACUUAAAAAAACCAAAAAAAAAAAUAAAACAAAAAAAAAAAAAAAAGGGGCGGGAGAUUCUUUUAAGUAAUUAUUAAUCCAAUAAUUGAGAGGGAAACAAGUUAAGAAACAAGCUAGACUAGUUAAAUAAAUAGGCCCGAUUGGAUUAUUAGUCCCUGACAGGUGAUAAGAUAGUUGGAAGAUAGUCUAUGUGGUAAAAAACUUAGAAUUUAAGUUUUGUGAUGAAAUCUGUUAGGAUUUAUACCCAAAAUGAAAAUUCCGUUAACUUUCCGUUAAUUAUUAGCACGUGAGUCACACAUAUUAGGCUAACACAGAAUUUUCCGUUAAUUGUUAGCACGUGGGGAUUACAUGUGAAACUAACUUUAUAUUUUUAGUCUCACUAGUGAGCCUCAUGUGCUAAAAAUUAAUGGAGAGUUGACGAAAUUUUCAAUUUUGGGUCUAAAUCCUAACCGUCUUCAUCACAGAGGCUUAAAUCCUAAUCUUUUCAUCACAGGGGCCAUCUUCCAACUACCAUAUUCCCACGGUAACUAUUAAUCCAAUUAAACCAAAUAAAUACCAAGGCAAUUAGUAUGGACGAUCAGUUUUUGAUAUUUUGUUGCAGAAAAGAUCAAUGUCUAUUAUGUUAUUAUUAUAUCAUCCUUACGUGGUUGUUAUGUCAUUGUUGAGUUAUCAAUAUAUAAUUAAAUAUGUCAUCAUUACUAAAGCUGAUCAUUUCUGUAACCAAAUCUCAAAAGCUGAUCAUUCCUUCUAACUCCGUUAAAUAUCGUGUACAUUGAUAAGUACUCUUAAUCACUUGAACUAUAAAUACCUAGGCUAGUCCAAAAUAGACAAGAAAGUACUUUAAAAUAAACAAAUAUUUCCUAAUCACCACCUUAUUUUAGUUACCCGUUUUAGGUAGUCUUUAAUUUUGUCCUAAACGAUUAAGGUACCUUAUGUUUUCCUAGUCAAUUAGGGUACUUUUAUACUCACUAUUUAAAAACACUUGUGUGCGUGACUUGUUUUUGGGAUCCAUCUUUUUUAGUUGAUCAAACUCAAACAACAAUCGUUCUAAACGCAACGAAGAUCUAACUAGCUAGCUAAGCUUCUAAGCUUCAGAGAUAUCAUCAUCUAUGGCAAUGGCACCCAUCAUCACCGGCUGUCUCUCCAUUAUUUUUGGUCUGGACUCCUGCUUCUCCUUCUUUUUAACGGCUUUCCUCACCCACGAGACGUUAUCCACAUUCGACGAAAACCCCUUCCUAGAGUGCCCGUGGCCGUGGCCAGGCGAGAUUCCUCCUUCCGGUUUGGAUCAAUAUUAUUAGCGUUCCAUGCUUCCAGCUGCAAUUUUAAACUACGUACGUUCUGUAUUGCUGUACAAGAUAUUAUUAAUUAAUGUUGUUAAAUCAGCUUAAUUAGUGUCUUUAAUUUCUAUGUGUAUACCCAUUUUCUUCGUUUAUAAAUUUAAUGUAUUACGUAGAAUUAUGAACUUGUGUCGCAUAUUAUGCCUCAUGCAUAUUAUGUAAAAAAAAAAAAAAAAAUAGUUCAAAUCCACCUUGCUCAGACUCCCCGGUUAAUUAAACAUAAUAAUUAAGGAUUUUGCAUGCAGAAGAAAAGAAAAUUAAGAGCUAUAGCUUAUCAGUGUUUAUAACUAGUAACUACUAUGUACACCUUUAAUUAACAUCUCCCAACUUAAGCUUCACCAAACAAAAUAUGAUCAAAUCUAUCACCUUUCACUAUACACCAUCUGGUCUGACACAUAUACUUCAUAGGAAAGUAAUAUUUUCGUGUAUACGUACAUGGAAGGUAUAAAUCUAGGUACAGUAGCUAGAAGUUUGAUGUUGUUCAAGUUAGUAGAGUUCAUGUUUGCUUACCACCAACUGCUAUAAAUUAAAGAACAACAUGAACGACUAUUAACAUAUCAAACAUGCACACGACAAGGUGGCUAAAUAAUAACCGUACUUGUAUAUUAUUAGGCACCCAUAAUGUUGAAUUUUUUAGGUCGAUGGGUCGAAUGCCCCACUCCAACAACACCGAUACUGUCCCCAACGUGAUAAUUACCAAUUGUCCAAUCCAUCAGGUGUGGGGUUUUAUCACAAAAGACUUCGAUGUUAGUUAGAGUGGGGUAAUCCUAUUUAAAUAAAUUGCUUUUCUUCUUUCCCUCUAGCCGAUGUGGGAUUCAACACAUAGUACUUUAAAUCAGCUCAUCUUGGGGAAGAGAUCCUCUCCAUAUCUCUCCCACCAAAGCCACCAAGUCCACUCAUCCGGGCCCUUGAAAUUUGAUCCAACGAUUACAAACAGGGAGCCCCUUAAAAGUUAUAAUAAUUUUAGCCGUUGGAUCAAAUUUCAAGGGUCCAGAUUAGUGGCUUUGGUGGGAGAGAUCUCUCUUCCCCUCAUCUUGUACCACUAUAUUAGUGACUAUCGAUCUAUUUUCUUGAAGUAACCACUUUAAUGAUUUUUUUUUAUUGGAUGAAUUUAAUUUUAAGUUAUAUCAGUUUCAUCCAUCACUAGUACAUAACAGCAUAUUUACCACAUCAAUUCCAUCACGGGCAUCAACAGCUCGUGGUAGAAACUAUAGAAAACUUCAUUUUAAUCCUUGGCAAAAAUGAUUUUUUGAUUAAAACCAUGAGUAAGAUCAAAAUCUAAUUUUAGUCCCUUAAUACAUUAAUAGCCUCAUUUAUUAAUUAUAUUUUGAUUUUUAAUUAUUUAUCUUUUUCUUUCUAAUUUUUAAUGUAUUAAUUUUAUUUCAUUAUAAUUUUUAUUUUCAUUUCAUUCAUCGUAAUAUAUUUUGUUGUGAACAUUUAGAUAAACUAAUUUUUGUUAUACAAUAUAUUUCGAUGUACUUUAUCUUCUUCAUUUAGGUAUAUUAAAUUCAUUAUAAUACAUUUCGGUGCAUACAUUUAGGUACACACAUUUCGGUACCUACAUUUCGAUACAAACAUUUAGGUACAUUAAUUCAAUAUAAUACAUUUUCGGUACUAACAUUUCGGUGCAUACAUUUCGGUACACACAUUUAGGUACAUUAAUUUAAUAUUAAAACAUUUCGUUGCAUAUAUUUAUGUACAUACAUUUUGGUACUAACAUUUAGGUACAUUAAUUGAGUCUUUUAAAUUUGAAGAAUGUUAAAUAAAAUUAAUAAAUUAAAAAACUCUUUUUUGGUCAAAAAAUAAAUUAAAAUUUGUGUAUUAAUAAAUUUAAAUAUUUAAUGGGAGACAUUAAAUAAAAUGCACAUUAAUUAUUUUGAAUUAAGGACACAUUAGGGACUGAAAUCAAUAUUUAAUCUAACACCAGUUUUUUUUUAAAUUUUAAUCUUCUUGAAGGAUUAAAGUUCAAAAACCCCUAGAAACUAUUCAAUUACCACGGUUAAAUGUAGCUCGUGGUAGAUAACAUUAAUUCACCACGGUCAAAUUCUGGUCCGUUGUUAAAAGUAAAUAAUCUACAACGGUUUUUAAUCCCGUGAUGAAAUAUCAAAACCACCACGCGAUAUGCUCGUUGUGGUUACUUCAAACUACCACACAGCCUUUUGAAAAUUCACCACGCCAUCGGCCCGUGGUGGAUUUUUUUUUUUUAUAAAUAUUUUGAAGGAUAUUAAAAUAUAAAAUCCCAAUUAUUUCCCCUCCCGUGAAACUGUGAAACUGGACGAAAACCCUAAAAAGAAAACGUCAAUCCUUCUGUUUCUCCAUCUCUUCCGUCUCCGCCGGCUGGUCUCAGAUCAAUAUUCUGAUUUUUCUGAAACGAUGACAUUUAUCAACUGAGGUUAUGAAGGCUUUACAUAUUCCUAGAGGAGUACGUCGUGUGCUUUUACGAACAUCAAAUACUGACAGGUAAUAUAUUCGUUGUAUUUUUGUUUUUUUUUACUCUCGUGUGUGAAUCCACAUCGGGGGAAGUAUAAUGUUUAUAUUCUAUAUCUUUUCCAAUGUACUGCUGACUCCAAUUUACAGUGCACAGUUUGUAUUCUGUAUUUUUAUUUUCUUUGGUCGUCUCUCCAGUCAUCUCUCCCUCAAUCCGUGGCAACCUCUCUACAUCACUCAGGUUUCUUUUAUCCUAUAUCUUUUGAUUUCGUUUUCUUGUUAUGAAUAAGCAUUUAAAUUAUCAUUGAUCAUCGAACUUGGAGAUGUGUAUGCAUUCUUGUGGCUUACAGCUUGCAAAUUUAUCUUCCAGCAUUUCGCUCUCACACAUCCAUCCAAAGGCACACACUUUUCACAUCAUCAUCGUAAAUAUAUAAUUUUGAGUUGAGAAGUAUAUUUUUACUAUUUUGUUCUUCCAAUUCAAUAAAAAAAUUGUAUUUCACGCCCCAAAAUCAACCCCAUGUUACGAGGAUUGUGUCAUGGAGCACACUUGCUUGAAAUUAGGUUCCCUAACUGCAUGUUUUUACUGUUUUGUUCUUCCAAUUCAAUAAAAAGUUUGGAUGUUGCAGCUACUGCUGUAUAUACAUAUAUAUAACAACAACAUUCAAACUAGUAAAGAGAAGAAUGAACUUCUAUAUAUAUUAUCAAUGUAGUAAUGAAUAAAUAGAGAAUAAAUGUAUACAAUUAAUCUGUUCAGACCAAAAACAAUGUACAAUCUUUAAAGGCCAAACUGUAUCAUCAAAGUUGAUCAACCUCUUCUUCCUUAAGUUUUGGUGUAAUAUUGGAAAUUAGGUGUGUAUAGUGCAGUAGUAAUCAAAGUAAGAAGGGGUGCCCUUAAUAUACAUAUAUACACGCGCAUAUAUAUAUAUAUAUAUAUAUAUAUAUAUAUAUAUGUAUGUAUGUAUGUAUACAGCACGAACCAGUUAUAUAUAAGGAAAAAAUAUAUGCAGUAGUAAUACUUCGAUCAAUUGAAACUGCAAAUUCGACUAUACUAGUGUAAAUGUUGUAAAGAAAAUGCUUGUUCACUUUUUUUAUAUAAUAUUUUCCUGCUAAUUCACAGCAAAUGAUCUCUUUGCUAAUUCACAGAAAAUGCUUGUUGACUUCUUUUUUUAUAUAAGAUUGAUUGCUAAGAAGAUGGUUUCUAUGUGUCUUGUUUGUAUGAAUCGUAUGUACUAGCAAAUGGUUUCGUGUAUGUAUUAAUUUGAUAUUUGUAAUUUAAGUUUUGAUACAAGUUAUACUUGAAUAAAUAUAUAUAAUAUGUGUGUAUGUGUGUGUGUGUGUAUAUAUAUACAUAUCAUAUUUUAGUAUAUUUUGCCAUUAAGUUGUGAGUUGUGGUUAUUUUAGGAUUACUUUUGAGAAGCAUUGUUGGAAACGAUCAUUGUCAACUAUCUGAUUGCAAUGGACAAAGAUUGGCUAACAUUUUCGAGGUAUAUUAUCUGCCUCAAUGAAUUUCAUUUUUGACAUUGAUAACUAGGGUCUGUUUAAAGUGAUUAAGAUUUAUUUAUAAUACAGACCAUCAACAGAAUACAGAGAGGGUGCACAAAAGUUUGUACAAGUAGCUAAAGAAUAUGGAGGAAAUCGAGAUAAGAUCAUUUGCCCGUGUAUAAUAUGUCAAAACCAAUGUUUUCAACUACCUACGAUUGUGUAUGAACACUUGAUUAUGAAUGGAAUAGAUCCUUCAUAUACUACUUGGGUGUUCCAUGGUGAACAAGAACCUAUUCUUCAACAACAUGACUAUGCCAACGUGACAGAAACAUAUCAGAUGUAUAGGGAUGUCUUGGCUGAAGAUGAUGGAACCGGAAAAGCAAAUUUGCUAAUUGGAGAUGAGAAUUUCAAACAAAAGGUUGAAGAAGCUGAAGCUCCUUUAUAUGAAGGUUGUACGAAGUACACAAAGUUGUCAGCAACUGUAGUUUUAUUCAUUUUUCUUUUAAUCUUGUAAAUGAUUUUUAAAUGUAUAGGAUGACAUUAAGUUGGCUAAUGAAAUGCCAACAACAGACAAUGGUUCUAUAAAAGAGGAUGCCUUAUCACAAGCACUUGGACCUGAACAUCGAGGUCGACUUCGAGGAGGUGGUUACGGGGUUACACCUUCUAGAUACAAUGCCCAAACAUAUGCCAGCAUGAGUAAUCGAGAGCUUAGAGACCGACUACAAAAUGUCGAAGGAAAAUUGCGGGAAGUGUUUGAUCUUGUGUUGGCUAAACAACAAAAUGAGGUAAUUAUAUAUGCAACUUUGUAUAUACUUAUAAAAAUGAUAAAAGAUUUACGGCAUAUCACUGCAGGGAAAUAUAUUCUAACUUCUAAUCAUAUCGCUGCAGGGAAAUGGUAAAGAAACUAAUACCAAUGAUGCAAUUCAAGUCUCCACAAAUAGGCCUCAGGUAAAAAUGUGUCAUUAGUAAAUAUAGGUAUUUUGUUGAAUCUGAAACUGAUCAACUUCUAUUUCUUACGUAUUCACUAGUCACAGGGAGGCAGUAUAGAUCUCCAAAGAACUAAGAAUGGUGUAAAACAGGUUACCAAUUCCAGUUACCAGGUUUCCAGAUCAUCUCCCUAGGUAUGAAACUGAUUUUGUUUAAGUUGUCUCGAUGUCUUCAUCAUUAGAUAGAAGGAAAAUAGUGAACGUGUUCUUAGGAAAACUGAUAUUUUCUAUAAGAUGUAUGUGUGUGGCUCUGUAAGAUAUAUGUGUAUGGUUGUUUUUUUCUUCAAAUCAGAAUUAAAUGAAAACGAAAAACUUCUCACCAUAAAGUCUCUAGCAUGUAUUGUUCCCAUCUCCACCAACUGACCAUUCUCUAAUCCCAGUUGUUUCACUAUGUAUUCUUUUGCUCAGCCAAUUUCCAUCUUUGUGGCUCCAUUGGCGGCAGAGCAAAUUUCGUUUUUGUUAUUAGAUAUUAGAUUUUUUUUGUUUUGUGAGGUCAUUCCUGUGUACAAAUAUACUAAGACAUAGCAGAUGUUGAUAAUUAGAUUGUUUUUGUUUUGUUAUUAGAUACAAUGUGAUAGAAGAAGUGCACGAGAAGUUGACGAUGCUUCUAGACAAGCUUCCAAAGCUAGUUCCCAGGUAUUCGAGAACAAGUACUAAAUAGUUUGCUUAUGAAACUUAUGAGAUUUUGAUAUAAACUGAUCGAAUUUUGUGUCUUCCAUGUUUGGUUGUCACAGAAAAGUAGUCCAAACAUACAAAGAGACAUCAUUAAGGGAAAAGAAGGUUCUAAAGCCACUUCUCAGGUAGUAACACACGCUUGAUAAUAAUUGUUAAAGUUUGAUAACUUAAUCAUUUAAAAUUGAUGUUCUUAUUUGAUUUCUUUAUGCUAGUUACAACCUGUUGGUAUUUUACGAGGGUCUUCAUGCAAGUUACUAAAUUGGCUCGGAAAUGGACAAGUUGUUGCAACUGGAGAAAUAGAAUCAACAAAUCCUGAGGCGAAAGUUCAUCACAUGGUGCUUGGUCCUGAUUGUUGGAAAGUUUGGGUAACUGUUGUCAGAGUGGAGAAUAUAUCUUUGUACCGCCCUACAAGUGAAUUUCGUGUCCUGGAGGAUGCUAUAUCUAGUACAAUUGCCUGGCCAUCAAAGUACGUCCAAGUUGGAGAGUAAUUUUAGUUCGUACUUAGACUAGAAAAUGGUACUUUGGCACUACAUGGAUAGUACUUUAUGACUUCCGUUGUUUAUGUAUUCAUUAGGCACUACAUGGAUAGUACUUUAUGACUUCCAUUGUUUAUGUAUUCCUUUGGAAACUCAAGUAUUUUUAAAUUAUGUUAUAAUAAUAUCAAGUAUUUUUUAUGUAGUUAUUAUAUUGUAGUAAAUAUGCAAUUUUGUUGGUUAUUCUGUACUAAAAUAUAUAAAUACAGAUAUAUAUAUAUAUAUAUUUGUUAAAUAUUUUUUUUUAAUUUUGGAAAAUAAUUUAUAACGGGCAUUAGCUGUGGUCAAUUAGUAAUUGACAACGGUCAUAGCAUGUGGUGUUAGAUCUCAAUCUAUCCCGGGUACAAUCCGUGGUUAUAUUACAUUUGACAACGGUCAUAGCCCGUGGUAGAAACUAAGACUUUUUAUCACAUCCAGAAUACUAACGGGCACAGUGUCCGUGGUGGAUUGCAAUUUAUCACGGGCAUUCACCGUGAUAGAUGAGCUUGGUAAAUAAAUAAUGUCACCCUUCCUACCAUCGAGUUAAGACGUGUACUCGACCAGAUGCCAACUCAGAUUACAAGUCAGCAGAGCUGAACAGGGACGAAAGCAGCUGUUCAAUUCAUGCAAUGGUUGGGAGGAAGAAAACAUCAGAAAUAGAAACGUCAAAGUUGGCAAAAAGCCAGUUUAUAUUUCCCUUUUUGUAUUCCUUGCGAGUUUAGUUAUCCUUGUUUAGGUAGGUAAGCCUCAUACUUUUCUCCCAGUUACUAUCGGAAUUUACACUUUCCUAAUCAGUUAGAGAUAUAUAUGUCACUAUUUAAACACACUUAAGUUGUUUAUGUCACUGUUCUAUCCUCUACACGAUCAAUAUCAGUACCAGCUAUCAACAAACAACAGCACUUACUUCCCAGUACUGUAACGAAGUUCUAGCUAGCUAGAGAUCGAGAUAGCAUCAUCACAUUCAACAAUGGCAGCAAUGUUCACAACAUAUUUUUCCAUUCUUUUUGGUCCCAACUCCUGUUUCUCCUUCAUGCGAUUAGCUGCGCUCUUCGUCCACGAGUUAUUAUCCAUCGUCGACGAAAACUCCACUGUUGGGCACCCGUGGACGGGUUUUUAUCAAUAUUUUUAAUGUGUGUGCGAGCUGGAGUACUCCUUGGGCUUCAAAGCAGCAGGCACGCGCUUUGUUUACGAAGGCAAUUUGUAUGGUUAUGUAAUUAACAUAAUAAUAAGAUCAUGUUCAGUUUAACCAUAAUUUAUCUGCAUCGUAGAAUACAAAAGACAAUAUGAAAUGAACGUCUAUGUUCAGUUUAACCAUAGUUUUCUCGAACAAAUAUAAAAACAGUGAACAUGGGAUAUGCCAGUUAAAAUUUGGUGACUUAAUGACACUGGUAUAAUGCCACAUGGUGUCAAUAAAAUAAAAAUUUGUGAAAAAAUUUGUGCACACGUCCUUAUUAAUUGGCACGUGACGUCACAUGGACACAUAAAGCAAAAUAAUAUAUGUGCAUGUACGUAUGUAUGCAAAAUUACUAAUCUUGGUUUCUAAAGCAUGUGGAAAUGAUGUUGCAAGGUAUUAAAGCUAAUUAAAUAAACUGAAAAUAUGACUUUAGUCCUUGCAACUCAAUUUUCUCCACUUAAAAUCCAACAUAAGUUUUUUACUCGAAUAACCCAUUAACUAGAUUCCAAAUAAGCAAAUUGAUUAAUUAUGUUUGAGCAGCUCACACAACCUUAAUCUACAAGAAGUUGAUCUCUACCUCUGUCAAACCCUUGUGGUCCAAGCAAUGGAAAUAUCGCAAGUUUAGCCAACAUGGACAUAGCAAGAAUUGGCUUAAUCCACAUCAAGUGUUUCUAGCAUUGGUUAUUCUAUACAGAAAUCUUGGUGUAAAAGGUCAUGAUGUAAUCUGAAUCCUUAAUACGUGGAAAUUACAAAAUAUCUUGCCCCAUUUUUUUAUGUCUAAUGUUUACUUCGAGUUUCUUUACAACUCAAUAAGUUUUCAAAUGUGUUGAUCUCUUAAUUAGCUAAAACUGUACAAUAUAAUUAGGUAAAUAGCAUUAUUGUGUAACCCUAAAUCCUAAUCCGGCCCUGAUUUGCCCCGUUGACAGUCCUGCAUAUAUAAGACAUGAAACUCAAAUUUGAUAUUUGGAUUCAUGAAUAAGGUUAUCUUAUACCAUGGAAGUUAUAUAAUGAUUUGGGAAAACUCUUUGGAAUUUCUGAAACGGAGGAUUUAUAGAGGAAUAAAGAUUAAUCUGAAACCAAUUAAAGAUAGCUAUAUAUAUAUAUAAAUACAUAACAUAUCAUCAUCACUUCUAAAAUAUGAUCACUGUAUGCGUGUGUGUGUCUAUAUAUCUUUCACGUCGUUACCAGCAUUCCCAACUAUGCAGCUCGAUAUAUGUUUGAUUGUGAUUAUCAAGCAAGAAAAUCGCGGUCUCAUUUGCUUUCCACACACAAUUUCCGUUGCAGUAAUCCAUUAAAGCGUAUCUAACAGCAAAGGCAUCAAAUCUUUUAUGUCCUCGACUCCAUCGUGUGUCGCAAAAGAAGAGAGUACUUCUCCAAAUGUUUAUGUGAAACUUCCAACUGAACUCCUGGUUCACUGGGAUAUUUCGAUCCCCUAAAUCAUUUUCCUUGGAUUUACAAUGAACUUGCAAUGUCUCGCUUUGGAAGCCGUUGACGAUAUGCACCCGAAUCUUCUCGAAUGCCUUAUUGUCUAGGGCGGAUUGGCUCGUCAGAAGACCGAUAAGCAAGAAGAAGAAAAUGGAAAUGCAGGUUUGGCAAAGUUUCAUUUUCAUUAGGGUCGAUGCUAGUUUGGAUGAAAUAAUGUGCUUCUGAUUCUCUCUAGCUUUGCUUAUAAAGUGAUUAAAUUUAGCGCGGAACAGUAACAUUGACACAUGAUGCAUGCCACAUGCAUGAUUUGUGCAACUUGGUAAGAAAUUUUUUUAUGCAAUCUCUCUCACAAUACUGUUAGAUUCACAUUAAUGGCGUGCGUUAGUGCAGAGACAAUUAAUUUCCUAGACGGCUUAAAAACUUGGUUUAGAUUACAGAGGAGUUAGUGACCGUUUUGUACUUAAAUAACAAUUAGGUCAAUAACAAUAACAUGUGUUCAUUUGACAUCAGUGUUAGGUGGCUGUUUUAUACUUAAAUAAUGCAAUUUACAUUUCAAAAUAAGGGAUUUUAAAAUAAUGAGAUUAUGUUUAAUUUUCAUCUAUAUAUAGUAACUAAUAAGAUUAUUUUUUAAUUCAACUAUAUAUAGUAACUGUUGAGAUUUAGUCCCACAUUGAUGGGAAGAGGGACCUUGCAUGAGCUUCUAAGAGGUUAGGCUACUCCCCAUAUUGCCAAUUGGUUUUAUGGUGGAACCUCAACUUUUUUCAUAGUAUCAAAGCAGAUUGUCCCACGUGUGAAGCCAAGAGCCACACGCGCUCCACGUCACCUCGUUGUGUUGUGGCCACACGUGCUCCACGUCAUCCUGUUGUGUUGUCCACGUGUUAGGCUUGAAAAUUCGCCACAUGUGAGGGGGCGUGUUGAGAAUUAGUCCCACAUUGAUGGGAGGAGGGACGUUGCAUGGGCUUAUAAGAGGUUGGGCUACCCCUAAUGACACGCCCCAAUCACGAUGUCCGAGGGACAUCGAGAUGGCCACGUGCUGGCCGACACCCAAGGGUGACGAAAGCCAUUUAAUGAAUGCAUAUGCUAAGAACAUGUAAAACAUGCGUAUAAAUUAUAGCAAAAUAAUAAGAUGUGACUAUUCAUUUCUGCGUGAAAAUAAUGAUAGUGCAUGACAUGUUCAGAGCAUACAUCUAAUUCAGAAUACAACGGAAUGUGUUAUUACAAUGAUGACAAAGCAGAGAUAAUGACACGAUAUCACUGGUAGGGGAAAGCUUCGUAGCGCGAAAACCCUAGUUUUAUGAAAACUAAUAGCAUAAUAUGUGAUAGGUUUUUCGAAAACCCUAGCAUGCUAUAAAACCUUUCAUAAAACAUAUCUCGUAUAUAGUGUGCUAACUAUAGUCGACCCGAAGGCCCCUACAUCACCCGACCCGAAGGCCUCUACAUCACUCGACCCGAAGGCAAAUAUAUAAAUAUCAUCGCCCAUUGGCAGAAUAGUGACCACUAGAUGUGCACAAAACCAUUGAAUAUACUCUUUCCAAACAUAUUUACAUAUAUCUUAAAAGCAUCUUCAUAGCAUAUAGUCAUCCAUCAUAUAUACUACAAAGAACAUAAGUUCGAUAAAAUAUGGUAAUCCAAAAUAUUUGCAGUAAAGCAUAAUAUCUCAUAAAACGUAAUCAUUAAAAUCAUGCUUUUCAUGUAUGCAUUUCUACUAUUAAAACAUGCAUUUUAGAAGGAGUCCACUUACAGAUACUCCGUCGUCAAAGAGCCGUACAAAAUAGGAAUGACGGAAUUGCCGCUAAUAACUGCACCUGCGAUUAACUGUGAAACGGUCGGAGGUGGCCGGGUUUUCACUCAAGGGUCUCGGGGUUAGCCGGAGUGCUUUCUAUGCUUCGUCGUGCCUCGCAGCGACGAGGGAUAGUGAGAGAGGGUCUGCGAGGGUGGUGGUGCUGCUGCGCCGUCGUCGGGGAGCCUCUAUGGGUGUGCGUGGGUGUGUGGGUUCGAUCGGGGAGAGAGAGAGAGAGAGAGAGAGAGAGAGAGAGAGAGAGAGAGAGAGAGAGAGAGAGAAUGUGUGUGUGUUAUGUGAGAGUGAGAGAGAUAAAGAGCUGAGAGAGUGGGCUAAGGGAGAGAACUCAGGGAAAAAAUGAGAAAAUAUAGGGUGAGUGCUUGCCACGUGGCAAGCAGAGGGAGAAGGAGAAUCUAAAGGGAGGGUCCGGAUUGGAUUACGAUAGGGGACUAAAAUGUAACUUUCAUAUGCUUUUAGGGAAAUUAUGAAAUUACAUUAAACUUUUGGGGGUGCGGUUUCACACCUGAUAUUGUCAAUCGGUUUUAUGGUGGAACCUCAACUUUCUUCAUGACAGUAAUAUGUUUCACCGAUUACAUAAGACAACAUAAUGAAUUUGUUGCAUGCACAAUGUUGUGACAUGCCAUAUGUGGGAAUUUAACUGGUGAAACAUAUUCUUUUUAAUUAAAAUUUGUUACCACUAAAUCUGAAGCUAGCUCGUAUAUGAAUGAAACCAUUUAUGUAACACAUAUUUACAUUACAACCAUUGUAACCUAUAUUUACAUAACACAUAUAACUUGCAAUGAAGUUACCACCACCUACUACCUAGUUACUUUACAUGUAGCUGGUCUAUAAUUAAAGCUAAACAUAGAAUAACUCAUAUGACACGGAUAAACGGUUAUGUGACGUCUUAUACAAAUUAAACAACAUGUAAACAUGAUGACACUGUGGCGGUACACCAGUAUUAUGUAAGUCCUCGUAAACAGCAACAAAGAUUUAGCAAGGCUAGCUUUUUAGUUUGAGAAAAUUGAAGCAUUGAUACCCAAAUUUUAGUACAAUUAAGGUUUGGUUUCUAAGUUAAAAAUCUGUGAGUAUUAGUCCUUAAAGUUAUAACAAUGAAGUUUUCUUACUAUUAUUAUAUCAAUUGCACUGAUGCCUCAGGUUUUCUUGCUGAAUUCUGGAGUUGUACUCUGGUAGUUUAGUAUGAUGUUUGAGUUCGAUCUACUCGGAAGUUGGAACUCUGAUUCUCAAGUUUUGAAUUGUAUUGAUCUAUGAAUACUCUUCCAUGGAAGAUGCAAAAUACCUUGAAAUUGGGAUUUUACAUGUUUUGUUGGCCAAAAGUCCAGUACAUACAUGUAUUGGCAUUUUCAAUGAUUACUGGAUGGAAGCUAGAACUGGAAAAAGCCUUGCAGCUUCUGUGACAAAAGGUGGUCCAAAUACAACCAAAUCAUUCGAUAAAAAAAUAAAAGACGACGAAAAUAAUGAGCUUGUUAACUAUACAUAUAUAGUGGCCUGGCAAUUCUUCUUCCUUGGUCUUGUCGUGUAUGAUUGAGAUUGUAUCGCAUAACCAUUGCCAGAGACAGUAGGCAUGAGCAUGGCUGCAACUGAAAAGGCUCCUAUGCUUCCAAACUUCGGAUUUGCAUGAAUUUUUGUAAGGAUGCUAUGUGCAUAUAUGAAGACCUAAAAAUGAACAAUUCGGAUGAGAAUAACGUGUGAUGUUGGCCCAAACGAUAGUUAGUUCCGUAUUAACUUACUAUGAUUAGUGAGAUUAAUAAUAUGAUCAGAUUAAUAUAAAAAUUAGAAAGAGGGUACUACAGAGGAGAGACCUGUAAAUUUCAAUGGUUCAUUGAUGGCUCCACACUUUCAGCUUCAUGUCCAAACUUAAGGACAGAUGUACGUGUUGGCAAAGCGUAUGGGAUACCACUGAAAGGUCACAAGUUUUGUGAAAUGGUGUGGCCAAUUAUUGUUGGAUGAAAACUAGAAAUGGAAGAAGUCCUGUGACAAAAGGUGUGUUGCACUACCUUUGGGAAAAAGAAGUCUUGUUUGACAUAGACUUCAAAUCAGUGAGCUAACUGAUUGUGAGGUGGUUAAUUAUAUAUAUAAUCUUAUGUUUAUUAAAUUAAUUACCCCAUGGGUGACCUGGGCCAUAAACUUGUCUUAAACACCUGACCACUUUUGAUAUAGCUUGCAAGGAAUUAUUGAUCGUGACCAAAUGACCACAAUUAAUUACCACCACCUACUCGUUACUUUAAUGCAGGUAAGCCAAACGGAGAAUAACUCGUUACUCACAUGCCACGGAAAAAUCGUUAUGUGGCAUCUCAUGCAAAUGGAACAACGUACGAAUAUGACGACACCAUGACAAUACGUUCAUGUCAUGUAAGUCCUCAUAAACGGCAACAAAGAUCUAGCAAAGCUAGCUUUUUAGUUUGAGAAAAUUGAAGCAUUGGUUCCUAAAUUUUAGUAGAAUCAAAGUUUGGUUCCUAAAUUAAAAAUCUGAGUAUUGGUCCCUAAACUUAUAAGAAUAUUGAGUAUUUCUUUAAGAUAACUCCGUUAGAACUUUCACCUCUUAUUUGCAAGGUCACAAUAAGUUUUUUGAAAUGUAGUGGCCAAUUGUUACUGGAAGGAAGCUAAUUCUGACUCCUACAUGCACCUGUUACAAAACGGCGUUUGCACCACCUUGGAGAAAGAGACAACCCUAAAACACUUCAGAAGCAAUGUGGCCUUGUGGUAUUGAAUCUUGAAAGGAUUCAAUGUCGUCUGCACCUGUUACAAUAUAUGACCUAACAUAUUACCUGAAUAAAGCAACUACAGUCCCCCAGGUUCGACGAGUCAAUUUCCAUGUCCAUAUAUGGCAUCACCAUCAAGAGCCUGAAACAAAAUUUAGAACUCAUACGAACGAACCUACCAAAACUUUAGAAAGUGGCAUAAACUUUCGUAGCUAUGAAUCUAUACUUUCAAAAGAAAAGCAGACACAAAUUAAGAAAUAAAAUUGAAACUCCAUGUGUUCAUUAAAUUGUUACACAUGUGUACCACAACCAUGCCAGAGCAAAGUUGUGUAGACAAAUGAAAUGUAAAUUUACGUGCAAUGAUCAAAUCUAAAUUUGUAAUGAUAUAAGAGCACCAAGGAAAUUGUAUAACUAAGAAUUAGUUAGAGCGAUUGAAUUGAGCAACACUGAUUCAGAAUAAGCCCAUAUAAUAGGUCAAUAACAAUAUAGUUAGGUAUUUAACAUCACCGUAUAUAACCCUAAACCCUAAUUCGUCUCCUGUUCGCCCCGUUGUCAUCCUUGAUAGCCAUUAAACUCAAAUUUGAUAUUUGGCAUUUUACAUGUCCACUCAAGGUUUGAUGAAUGAAUUAUAGAUUAUCUGACGGUCAUAAUAAUUUAUAUGAAUAUACAUGUAUUUAAUACAAUUACUAUCUGACUGUCGAGAUGGUGUUUGUAUUAUAUACAUGCAAGUAUUGUAGCAAAAUUCAGAAUUAUAUGACUUUUGGGAAAGCGCUUUUGAAUCUCUGAAACAGAGGAUUAAUGGGGGAAAUAAUGCAGGAAGGUCACUGUUAAGUUUUCGGAAAUAAUGCAGAAAAAACAAAAACAAAAAGCUUGUGUAAUUUUGGAAGGAAAUUGAAUGCGUCUCUGAAACGUAGGAUUAAUAGCUAGAAAUUAAACAUGACGACCAAUUAGUAGUGAGAAAAUGGUCUACACAUACAUUAUCCAUCUUAUUUAUAGGUCCAUGAGCAACUUUUCAGACACCAAAAUCCCUCGGACCAAAGAUAAAAGACACCAAACUCCUUCAAAAUUUUCAAAGCAAGUUCCAGAGCAGCGGAAUAUAUAUCACUGCGUCUGCUCCAAAAGGUAAGCCAUAGCCGCUGUUAUAUAAAGCGAAGAUCAUGAUACAUUAGUAGGUUUGUUAUUACAAGAAGUACUGUAUUAUUGUGUUCUGCGUCGUGUUUUCAAUAUUUCUAAACUUGUACCACGCUGCAUCAUGCAUGACUCAUGGAAGUCUUUUUCUGUUGACAGAUUACGAUCGAGCCGUCAUCUUUUCCGAGAAUGUGCAUGUGACCCUUAUCACCAUUGGGAGAGCUGGGUGAUACUGAACUUAAAGGUUCUGAAGUUCGACUUUUCCUUCAGUUGGCCAAUCAACGUUUGGCCUAGAACCUUCGAUCACAAGCGGUGCCUCACUUGGUGUUCUUGUGAAUUGAAGAAUUCUCUCAAUUGAUAUCAUUGAGUUUUCGACAUUGCAUAGAUUCCAAAUAACCCAAGCCUGCAGGACCAUGAGGUUAAAGCCAAAAGUGCCGUUGAUGCCCAUACCCGAACACACUUGUCCAAGGCAGGCAAAAUUCUAGCUCAUUGUUUUCGAGUGUAUUUACUUAAUGUUUAUGCAGUAGUAAUUGAUCAGGAAUUGGUUCAGGAAUGUCUCUUGCAACUCAUCCGACGGUCAUCUAUGUCACUCAUCAACUAGAAUUUUUAGAAGCAGCGGACUUUGUUUAGGUACGUUAAUUAUUGAUUACAUGUACAUUUUUUUUUUUCUUUCAAAUACUCACUUAUCUAACUCAUGAUUAUAAUUCAAUUAUUUAUAUUUAGGUAAUUAAAGACGGUGAACUCGUGAGGCAAAUACAAAAUCUCUACAGCAAGUUCGGACUUGUCCGCAAGAUUCCUCAGAACACACUACUUAUUGCCGUAAUACAAACAGAACUGCUAAAAUAUUACACGUAGAAAUAGUGGAAGAAGCUUCCAUUAACAACAAAGUUGUUAAUAAGAAAAGCCGAGAAGAGGAAGAAGAAGCACACAGAGGACGAGUAAGUGGAGUGUGUAUUCGACAUUCGUGACUCGCGCAUAUGGAGGCACACUUGUUCCUGUUAUCUUGCUCUGUCAAGUUCUCUUCCAGGGGCUUGAAAUGGCAAGAAACUACUGGAUUGUUUGGGAGUCAAAGAAGGAAAAUGGAAUUACCAUAGAAGAGAUGAACUGGAUUUUCGCUUUGUUAUCGGGAGGGAGGGAGCUGUGUCUUCAUCUUACAAAGGGCUGUUAUAACCUCAGCCGUCACCAUUGAAACUUCCCAGCGUCUCUUGCAUGGGUGAUGAGUUCAGUUUUCUGAGCACCUAUGGCGUUUUUUUAUUCCACUCCUUCUAGUCGAAUCCUCAAUAAGGUAAGUAAGAUAUUCUCUAGUUCACAAGUUCAACGUUAGAUUUUGUUAAACUGUUUCGUUGAAUUAUAAAUCAAAUUCUAAGAGUACUCCAAAACAUGGCUUUUCUUGUUGCGUACAUAAACUUAUGAAUAUUACAGUCUUCGACUGAUCAAAGCACAGUGGACAUGGAUAUUCCAUUCAGAUUGGCUGGAUUAGUAUUUGCACUCAUCCAGCUAAUAGGUUCCGUCAUCCUUAUGUCUGUAGUUGCCUGGCAAGUCAUCCUCCUUUUCCUUGUCAUCUUUGCACUCUCCGCGUGGUACAUGGUAAACAAGAAGAGAACCUUAGUUCGUUCCACACUUAAAAUUUCAAUGCAUAAUCUUGUUUCUUGAUAAAAAUUAAACGCAUAAGUACUUUGCUUUGCUUUUUUUUCCCCAGGUGUAUUGCAUUAGCACUGCCAGAGAAUUAUCCAGGAUGGUUGCAAUUCAAAAGGCUCCAAUACUGCAUCAAUUUUCUGAAUCAAUCACGGGGGCUGCAACUAUUCGUUGUUUCAAUCAAGAACAAGAUCGCUUCAUGAAGAAAGUAAGAAGCGUGAUUGAUGAUUUUUCAGGAGUAGCCUUUCACAAUUAUGCAACCACGAAAUGGCUUUCUGUGCGAAUGAACUUUCUCUUCAACUUAGCCUUCUUCAUAGUCCUCAUCAUCUUGGGGACCUUGCCUGCAUCCGCCAUUUAUCCCAGUAAGCCCCCUUGUGUCCCCUAUGUUUUACUAAACCAAGAUUUAAGAGGAAAUGUUAUUAAUUCAUUCAAUCUGAUUGGGAUUAAUGCUUUUGAAUCUCAGGUUUGGCAAGAUUGGCUGCAUCUUAUUGCUUUAACCUCAUGGUCCUUCAGGCUUGGUUAUCUGGAAUCUAUGCAAUGUUGAAAACUCAAUGAUAUCAGUUGAGAGAAUUCUUGAAUUCACAAGAAUACCAAGUGAGGCACCGCUUGUGAUUCAAGGUUCUAGGCCAAACGCUGGUUGGCCAACUGAAGGAAAAGUCGAACUUCAGAACCUGCAAGUUCAGUAUCACCCAGCUCUCCCAAUGGUGAUCAAAGGGGUCACCUGCACCUUCCCGGGAAAUAUGAAAGUCGGUGUAAUGGGAAGGACAAGAAGUGGAAUGUCUACUUUGAUUCAAGCACUGUUCCGAAUAGUAGAACCCUCAGGAGGGAAGAUUCUCGUUGACAGAUUAGACAUUUCAAAAUUGGGUUGCAAGACUUAAGGUCAAGUUUGGGCAUAAUCCCACAAGAUUCAACCUUAUUUCAAGGAACUGCGAGGACUAAUCUGGAUUCCCUGGAGCAGCAUUCGUGUCACAAAAUAAUUGGAAUCUCGCCGAGUAUGCUACAUAGCAAGCUUGACUUGCUAGAACCAACAGCACCGAAAACACUUGAAGUGGAAUAAGCCAAAAACUCCAUGAAUGGAAGUGAAGAACUCCCCGAUUGCUUCUACGUCCAUGCUGAUUAAAUUUAUGAUAUUUCCAUUGCUUGGGCAGGCUAGAACUAAGAACCAAAACUAGUUCAUCAACUGUGUGGUCUUUUCAUUAACUUUUGCUCCUGAAUUUUGCCUAUUGGGAAGCGAUUGUUGUAAAAACUCGAGUUCAGAGUUAAGAUCAUAUUACGGCCUUUUAUCUAAUGUCGAUUAGUUGGGUAUCCCAAUCCAACUCUACUAUUAGUCUUAACUUCAUUGAUUUGUAUGUAAGUUCAGUGCAUAUUACUGCUAUGGUUUUGUUUCUUAGCCCACAAGCAAAGUAGGAAAUUAAUUUUAGACCUGAGUUGAAUAAUAUGAACUUUAUCGAGAAACAAAAUCAUACACACACCAACAACUUGGCAGCUCUCAGUACAUAGAAUUCGUCUCAUAAACCCUUUUACCAAACAAAUUUUGUGUCCUACGUUCUCCAAUCCCUGCAAGGUCUAUGAAUCGCAUCAUUCGAUUCACUUUGGAAUCUUUGGAUCUGAGAAGUAUUUGUUGAUAGAUGGCAUGAUCUGGGGGGCUCUGCUUCGGACAUAUUUCCGGAGUCCAUGUUCUGCGUAUCUCUCACCCUCUGCAUGGUUCUCUAGCACCCCUGCAAUUCUGUUCUGCUUGGUAACCCUGAAACAUACAUAACACAAGAUUAAUCAACACCAUCGAAUAAUUAUUUGUAAUCGUUUCUAUUUGUGCAUACGGGCAAAUGGGUCUACGUACCUGACUUCAGGGUUGGUGGUGAUGUUCCUAACAAGCUGCAUGCCGCAAACGCCAACAGCUAUACCAACUGCAGCAAUAGGGGGAACACCUAUGCAUCCAGGCCAACAAAAAAAAUAUUUCACGUAUAUGAGUGCCACAUUAAUUAGUUAGGGUUCUAAGAAACCAAUAUUCUGACCUUUAAGAAACAUAUAAGAAGUCGAGAAUCGAAAUAAUUCCAGUACCUCGGGCCUUAUCCAUCUGGAGGACGAAGCCAUCGUAAAGCUGUUGAGAGAAACGAAGAAGAAGAGAAGAGAAGAUGAUUGAACAACUGUUCCCUUCUCUUUCUUGGAGGUGGCGUGAGAGACAAGGCAGAGCAACCUGAGUUUUUUUCACAACUAUGAGCUCUAUAUUUAUAACACCCACUAAUUACCCAUUUUUAGAUUCCAAAGAAAAAGCACAGCCUUGACCUAUUUUUAUCCAAAUUCCAAUUAAUUCUAAUUUUUCGGUUCAAAGUUUGUGGCCUUCCCUGUUGAGGAACUAUUUGACUAAGUUUCUGUUUUGGUCCUCACCAUAUUUACAAGUUAAUUGAGCCCCCCAUUUUGGCCCAAUGGACCUAUGGAAGUUCUUUCGUCAUGUCUAAUCAACGAAAUUUUUUUUCGCAAUGGCUCGUUUGGAAGUGUUUUUAAAUUGACUGAAAGUGGUUUAACAGAAAAUAUUUUUGGGUUUUAAAAAGUGCUUGAAGUGUUUCUUACAAUAAACAUCAGUUAUGUGCUUCUUGCAAGAAAUGAUUAACUUGCAUUUUAACUGAGAAUUGAUUUCAAAAACAUUUUUAUGAAAAGUGUUUUCUGUCAUUCUGAUCAGUUAUGUGCUUCUUGCAGAUCGAUAAUGACGAGAAUGAACUCUUGAGUAACAUAAUACGAUAGAAGACUAACAAUUUGAUUCCUCGUCUUCUAUAUUACAUGAGCUAUUCAUGUGCAUAAGAGAAGUACAUCCGUUCUAACUAAUGUGACUAUACCCAAGUGUGCCAUAAUAUUGUCAGAACAAUGCUCAAGUACAAGUAGCACCGUAAUCCAACCCAAAAUCGGAUUGUAUCCCCUUUUUAAAUUAGGAAAACUAAUGAAAAAGACUUGAAAACUUUGAGUUUUAACGAUAAGGACAAAAUAAAGGGUAAAGUGAAUAGUACCAGGAUUGACUUUUUAGUGUAAAAAUGUGGUUUUUAGUUAAAGUGAACAAUAUCAGAAACUUUUCGUUAAAGUUUUCUUUUAAAUUUUGGACUGGCUCAGAGCCCAAAACAACUAAAAAGACUACCUAGCCGAAGGUAUAUCAUCCCUUGCCCUUGCCUAAGGCAUGAUGCAUCCAACAAAGAAGUCACUCGUCGUCACAUUAUCCGUCUUGUCCACAAAUCGAGACCCACCUUCACGUUCAUUGUUGUCAUUUCCUUAUUUUGGACCGCUCCUUUCGGUUUCAUUGAGUUUCCAACUCUCGUAUGCUAUAUAGAACGACACUCGUGUCAUAGACUCAUAAUUAGGGAUGGGCAAAAUACUUAUGGAUUGAGGUAACCGCGGUUACUCACCUAUUUAAAUUUCACGGUUACGGUUAUAGGUAACCGUUGAGACGAACACAAUAUUUACAUAAGGAGGACAAAACAGUAAUUAUGUAAUAUUAAAAAAAAUAUGCACUUCUUAAGAGAAAUUGUUCACACACACAAAGUGUGUGCUCUCUGCUAGUUCAAUUUAUGCAUAUGGGUGUGUGAAAAAUCAUGGAAUGUAAACCUUCUGUUAAUGCAUAUUGAUAAAUGGUGAUACUAACUCAAUUGACUUGGUACUCCGUUUUUGUUUGCUAUUUUUUUUUCCUGAUAACUGAGUGUACAAUGUAAACCUUCUGUGAUCACUUAUCUCUGUUGGAUUCAUGCUAAUUGGUAUCGGUGUUCCUGAAUGAGAUACUAAUUCAAUUUAUACAUUUCUUUUGUAGGCCUCUUUUGAUAACAACGAGUCGAUGAGACUUUGUGAUUGAACGUGCUAAAACAUUAGUGUUCAAAAGUGUUUAGUUUCGGACUAUUUUGGAGCUUUGAAUCAUUUAGUAUUCAAGAUAAUGACUACUUUUUGUUUUUAGAAGCUUUACUUUGUAAUUAUAUGGAUUAUAAUUAAAGACUUGCUUGGGUGUAGCAGAAAAAUAUCGUUCGUAAACUAUUAUUUCAAUUAUUGGAAUUGUAUGAGGACUUAAAUGAUUAAAAUGGGGAAAUGCAUGCUAAAAUAUACCUAUAACGGUGUUUAAUUGUCAAAAAACAAAAAUUAUGACAAAUUUUUCUUUUGUAAUUUUUAAGUUGUUAAAAAAAAACAUGUAGACGGGUGAAAAAAAGGGUAAAUGGAUAAAAAAAAGGAUAAACGGGUUAUAAAACAAGUAAACGGGUAAACGGUUAUGGUUAAAUGGGUAAACGGUUAUGUUAAAUGGAUACACGGUUAUGAGUAUGGUUAACCGUUUAUAAAAUGUUAUGGGUAUGAGUAUAACCGUUUAUGUAAUUACCCAACGGGUAAACGGUUAUGCGGGUAUGAAUAUAAACGGUUAUGGGUAAAUAACCGCGGUUAGCCGCCCGUCAUAACCGUUGCCCAUUCCUACUCAUAAUCCAAGUUGUUGAGAUGUUGCUAUCAAAUUAGGGUUUAUCUAUCCCUCAAUCCGCUCAAACAUCAUGAGCUGGGCAACUGGAGGUACCUAUAAACACGAUUUGGCCAAUUGAACAAAGCAAACUAAAUUUAUAUAAGGAGAAAUUAGGUUCUCAUCCUUCUUUUUGCUACUCCAUUGAUUAAAAUCCUAUUCCUUUUCAAUUUUUGAUCAAGGUCCUUGGAUAUUAAUAACAUCAUUAAUUAUUUCAAUAAUAAAAUAUUUUUUUAUUUAUAAAUAUAUUCAUUUAAUGUUAAAAAUGUUACAAUUAGUAUAUUUAUAUUUAUGACUAAAAUUUUUAUCAUAUAUUUUUAGUUUUAGUUUUUAAAUGUAAUUCUUUUUUAAUUUGUACCAAUUUUCUUUUCAGUUUUAAUUUGUACCCAUAUAUUAAUUUCUUUUUGUGCCCAUAUUUUUUAAAGUUUAUUUGUAUUUGUACCCAUAUAUGUUUUUUUAUUUGUACUUUUUAUUUUGCUAAAUGUACCCAUGCUAAUUAUAUGUACCCAUUCAUGUAAAACUUUUUAAUCUUAAAUCAUACUCAUUCUUAAAUAUACCCAUUUGUUAUAUGUAAAAUGUACCAUUUUUUUAUAUAAAAUCUUUUCAAUUUUUUUCUAAUCCAUUUUUAAACUUAUAUGGGUACAUUCUUUUUUCUUUGAUUUUAAAAUGUAUCUAUGUCAAGUUUAAUCGAAGAAAUUUACUAAUGUUAUUAAGUCUAAUAUCUUCUUCUCUUUUUUUUUGGUCGUUUUGAAGAAUGUACCCAUGUUUUGAUACAAUAAUUUUUUUGGUUAAUUUUGAUGAAUGUACCCAUGCUUAUAUAGACACACACACACACUAUAGUAUAUUUAUAUUUUAAUAUUUUUAAUCCCACAAAUUAUGGUUUUUUAUUUAAAAUCUCAUUUAUAUAAACAACUAAAAUUUCUAAUUUUUAAUUUAAAAAAAUAUAGUAACGUACAUAGAAAUAAAUUAUCACAUUAAUUUCAGGAACCUCGAUCAAAAAUUAAAAACCAACAAGAUUUCAAUCAAAAAAAAUUCAUAGCUAAGGACCGCAUCCAAAAUCUAUCAAGGUCCAACAUUUCCAGCUAACUCUUUGUGUUAUAUUCCUAUUGUUUUUCUCGCUUUCUCUCUUGUUCCGUCGGCUGCAAAUUUUAAUACAAAUUCUGGCAUCUGGCCUUGACUUUAUGCAAUUGUUCCCUUCCCAGCUUCCUUCAAAUAGUUCAUCGAUCAUUGGGCGAUACAUAAUAUUCUUAGUUUUUUAUUUUUUGGCAUAGAACCUAGCAGAUCUCAACGAAGUUAUUAAACAGAGCCACUGACAAGAUUGGAGCACUGUCUUGUCCCUGUUCUAUGUCAUCAUGCACGUCUGAUUUUAAUUUUGUAACAAAUUUCAUUGAGUUUUUUUAGCAUGAUUAAGUUUUGGAUCGCUUGUAUAAGAGUAUGUUUAACUAAUAUAAGGAAGAACAAACUUAAAACUGACUUAUAGGUCGGAAAAAUAUUCUUUGGAGAAGCCACAUUAUAUCUAUGUUUAUGAAGAACUUUCAAAUGCUUUUUUAGAAGCACUCGAAAUAUUUUUAAUUCAACAUUUAGCAAAACACAGUUAUGAGCAUAUUGAGCUUGCAGAAGUAGUCACCAACGAGCUCUAAGUGUGUGUUGAGUUAGAUUGGGGUAAUGUUUUUAUGUUAAUUAAUGUUUAAAAUAGAUUUUUUUAUUUAUUUUAUUUUAUUUUUACAAUUGAUAAGAUAAUCUACACUGAUUCAUCUAAAUUACAGGUUUGAAAAUUCUAAAUAGAGUCUCGAAUACAAAAACAAAUACGCUUAACAAACUGAACUACGAGUUACUUACUGAUUAAUUACUUAGCCUUUACUCUUGAGUCAUUUCAUUUCAUGGUUGAAACUUUUGUUAUUGAAAAUGCUAUUAAGGAUAAUGAAGGACCACCAGAUUGUAAUGCACAUAAGGCACUAGAUUAGUACUUAGCUUAGCUAUUAAGCUAAGUUUGAUAUAGUCGGUUAUGUAUUGCUGACUCAGCAUUGAAUAGGAUAUUAUUAUUGAUGUAUAUAUCCUUGUGUAAUAAGAAAUCAGAAAAUGUAAUGAGAAUCAUUUUUCUUACAAUCCAAAUCAAGCUCUCUCUCUCUCAUCAACUGCACAGAUUCAUAACUUCAUCAUGGUAUCAGAGCCGGAGUCCACCGACGUCGAUCCUUCGCUUCCCUCAUUUUCUUAAUUUCUUGGAUUUUUCUUAUCUCCCAAACAGAUCUUACCUACUUUCUUGCAUUUUUCUGAUCUCCCAAACAGAUUUUUCUUUUCUUUCGUGCAAUAUGUCUACAACAACUAUGGCGCCUCAUCCACCCUCUUCUGAUUCCUCUCCUCCAGCUACCUCUUCUGGUCCUACUCCUCUUGGUGAGAUCUCUACCAAUGUGCCUCCAUCGAUUGCGACAAUUACUGUUCAAAACAUUGCUGGAAUGGUUCCGACGAAACUCAAUCGGCACAAUUACAUCACCUGGCGUAGCUUAUUCCUUCUCGUUCUGAAGCGAUUCAAGCUUUUAGGGCUUCUUACUGGAGAUGAUCCUUGUCCUCCUCCGUGUGUUCGUGAUUCGUCUGGAUCUCAGAUUCCUAACUCUGCGUACGAACUAUGGUGUGAACGUGAUCAAAUCUUGACAAUCUGGAUCAACUCCACUCUUGCUGAAGAUCUUCUUCCUCUGACCAUUGGAAUGGAGGAUUCUCGUUCUCUGUGGCAGUCUCUUGAACGUCGUUUCGCAGGCGCUUCGCGCACUCAUGUUCAUAGUCUCUGAUCUAAAAUCCAGAAUAUUCAAAAAGGUGAUGCUUCCAUGACUGAGUAUCUCAACACUAUUAAGGACAUAUCUGAUAAACUUGCUACUGCCGGUGAAUCGAUUUCUGAUUCAGAUCUUGUGGCUUAUAUUCUCGCUGGUCUCCCGGAUGAGUAUGAAUCUUUUGUUGACUCCAUCAAGACAAGAACUGAGUCUGUUAAUGGUGAUGAACUCCAUGGUCUUCUCCUUAGUAAGGAGAUUUCUCUUCAAAAACACAAGACUCGAGUCUCUUCAUCCUCAAGUUCUGCACAUUUCCAUGCUUAUGCUGCUCAACAAGGAUCAUCUGGUUCCCCUUCUUUCAAAGGCAACUUCAUGGGAAAAUAUCAGAAUCAGAAUCGCAAUCAAUACCACAAUCGUAAUCGAUUUCCUCAUAAUCGCAACUUUGGUGCCAAUCGCCAACAUAAUAACUCUGGAGGUAUUCUUGGUCCUGCUCCCUCUCGUUCCUCAUUCUCUGGCGCACAUUCCGGUCACACUCCUGGACCAUCCCAACCUGGACAAUCCAUUCCUUAUCAGCUUUGUAAUCAAUAUGGUCACUCUGCUCUUUACUGUGGCUCUCUCUCCCAGUUUGCUUCUCACCGUUCCCCUCCCAUGGGUUUCAAUGCUCUGACUGCAUCCCAUCCUCCAAGCUACUGGAUUACUGACAGUGGAGCGACUCAUCAUGUUACUCAUGAUCCAGCCUCUCUAAACUCUGCAACACCAUACACUGGCACAUACCAACUUUUCGUUGGUGAUGGCAAAGGUUUGUGUAUUUCUCAUACUGGAAAUGCUUUAAUACGUACUCUUAAUGCUGUGUUCAAACUUUGUGAUGUGUUAUUAGUUCCUCAAGCCUCUCAUAAUCUCCUGUCCGUUUAUAAAUUUGUGUAUGACAACUGGUGCUCGCUGACUUUUGAUCCCUUUGGAUUCUACAUCAAGGAUCUAAGAACUAGGAGGAUGUUUUUCCAGGGCCCCAGUGAAGGAAGAUUGUACCCUUUCUACUGGCAUGCUUCUAAUGGUGUUUCUGGCAUUGCUAUUUCACCUCAUGCUUUAAUGAUUGCUAAAGCUGAUAUCACUACAUGGCACAGACGACUUGGUCAUCCUUCAAGUCUAGUUUUCAAUAAAAUAGUAAAUAAAGGUCACUUGUAUGUUGCUGGUUCACAUUCUCAGAAGUCUGUUUGUUCUGAUUGUCAAUUUGGGAAGGCCUCAAGAUUGCAAUUUUCUGUUUUGCCUUGUAGUUCUACUCAGCCAUUUCAUCUUGUUCAUGUUGAUGUAUGGGGUCCUUCCCCCACCUCUUCUUGUACUGGAUAUCGCUAUUACCUAAUACUAGUUGAUGAUUUCACUAAAUAUAGAUGGCUCUAUCCACUGCAUUAUAAAUCCGAUGUGUGUUCUGUUCUUCAGACUUUUGUUCUCAAAGUUCAAACUCUUUUCGACAGUAAAGUUCAACGUUUGAGAUCUGAUUCAGGGGGUGAGUUCUUAAGUGCUACUUUGCAAAGCUUCUUUAAUAUUCAAGGCAUAACUCAUCAAUUGAGUUGUCCUCACACUCCUGAGCAGAAUGGAUGUGCGGAACGCAAACAUCGACAUGUGGUUGAAAUGGGUCGAACUUUAUUAUCUCACAGUGGCUUACCAUCUCAGUACUGGAUUGAGGCUUUUCAAACUGCAGUAUACCUCAUCAAUCGCCUCCCACCUCAGGCUUCUUCUAUUAGUCCUUGGGAAUUACUCUUCAAAGCUACACCUCAAUAUCACCUCUUGAAGACCUUUGGGUGUGCAUGCUAUCCAUGGCUCCAACCUUACUCAUCCAGUAAGUUGGAUCCAAAGAGUAAACUUUGUGUGUUCUUGGGAUAUAGCUUGAAUCACAGUGGUUACCGUUGUCUUGAUCCGGUUACUAACAGGUUAUAUAUUUCGAGACAUGUGGUGUUUGAUGAAACUCUUUUCCCUUUCAAGCACUCUCCCAAUUUACCUUUUCCUACUGUAUCCCCUCCUUCUAUUUCUUCUCCUCCAUUCUCUCACCCUAUUUCUCUUACUAUACCUAUUCAUCCUACUCCAACCCCUCAUCCCAUUAUAAAUAAUCCCUCAUCUUCCCCUAUCUCCUCACCAGUACCCCUCCCUCCUCCCUCUUCUUCAUCUCGUGUCCCCCCUCCUACAACUAUCCCAGCCAACCAACAUCCUAUGAUUACCCGAGCCAAAGCAGGUAUUUCUAAGCCUAAGAUCUUUACAGCCACUAAGCAUCCUCUCUCCCCUUCAGUUGAUCCACUCACCAUCAUCCCUCCGACCCCUACCACUUAUCUUCAAGCCUCCAAGCAUCCUGCUUGGGUAAAAGCCAUGACAGAUGAAUAUCAAGCACUUCAAUCCACUGGUACUUGGGAGUUAUAUUAAGGAUAAUGAAGGACCACCAGAUUGUAAUGCACAUAAGGCACUAGAUUAGUACUUAGCUUAGCUAUUAAGCUAAGUUUGAUAUAGUCGGUUAUGUAUUGCUAACUCAGCAUUGAAUAGGAUAUUAUUAUUGAUGUAUAUAUCCUUGUGUAAUAAGAAAUCAGAAAAUGUAAUGAGAAUCAUUUUUCUUACAAUCCAAAUCAAGCUCUCUUUCUCUCUCUCAUCAACCGCACAGAUUCAUAACUUCAUCAAAUGCUUCCCUACCAAUCGGUCGUCAAUCGACGCCUCUACCUGGUUGUUGGUGAUGUUUCAUGCACGCCUAGCUAUAUAUUUAGGUAUUUUAUUUUCUGUGUUGAAAGACUAUUGAAUUUGAAACUUAUUAUUAUUUUUACCAAGAAUAAUUUGACAGCACGAUUGUGGCAAAGCAUUGCCCAUGCAGGAGGAAUGAUGUCAAACUUUUACCCACCAAAUUUUUUAAAAUUUAUAAAAGUCAGAAUAUAUAGGUCGAAGUCCAAAUCCACUUCAUAAAAACAUACUAUAAUCACCAGUAAUCCAUCACUUACUCGUAAAUUUUUUAUUACCUUUUUUUUCUUUCCAAUCUAUCAUUUAGAAUAAUACUUAUGUUCUAGUGGAUAGAGUAUUUCGUUUCCCCCCAUCCAUCCCGGGCUCGGAAUUCUCUUCUUCCCUUAAUUAUUGUAAUAGUCAAUUAAAAUAAAGAUUUGUUUAGUCAACCUGAUGUAUAAAAUAAAUCACAAUUAUGAUAAAAAUUAACACUAUCAUGAUGAUUCAAUUAUUGAGUCAUCAUCAUUUUUCUAAUAGAGACGAAUAUUAAAAUUGAGUUGUGAGUAAGAAAAUAAACAUGAUAUUGGGACAGUCAAAAUACGUAUUGUCUCGUAUAUAAAUUAUUCCAACUUUGGAAUGGAUGAUUGCGAAUACCGUAUAUAAGACUAGUAGUUAUUUGAUAAAGUUUAAAGGUCAAUUCGCAAUGGUUGUGGUUUUUUAAGAAUUAAUGUGUGGGCAGAGUGAGUUGAUGCAUCAUCAUCCAUGGGUAAGGCAUGACAACAACAAUCUUUCAAAAUUCUCUUGUGGAGUUUGCUUUGCAGCAGAAUUGUGCCCUUUAUAGUGUGUUCCAAGUUCCAACUUCGACAUCAACUUCGAUAAAGCUACCAUGAGGUGAUUCAGUGGUUGAGACGAAUUUCAAAUUAUUGCACACAGCACUUUAUGAGUUCAAUUCUUGUUGCUCGCGGAUUACACGAUGAUGGUCAUGGAAAGACUAAAAUGCUUAUGCACGUCUUCCUAACCUUUGAAAAAGUAGACUCUUAUAGCGAAGCCUCCAGCUAGUCGCUUUUCUUAAAAAAAUAAAAUAAAAUAAAAACCAUUAACUUUGAUAGCAUUGUUAAAUCAAUUUCAAAAGGUGUUAUAUUCGUUAUUAUUUAAUUGGUUACUUGCUUUAUUUGAUUUGUUAAUUGCUCGAGGAAAAUUUGUUUUUGCUACAUCUAAUCAAAUAGUUUAAUACUAGAAAUUAUUGCCCGCACGUUGUUGCGGGAUUAAUAAAUGUAAAAAGCAUUAUGUUUGAAAGAUAUAUAAAAUUGUGUCAUAAAAGAUUAAUACAAUUCAUUGCUAUAUUUAAUUGAUACUCCACAUAAAAUUGUAGAAGUUUUGGCUAUCUAUGUACAUAGCAUAUUAGAUCAACACAUUCCACUUGGGUAGUUUUUGUGAUUUUCGAUCAACAGCAGUACUUACAUACAAAAGGUUAUGGAACUUUGGGCUAUUUACAUGCAAAAAACGUUAAGAAAUAUUGUGUCAUUUACAUUGAUAAAAUAUGACAAAAAUUGUUCAAUGGAACACCAAAAGUUCCCUCCAGUACUCAUUGUCAAAAAAGUAGUUUAAACCAAUAUAAGACCAAAAACUCUUCCAAAUUCCAUGUGUAUUCAGUUUCUCUAAAUCAACCAACUUCUCCGUUCCAAACUAUCCAACAAAUAUUUGACAGCAAUACAACCAACCACCAACAAACAUUUUAAACUCAUCGAAAGAUCAAAACCCUUUCAAAUUUGCAUGCGUAUUAGUGAUUUUCAACUAAAUUAUUUGGAGAUGGAGACACACAAAGCUAGCAUAGGAACCAAAGAAGAUCUGCAAAAGCAAGUUAAGAGAUCAUCGUAUUACAGAAACAAAUUACAUAAUAAAAUUAAGAGAGCAUCAUAUUACAAAAGCAUAAUAAUGUUCAUUUCCAAAUGUAUUACAAAAACCUAUGGUUUCAUUCCACUUCACAUAAUUCAGUGUUUUUUUUUUCAACCCACAAAAUUUACGGCUUAGGUCAAAGAAUUUGAUCUGAUUAUUAAUAUUCAGACGGAAAAGAUAAGACUCAAAUGAAAUGGGCAUUUGAAGUCACUUUCUUAUUUCUUAUAACCACAUCAAUAUCAUAUUUAUACAAACAUAGCAAAAAAGAUUAGCAAGUGCAAGCACAUAUCUUGUGAUAGUAUACAAAAAUGACUAAACCCGAAAUUCCUAACACAUACACUAAUCUUAUACAAAGAAAUUAGAAUAUCAAAAUCCUAACAAAACAUGAGGCACAAUGAUCACAAUUAGAAAAAUAUUUCAAAUAAGAGCCAAACCAAAAAUGCACAUAAAGGUCAGUUAUCAACUCAAAUAAAACUCACUCUGAUGCUCAUUUCUAAUUAUGAAUGCUCUCGGGACUCCAAUCUUCUCAUCCCAGUCGAAAAGAACUUCAAAUGAAGACUUCUCUGCAGUUUAAAGGGUGAUUGUUGUAACCCAAUUUUCCAAUUAUGUUGCCCUUCCAACUUUUUUCUUGCAACCAAGUUUCUAAAAAAACAGAUUGAAUUCAAAAGGUAAUUGGACCAAGGCAUAAAAAGACAUAAGAAAAAGUAUAGAAAGUAUAAACCACAUAUAUCACAUUAUCUAUAGGGUUGUGAUUUUCACACACCCUUAAUUACCUUUCCCACACCCCUUCUUAUUUUUUAAUACUUAAUUGAUAUCUUACUAUUUACUCUUCCAUAUAUACCCUUUUUACUUUUUGACCAUUGAAACUUUUGUUAUUUUAUUUUAAACUUGUUUUUUUCUUUUUCUAACACUCAACCAUAUAUGCCAUUUGUAACUCAAGUUCUACUGCCUAAUCUGAGAGAUCCCAAAACAAGUAUAAAACACCUAUUAUAUAAAUAAAAAUAAAACGAUUACCUAAUGAUAUAGCAUAUAUGCAUAAGUUACAUGAAUUGUACAAAAUACUAGUAAGCAAUCCACAUACACUUGAAUCCCCAUAAUAGUAGCCUCAUGCCCCAAAAAAUACAUCAGAUAUCAUUACAAGCUUUCACAUUCUGCCUACACUAUGUUUGGCCUUUAAUCUUGUGUUCAAAAGGAGAUGUCAAUAUUACCAAAAAGAUAUGAAACCCAUGCACUCCAACCUACAAGAAAAUAAAAACAUGUCAACAAAAGGAAAGAAAAUUACAAACUUAAUUAGUAUUUUUAUGGGGAAAAAUCAACAAAAAUAUAUGUACCUUAAUGUGUUCUUUACACAUCUAAGCUAUUAUUAACAAAAAGUUUCUUUGGCAAAUCAUUAUGCUCAUCACACCUAUAAACAAUGAACAUUAAGUUAUACGUAUAUAUAAAUAAUCAUGACCAUAGUAGACAAUAUUAAAAGAUAAAUAAAAAAAUGACAUACCCGUCGAGCACGUUUCUGAGCCUUCUCCACUAUUUCAAACUUUGAAGGACCAUGCUUUGUAGAGCUUGAUUCUUUUCUAUUUUUAGAACCCAUUGGACGACCUUUGUGAGGUUUAACAUUAGGCUCAAGAGUUAAUGGAAGAGAAGUAUCAAUAAAUUCACAAAGUUGCCUUUUGGUAUCCUCUUUUUGAGUAAGAGUCAACUUUUCAUACUUAUCUUUAAACUCCAAUAGAAGGCCGCUUAUUUGAUCUUGUUCAUUGUCCAAGCUUACAUGAUGAUCAUUGACAAACAAUCUUCUAUCAAUCCUCCAUUGUGGAUGUAUGUCAUUUAGUUGCAAGACUUCAAUAUUCAUCUCUCUAAUCAUGUGAGCACAAGGAAGACCCAUUGUCUUGAGAAAAUGACCCUUACAUUGACAUGGAAGAUCAGAAGAACUUGAUGCUUCAUAUUGAUUAUAUAACUCAUUCAAUGCAAAUCUAGAUACAUGAGUAACAACCUCUUUGAAGAAGGGAAGUCGAAACUUGUGUGAAACUCUAACUUUUUCACUUGAAUGUUGAGUUUUGAUUCUUGAAAUUGAUUUUCAAUAGCAAGGCAUAUUUUUUCUUUUACCUCGCGAAGACCUCCAGUUGAAACUUGAAGAUAUUUUUUUAGCGUUGCAUGUGCACCUUCGGCUCUUGAAGUAACACGGUUACCAAAGUGGGUAACUUUCUCUGACCAUGCACUUACAAACUUUUCUUUGUAUGGAAGCCAAGUACCAAGAAUAUAUUUCAAAACAAAUUUCUUCUCCUCGUACUUAACUUCAAAACGACUCCAAGCUUCAUUGAAUGAUGUUUCAUUAGGAGAUUGGAUUAAAAUUGUCCAAGUAGAAAUGAAAUCAAUCCAAUCAACUUCUUCCUCAAAAUGAGCUUUACAAUUUGCAAGUAUAUUUUUCUCAAUAUGCCACACGCACAAAAGAUUGGAAGUACUCGGAAAGACAAUGCGUAUAGCAUUCAUUAAUGCCAACUCCCUAUCUGUUAUAAUCACCAUAAGAUGAUUAUCAACUCCCAAAAUCUUACUAAACAUUUUUAGAGCCCACACAUAAUCCUCUUCUUUCUCAUUUUGCAUGAAAACAAAACAAGAAUAAAAGGAUGUGUUGAAACUUGAAACUCCUAUGAUAUCCAAUAAUGGCAUCUUAUACUUGUUGGUCUUAUAUGUGCAAUCCAUCACAAAAACAUAUGGGUAGCUCUUGGUCAACUCUAUAGACAAGGGAUGAGCAAAGAUCAAAUGAGUUAAGUGGCCUUCAUGAUCAUACUCAAUGUUAUAAGUGAAACCACCUUCACCAAGUUCUUCUAAUAAUGCUUGAAUAACUGGACGCCCAGCUAGACUCUCCUUCACAAUCUUAGCUCUUAGAUUAUAGAUGUUUCGAGAAACUACUUGAAGAUGAGGAUUGCCUUGCCGAAGCAAAGAUAGAAUUUGGCGUGGUGGUAUACCAGCCUUACUCAUUUCUUUAAUUCGUAAGAUUUCCUCUUGUGAAAAUUGACGACAAGAAGGAUGUCCACACAUGUCAUUUGAAAGUUCAUGGUUAUGCAAUAAACUUUUUAUCUCUAGCUUCCAAAAUUCUUCACAUUUCUUUUUACGCCCCUUGAUUUCAAAUGGACAAUUUAUGAGGCGAGAUCCUGAGUUUUUUUUUCUUUCAUCUAGUGAAGUUUUAGAGGCUCGAUAAUACCCACCUCUAUCACAACCAAUAGCAACAUAUGUAUUUGUCUUAGAUCUUCUAAUAACGGUUGCAAACCCUUGCAUUAAUGCUAUCUUACGAACUUCCCCGAUGAGGUCUUCUCGACUUUCAAAACAUUUCGCCAACAAAGAGAGCAUUUUAUCGGGCUCAUCAAUCGUUGGUUGACUUCCUAUAUAUCACAAACCAACACAUUUAUAUAUGUAGAAUAUAUACUUUUUAUCAAUGGACUAGACAUUUAAGUAUCAAAUUUAUACCAAAGCAUUGUAUGCAUUAUAUCAAGUUUACACCAAAACAUGGAGCCUAGGUAAAACCACAACAAUUAAACCUAAUACCAAUUUACCAUUAAGUUAAAGUGUAUUGGGGACCAAUAGAUUCCAAUAGAAAAUUAAUUUCCCCAAAACCAACACAAAUCGAUAUUCUCUAUUAUUUCCGUUUUUAUGAGUACAGAGUUGACACCAGUUUUUGUUUUGGGCAAAAGUACAUUUUUGCUCCAGUUUUUAUAAACCCCAACAGAAACCAAUAGUUAAAGUACAUUUUUGCUCCAGUUUUUAUGAGGAAUAGGUAAUUUUUUGCUUCAUUUGAAGUUCAAGUGUUUGGAUUACAGAGUUGACACCGAGAUUUUGUUUUGGGCAAAAGACACCAAGAAUUUAAGUUAGAGAUUUCAAACAAAAAAAAUAUAUCAAUCAUACUUUUUAUCUCGUCUGUUCAUUUUCAAUCUAACGGUUCUUAUCUAGAUGUGUAAAUAGCAUGUGUACCGUGUACAUGAGAGAAAAAUAUGUUAUAGAGCAUUGCCCGGUGCAUUCAAGUAAGCAUGGUAGUUUUUAAUCUUUUGCUCCUUAGUCUCUGAGCAUUGCCUAAUUUUUUGUUAUUCUUGUAAAAAAAAUUCUGAUGUCAAAAACAUUUACAAACUUAGUUUCGUGAUUUUUUGUUUACUUGACGCAUUUUUCUAAAUUUCUUCCCCUGGAUUUAGUUACUUCAUUGUUACAUGAUACAUUUAUCUUAAACCACCAGUAUUCAUUCAUUCAAUUAUCAUUUGAACCACAAAUUAGGGAAAGAAAAAACUAAACCUAAAAAACAAAUUGAGGCAAGAAGAGAACAAAAACCCUAAAUUCCAAAAUCAAUCUUAAUAAUUUGAGAAAAUACUUUAGAAAAUUACCAUCAAAAGUGUUAAGAGGAGGAAUGCAUUCUGAAAUUUCUUCCAUGCCAUCCUCCUUGCAUGCCAUAUCCAAUAUCUUCUGCAACUCAAUGUCCAUCUGGAGUUCUUUAUCUGUUAUUAUCAAGUCAUCCAUUGUGGUUUUUCACAAGAAGUAAUAAAGAGGACAGGGGAACGGAAAUAUUUCAGAAUAGGUCUCGUUGGGCUCGGCGGAGGGAGUGGGAGGCUUCGAAGAAGCAGUGGAAAUAUUUGCAGCGGCGAGGGAAUCGGGCUGCGAGAGGUGUCUGGGUUUGGGGAAAAAGCAGGAGGUGUCUGGGUUUUGGGGAAGAAGCAGGAGAAAGCAAGGGAAAAAGCAGGGGAGUUUCAAGUAAAUAAAAAAAAAAAACAACUUUUAAAAGUCAAAAAGUAAAAAGGGUAUAUAUGGAAGAGUAAAUAGUAAGAUAUCAAUUAAGUAUUAAAAAAAUAAGAAAUGGUGUGGGAAAGGUAAUUAAGGGUGUGUGAAAAUCACAACCCUAUCUAUAUACUAAAACCCGGUGGAAAAGCACUGUUUACCAGCAGUAAAAUGGCGGAAUUGCCCUCAUUCAACUUUCCUUGCCCCGUUGUUUUUCAGUCUUGGCAUAGUGAAAUUACGCAUUUGUCCAAGUUGGCCACGCGUCCAUCAUCGUCUGAACCUCUACUUCGACUGCAGCUUCUCGAUUUUUCCAUCCGUUUCCAGUUCUCUCUUUCGCAAAUCUCUGCUUCCUUUGCUCUCAACUUGCCUUCUGUCACUCUCAAACGCCGGGUAAGCUAUCGACCACCCCCUCUCUACCUUCUUCUUCUUUCGCUUCUCCCUGUGCAAAUCUGAGAGACGCCUACCACAACUGCUUCACUGGGUUAUCUCAACAUAAAAUUAGUUUUUGUUAUUGCUCUUAAACCCUAAUCUCUCUCUCGCCUCUCUCUAAAAUCCAUCUGAAAAAGGUAUAAUGGGUAGUGUUUAUGUUUGCAGUUUGUACUCGGCAAAGUCUGUGAAGGACCAAUAUCGGAGGUAUAAAUUGGCUGCCCUGAAAUUUUUUUAUUUAAUUAAUUUCAACAGGUAUCUAAGAAUUCUUAGUAUGAAUAGUGUCUGUGUUGUGUCUCUGAGCAUCUUGAUUUUUUAUAUUAAAUGAUCUCUGUAGUGUCUGUAUAUUUCUUAUAUGAUUUCUUUCAUUCAUUGUUUCCUAUAUCCGAAUUUAAAUCUAUUUAAUUUUUUUAAUUGAUCUGGGAUGUUGAGAAAUUGGAGCUCUUCUGGGGUCAGAUCCAUUUUGAUUUGGGGAUCUGAUGCGAAGAAAAUGAAAUAAAAUUUGGGUUUUGGAUUGAUGUGGUAUUUGGUUUUAUUUCCUGUUGUCAGUGCUUACCACCUGUUUGAGAUUAUAUAUAUGUUUUGAAUUUUUUUUGGUUUGUCAUGUAUAAGAAUGUGAAAUAGACUAUCUGAGGUAAUCAAUUGUGAUUGGUGACUUAUUUUUUUCUUUCUAUUUAUUUAUAUUGGGAUUGGUUACUUUUUUGUUUGUUUUUUUUUUUUCCAGAUUAGAGAUUUUAAUAGGUCCUGGUAGUGAUAAAGGCUCAUUUCUCAAAAAAGAGAUAAUAAAUAAAAGUGGCAGAAAUAUAUAUUUAUAUAUACAUAUAGAUGGCUGUGGUAGUAAGUAAUGAAGGUUCAAUGUAAAAGUCAGAGGUCAGAACUGGCAGAAAAAAAAAGUAAAAUAUAUUGGCUAGGACAGAAAAGAAGUGAUAGGUCAUGAUGUGACACUGUUUAUGAACAGUCACCUUCCGUCCUUUUUUUUAUAUCUUUUUCGGAAACUCAGUAGAGCAGAAAAAAAAGAUAAUAAAUGCGAAGUGCAAGGUGGGAGAAAAAAAAAUGUACAUAUACUUAUAUUGGGUAGAGCAGACCACGUGUUGAUCAUCGGUAGUGUUUCUGUUGUUGAGAGGAUUUUACCCUUUUUGUUUCGUUUUCACUCCUCUCUUUGUUCACUUUUUCCAUUCGUUUUUCUGCUUCUAUCUUUUGCCUAUUUUUCUUAAUUUUGUAUUUAGAGAUAGGCCUUUUGUUUGAAUUUGGGUUUAGUUGAUUUUGAAGGUUUCAAGUUGGUUGCCCUUUUUUGUUUUUAAUUUUGUAUUUAAAGUUAGGUUUUUUGUUUGAAUUUGGGUUUAGCUGAUUUUGAAGGUUUAGAGUUAACUAUUUCCUUUGGAUUUUUUAUGGGGGUGAGACUUAUAGAUUAGUAGGGUUUUCUUUUUGUGUUGGGAUUCUAAGUGACUAUGUGGUUUGAUUCUCAUUUUAUUUUUACGUAACGGUGUUUUGUGUUUUUUUUUUUGUUUGUUUUUGUUUGUGUCGUGGUUGUAAUUAUGAGUGUAUGAUUUAGUUGUGUUUUGUAUUUUCAGGAAACGGUGAUGUUCGUUCUCCCAGCUAUUGUGUUCGCAUUUACAUGCUGGUUGUGCUUCAGGUAUGUCCUUUUUCUCUCAUUUAUUUUGAUAUAUAUCUAAUAUCCAUCUAACUGUAUUAUUUUAUUUCUUUUCCCUAGCUUGCUUGCUUAUGGAUGAACGAUGCGGUGCCAAAACUCUAUCUCCAAUAGUGAAACGCAUUAACCGUUUUUUGUUAUUUUGUAUCAAACAAUAUUGAUAAUAUUUGCCUGCCAUGUAAAUGUCUCUUUGGUCUGAACUUCAUAAUAUUUUUUGCAUGUAUACCAGCAUUCAUUAAUUUUUUGUAUAUAAAUGCUGGUUCCACUUGAGAGGUAGAUGCAAGUGGUAGAAUCCAAUCAAUCACUAUAUUGUUUUUUGUCUAUCUGUAAACAGGUUUCAAUCUUUUGUUUUAGGAUUGUACAAGUUUAAUAUUUUAUGUAUAAACAACUUCCAACAUCUUUGUUUACGGUGAUGUAAAUAUUUUGUGAUCUACUUUUUAUAUCUCUUCAACAGAGCGUUGCAUUGAAUUUCCACAAUUACACUCUUUUAGAACUCAGUUUGGAGCAACAUUCGGUAAGCCUUUCUUUUACAGUCAGUUUCAUUUGUUUAUAUUUGAAUCAACAAAUUUUUUACAAAUAAUGAUUCUUCCAACUGCUCAUAAAUUGAUUCUUUUAUUUUUCUUGCAACUUCAAGCGUUGAUCUAUUGGAAACAAACUUUUAUCUAUUCCUUGAGUUACGUAGAGUUGUAAAUAAAUUGAGUUAAGCAAAGUUUCAAAUAUAACUUUCUACAUGUUGUAUGCCUAUUUAAAUACCCGCAGCAUCGCGGGGGUGCCAAUGCUAGUAUUAUACUACUUUGUAUUCCAAAUACACAUAAGAAUAUAUCCAUUCUAGUGAAUGGCCUAAUUCCAAUUAAUCUCACCUUUGCUUUCUCUCAAACCCGUCAACUUAUCUUUGACUUUGUUUUUCAACAUACAUUCAUCGUUAGGUACAACCAUAGAAGUUUCGCACUCCAAAACACUACUCAUAAAAUAAUCACCGACCUUCUGUAUGAAGCGAAGUUGAUUAAGACAUCAGCAGUAGGAUGUGCGGCGCAUGAUGCUUCAAUGCUGUAACAGUUAUCAACCCAAAGGUUAAACAAUCUCGAAACAACAGAUCAAGAAUGGUAAUCUGACUAAUAACAUGAUUUGAAUAUAUUGGAUAUGGAAAAUUAAGAUUAACCAAGCAUACAUGCAUAUACAUAAAUAUACAAAAGGUGGCUUGCAGCCACGAAAGUCGAAAUCUAGGAAGAGGAUGAGAGAAUGGCGACUUACUUUGAGUGCACUGGUAUGGUGAUUUCCUCUUAACUGAAAAAUAGCUUUUGAAAUCCCUCAGAACCGGGGUUAAUGAUUCCAGCAACUGAUGGUGUCUCCCUCCCUAUUACAAACCUCAGUUAUUACAUUUACAUCUUUGUCAAAAACUAAAAACUAUAAGUAAGAUUAAGUUCGAAGUCAAAAUUAGGAAAUGAUGCAUACCACAAAGGAAGUCAAAAUCGAGUUAGAAGCACCUGAUAUAUCUUGCCAGUGGUAAUGUUGUUACCCCUAGUAAGAGUCACAUCUAGGAAGCGUUCAUAGUUGCCCAGGUCCAAAUCAACCUACAAUUACGGUUAGAGUUUAACAAACUCAGCAGCACAUAAAGUUUAAAGAUAAGACUAACACUCAACAUGAUACCAAGAUAGAAUCCAAAAAUAAAUGAAAGAUAUGAUUAAAAUUAUUUGUUCUAAUCGAACAUAUUUUCUAGUUUUCUUAUCCGAUUAUACAAUUGCAAUUCCAAAAAUAAAAAAUAAUUUGCAGAAAGAAAAUUAGAAAAUUCAAACUUGAUAACAGUCUACCUUAAGAAACCCCAUGACCGAGUCCGAAUUGUACACCCGUGCCCUGCAAUGUCUUGGUGAGUGACUCCUGCUACAAAUUGGCACGAUGCUCAUUGUCUUGUAAAUCUGCAAGCAAAAUAUACAUAUUGUUAGGAAAAAAGUGUCUAUAUAUCAAAAUGUAUAGUAUGUAAGUUUUUAAUUGCAGAUGUAUGCAAGCUACAACCUGUUGUUAAAUUUUGCAGAACAUCUUUGUAAACUAUAUUUUUUGUAAAUGUAUUUGGCAUUUCAUUGUUGUUAGUAAUUAAAACUUUGAGACCCUCUCUUGAUAUGACUCUAGAUAAUGCAACAUAUAAUUGACCAUGAGUGAAGAUAGGUUGUGGUAAAUAGAGUCCCACUUGUUUCAAUGAUUGUCCCUGACUUUUGUUAAUUGUCAUUGCAUAACAUGGUCUUAUUGGAAAUUGACGUCUUUUAAGUACAAAAGGCCAUUUGUUUUCAGUUGCUGUCAAGAUUAUUUAAGGAAUGAAAACUUUGUAAUUAAUGUUGCUGCCAGCAAGUAUUCUAGCUUCAAUAAUUCUAUCAAAUAAUUGAGUCACAACCAAUCUUGUUCCAUUACACAAACCUAAAGAUUGGUUUAAGUUUCGGAGCAACAUAAUAGGCAUUCCAAUCUUUAAAAUUAAGUUGUGCGAAGGCAAGCCAUUGAAAUCAAGUGUGUUGAGAAAUUCUGUAGGAUACAUUAUACUAAGAUUCUCAAAAUUUCCAGUAGAUGAGUAUAAAGAAUCAGAGCUUAAAUAAACGUGUUUUUGACCAAGUAACAAAUCUAUUGCAUAAUCAUUUAUCUCCACUACAAUAUCAUUUUUUGGUGUAACAAUAGCUCGCUCUCGUAAAUAUUCAAAACUGGCAAAAUUAUUUUCAAAGUCUGGAUAAGUUGCUGAAAAAAUAGAAUGAAUAGGAUCAGAGUAUGAAUGAAUGAGUAAAUCAUCUGGAAUUUCAAUCCAACAUGUAUCUUUAUCAUUUGAAUCAAGUGUAUCUCCAAUUUGGCCAUCACCUAUCUGUAAAAUCCAAGAUGCAAAAUUAGCAAGUUUUUUCUUUUGAUCAUUAUUUAAUCCCUUUUGUGAAAGCCUCAUAUUUUCCUUCAACUGAAAUACUUUGAAAAAAGGCCAUAAAUAAGAGUUAUUUAAAGAGGCAUCUAUUAUCUGUUCUUUUGUUCCACCAGGAAUAACUGGUAAAAUUUGUCUAAAGUCACCGCCUAAUAAAAAAGGUUUGCCACCAAAUGGAGCAUUUUUAUUUGAAUCAUUUGAAUGUGAAAAAAUAUCAGAAAGUGACUUGUCUAAUGCUUCAAAACAAUGCUUAUGAUUCAUAGGAGCUUCAUCCCAAAUAAUAAGAUCUGUUUUUUCAAUUAAUUUAGCAAGAUGAGUCCCUUUCUUAAUUUGACAUGUUGAGCAAUUUGUAACUAUGAGAGGAAUUUUGAAUCUGGAGUGAGCAGUUCUACCACCUAGUAAAAGUAAUGAAGCUAUUCCAGAUGAAGCAACUGCUAAAACAAUUUUACCCUCAGACCUGAUUUUACUUAUUAUUGUAUGCCAUAAAAAUGUUUUUCCAGUUCCUCCAUGGCCAUAAACAAAAAAGAGACCUGACCUUUUUUCAUUCACAAUACUAAUAACACAAUCAUAGACAAAUUUUUGGGUUUCAUUAAGCUGUGUUACCAAAACAGAAUGUUCUCGACUUAAAUCAUCACAAUUGUAAUUUAAUUCUUCCCUCAACAAUUUGUUUCUAAUUUCUGACAUUUUUCUUUCAUCAGGCAUAGGCAAAUUAUGAUCUUUUAAAGAGCUAGAUGAUGCAUUAAAUAGUUGCUCUAAUUCAAAUAGAAGAGAGUUUUUUAAUUCCAAUUCUGAUAAAUUCAGAGUUGACAUUGCAAAAGAUUUUCGAAGCUCAUACAAAAUGUCAUCACACAUAUAUUGCCAAUGACUAUUAAAAAGCUGUUGAGGAUUUGCUAUUUCACAAAAUAAAAUCAUUGUAACAAAUAAUUGUCUCAACUCGCGAGAUGUUGCAAUAUUAACUGCAUUUCCUAAAGCUUCAAUCCACUCUUUGUCAUCCCCUAGUAAACUCAAACAUUUACAUGCAGCUUGAUACGAUGGUUGAAUAAUGCCGUUCACAGUUCUAAUGUCAUCAAAAUUGAGAACACCUUUUUUAAUAUUAAGAAGCAUUCUUAAAUAGUAUAACUCACCUGAUGCAGGAUGCACGUAGGCAAUUCUGCCUAUGGAUCCUCCUUUUCUUUUCAUAGGCUUCCAAAUCUUAUGUCGAGAUUCCCAAACAAACUUUGAUGGCAAUUCUGCAUAAGUUAGUGUUCGCGCUUCAAGAAAAAAUUUAUUUAUUUCAAACCAACUUGUCAACAUUGUGUGUUCAGAAGCUUCUUGACUAACAAUUGAUUCAAGGGAUUGAUUACUAUUGAAAACAAUAGUUUGUUCCAAAGGAAGAUGUACUGGCAAUCAUUCAACAUGAGGUUCUCUCAUAUGAAUUGGAUACUCAAACAAUCUCCAAACAGCUUCGUAUGGAGAUAUAUAUCUACAAUUUAGAUAAGCACGUAUUUCAUUGUUUGAAUUCUCUUCAAAAACAAUUCUUGCUCGAUCUGAACCUUUGUUUAUGUAUUUGAAAAGAUAUUUUAUAAGUAUUGAUUGGCAACAUGACUCAACAUUUAUAUGAGCAUUGUAUCUCAAUAAUAAAUUUGAAUUGUAAGGUACAACAAAACCAUUAUCUAUUUGCAUCCCAUUUUUAACCAUAAAUUUUGACUAAUCAUCACGACGCCUAUACAUAGGAAAAAUAUUUGUUUCAAAAAUUGUUUCACUUUUGUAUUGCUUUGGGAAAAACUUAGAACAUUUUCCCUCUCGCAUGCAUGGAGACUUUUGAUUAAGUUGUCCGCAAGGACCAUGAAUCAUGAAUUGGUUCACAAUUUCAUAAAGGAGAGGAUCUGAAUUUUUAUUUGGUAUUUCAGUUGAAAUGAUGGAAUCUAUGUCAUCAGCAGAGUAGCAUUUGUAAGGCUUCUUUAACCAAAUUAAGAUGUGAGCGUGAGGCAACCCUCUUUCUGAAACUCGAUUGUACAAACAUCUGUUUGCAAUCAAGUUAGGAAAUAUAUAAAUCAUAGUCAGUUUCAUUGUAAAGAUAAAAUGAAAGAAACUGAGAAAAAAAAAAAAUUUAAACUCACCUGCUUCAACUUCUCCAAAAGGUUCUCCUGAUUUUAUGUAGCUAAUCAUAUCAUCAAGUUUCAUCUUAAAAACCCUAGAAAUGAUAUACGGUCUAUCCUCUAACUUGUAUCCAAGUUUUAUAUCAAAUUCUCUCACAAUUUCAGGCCAUUUGAUAUUGCAAGUGAAGGUUAUGAACAAAUCAGGAUUACCAAAUUGUCUACAAAUAGCCAUCGCAUCUUGAUAGUUGUUAAGCAUAUAUCUAAGGCUUCCUGUGUAUGAGCUAGGUAAUAUUACUUUCUUGCCUAUGUUAUCAGCAUCAUGAUCAUCUUUUGAUACAGCGUCAUAAAUGCCUUUAUACACCUCACUUCGUAAGCUUUUUUGGUUUUUUCUAAUAUAAUCCAAUCGAUCCUCUUCAAGUGUUGCAUAAGCAUCUACCAAAAAUUGUUGAAAAAGUCUUCCUCCUUUUAACAAUGUAUCUAAUUGAGACUCCCUUUCUUGAAUUUGAUAGGCUAUAAAUGCUCUCAUAGUUACUCUGCCUCUUUUACAUGGGCGAUUGUUUGAGGGGAUAUUCAAUUUCAAAUCAAGUCUGUAUCCAUCUUCACCAUAUGGAAAAAGAAUGGGAUAUUGUAAAGACAUAAAUUUUGGAUUUAAUUUUGUCACACGUUUUAGUUCACCAUCUUUAAACUCUAUGACAAUAUCUCUAUUUGAGUCAAAUUGACCAAUAUCACCCACUAUUAAACUAGCGAUUUCAUCACAUGUAGGCUGUCCAUAUUGUUUAUCAUCAUUUAACUGCCUACCCAAUAUAGUUAUUUUCAAAGAAGGGAGAGAAUUGUUUUCAAAUUUAUCUCUAAUUGUUCGAAACACUUGAACCAAUUCAUUUGAUUCAUUGAACAUGUUGAUCAGACCCUUGACAAUAUUCUCAUCAAGCUUCAUAUUUGUUUCCUUACAAUUAAUAGCAUUGAAACGAUUUCCAAUUUCAUUAGCAGUAUCAUACACAUAUAGUUGAGCAAACUUUGGGCAUUCACCAUCAGGGGGUAACAAAGAGCCCAUUAAAUGAUGCACUUGACCACUAAUUUUAAAAAUGUACGGGCCUAACUGAUUGUUAACCGUGUGAUCAACUUUAGCUCCCAUUGAAGUAAAUGCAAACAUUGAAUUAUAAGCUCUAAUGUUCUCUCUAAACAAUAAGCUUGUUUGGCCUUUCGUUGGGUCAAGCAAAUUUUCUAAAAAGUGAGGAGUAAGCAUUGGACGUGGGAGCUUGACUUUUCCUUGUUGGCAACAAAGAGAAUAAAGGGGCUCAUUAUUCUUGGACUUCUGCUUUAAAGACUCUUUUAUCCAAAAAAGUGCACCACAAUAGAUGCACUUAUACUUUUUGUCUCCCAAAUCCACAUAUUUCUGAACAUUUCCUAUUGAAAAAAGGUGAAAAAAGAAGGGGAAAAAAAGUCAACCUAUUAGAAGCAAAGUCAUAAAUACAUAACCAACCCAAAGAAAUUGUACGUUAAAAAGAUAGUUUACCUUUUUUAUUUUUCUGAAAAUUGGCUUGACCUUUACUAAUUUGAUUCGGAUUAUCAAAUGUAUCGACAUUGACAGUGGUUUGAACUGUGUUUGUACUUGUUGAACACACAUUGUCAACAUUUUUUUGUCUUUCGUUUUCAGAUUCAAAGCCUGGUUUAUCACAAACUUGUAUGCCACUGGAAGAACCAACAAUAUGGUCGUCUUUUCGUCUUUUGUUCUGAGGUUCAAAGCCUGGAUUAUCACAAACUUGUAUACCACUGGAAGAACCAACGAUAUGGCCUUCUCGUAGCAUUCUAUUCAGUUUGGUAUUUCUAGACCUUGUUAACAUGGCUUGAAAAAAGUUUAAACUCCAAACAACAGAUAAUGGGCUGAGAACCCUAGGAAAAGAAGUCAAUUAUUAAAUACUUGACAAUAUGUAAUCUACAAUCAACCAAAACAAACACAUAAAAGUUACAUUUCGAAACUAUUAUGCAAAAACCAACCCUAAUAAUGAUUCAGAAAACCUUAGUUGAUUAUCUUUUAUGAUUGAAACUACACUACAAAAUGUUAAAUCCUUAUGUAGACAUGCAAUCCAAAACAAAGACAAAUUUGAAAGAUUUGAGCCUUACCUAACCACGGAUGAAACAAAGGCGUAGAAAUAAGAUAUGCAAUUGGAUUUCAACCGUAGCAGCUACUGCUUUCUGAAUUCAAAGCUGGGAAUUGAAGAAAAUAGAAUACAUUUAAAGUCAUGCAAUUCAAAUUGCAAACAAAGAGCUAAAUUCUCAAACAUGCAAUCCAAUCAAUAAGAUUGUCCUCACAGAUUAUUAUAAUUUAAUUACCAAAAGAUUAUGGUAAAGUUGUAAAUAAAUAGAUUGCAACAUAUUUAGAAAACACUUGAAGAGAAACAAUUUUAAACAUUAGCUUUUAUCAAAUCGAUCUUUGAUUGAUAUCUUAUGAUCUAACUGGAAAAAAAAGGUUUAACAGAACAUGAGGCCUACAAUAGUGAACUUUCAUGCUCCUUUAAAACAAUGCAAAAAGAUCUCUCCCUAUAUUUAGAAAAUAAUUUAGGACUUUUGUGCUCAAAUUAAUAACAAAAUUUAUUAAUAUAGGUAUUAAGGAUUAAUUAACCUUGGCUAUCAAAAAAAGAAAAACCCAAAACUAAAAUCAUAUAUGGGUUGAGAAUCCUUAAUUUAUUAAGAUCAGAGACCCAUUAAUACAGCUAUGUCUCAUUAGAAACUAAGAGAGACAGACAGAGGGGGAACUCUGACUAUUGUCACUUCGGCCAACAUGCAAGAUUUAUUAGAAUUAGAGAUCCAUUAGUACAACUAUGUCUUAGUCCAAUACUAUUUUUUUUUAUUUGGCAUUAAUAGAGAAGACUGAAAACUUCAAAUUAAAAAGAUUAGACAAAUAAAUUUGAAAAGGAUAAAGAUUUUAGAGAGAAAGUGAGGAGAAAGAGAAAUAGGGGGAGACCUUGGGUGAACAGGUGAUUGCCGAUUUCAUUGGGGGAGUACCUUAAUGCAGUUUUUCACAAUUUUUCUGCAAGCCCUGUAUCAACAAUUAAACGGAUAAACACAACAUGACUGAAGGACAAAAAUCGGAACAAAAAACAACCUAAUUUCGAGACAAACCUGAGUGGCAAGCAAAAGCGCCAGUUUUUUUUUUUUUUUUUUUUUUUUUUUUUUUUUUGGUAAUGGCCAAGCUACUGAUAUAUGAGGGUGUGGCACCUGUGAGAAACGAUAAGAAUCCAAUUUUUAGAGAAGUAUAUGAAAUGUUACGCUCUACACCACACAAUUGCACAAUGCACACAUGCAUUUGUUAAACAACAUAUCGUAAUUGUAAAGAUUUUUGUCAUGUUUUUCAGAUCAACUAAAAAUGUCAAUAAAAUACAUGGAGGGGGGUGUGGAUAAACCAAACAACAAAUAAAAAAAAAAAAAAUGAGGAUGUUUGAUGAGAUUUGAAGUCAAUUAGUUAUAUGGCAGGCCUAGAUUUCCGUCAGUUGCUCAGGUAGUGGAAAAUAACAUGCGAACUAAUUCAAUAAUUUCAUGUUUGACACUUUGUCGGUGCCCAAGCGAAGAACUAAUGAGAGAAUCAAAGUAGAGAGAGACUAUGUGUACCUGAAUUGAGUUCAGAGGCAAAAUCCUUGACCCAACCUCGGGUAUCUGAAUCUUAAUGUUGAAGAACCCUUCGGCGCACACGGUUCCUUCUGUGCCUUUAAUCUCUGCAUCAAAGCAAAGCAAAGCAAAAAACAAAAAAAAAAUUUCUUAUUAAAUUAUUAUUUUUUCUCGGAAACCAAACGAUGGGUUAGAAAAAUCUGGAAAGAGGUCAAAUUGGGAAGCUUUGCCCGCGUCGAUGGUGAUGAGGAUGAACCCAAAAAAUUAGCAAAAUUUUUUCUAACCCACAAAAUCAAGUUUUUUUCUGAAGUCUAAUUAUAUCAAAUCACAUAUUUGAACAGAUUUGGACAUAUAAUAGGUGUAGAAAGUACCUGUGGUGAUGAGGAAUAGAUGAUGAUGAUGUGGGUUUUUUCAAUUGGAAAGAUUUGGAGCAAAAUUGCUGCUGAAAUUUAGGGAAGAGAGAUCUAGAAGGUUUUCAAUUCGAAUAGAAGUCGAUCAGAAAAGACGAAAUCACGGAGAAAGCAGAGAUGGAAGAGAUCACGAAGCAAAUAUCGAAGAACACGAAGCAGAGAUCGAAGAGGGCGAUGGAAAAUGGAGGAGUUUGGAAGAGGAGACAAAAAACUAAAGCAAAGUAAAAGCAGAGAAAAAAGAGAUGGGUAAAGUGACACGCGUCCCAAUCAACACGUGUCACUAUGCUAAGCUGCCAGGUGACAAAAUCAAAAGAAAGAAGUCUCCCGAACAAUCCAGUUUUUCUGCUCCUUCAAUUUCAGGCGCAACCGAAAUAAAAGAAUCCUGUUGCACGGCAGGGACGAAAAUGCCAUUCUACUGUAGAAUGAACAGUGAUGACAGAAACAAAGAAAGAGCAAAAAAGAAUACAAAAGGAAUGUUCAGGAGAGAAUCCUGAUUCUAACCGGUAAUCCUAGAAGCUCAAGUUCUCAGGCCAUUACCAAUUCAAUUUCGCCACGGCAUCAUAUUCGUCCGCAUAUUCCAAAGCGCUACACCUAUAUAUAUUUCUAACUCGCUCUCUCUCUCACACUACCUUCCCUCGAUCAGCUUUCUUAUCUGCCUCUCUCUCUAGACAAUACUUUCUCUCUCUACAACCAUCAUGGGUAUUGAUCUAUUGAUCUCGAUUCUCAAUUAUUGAUUUCGAUUUCGCCAUUUUUGUUGCAGAUCUUGUGUUUUUUUUUUUUGUUGUUGAUUUUUCUGUAAUUUUUUUGUGUUUUUCUGACCGUUUGUGUGUUGUGCUUGUUUGUAUCGAUCAGCAACAUCUGGCAAGAAGAACAAGAUCGGAAUCAACGGUGAUGAUCAGAUCCAUCGCUCCUUGAGUUUUAAUUUUUGGUAUGUUCUUUUGUGAUUUGAUCUGUGAAUUGAUUGAGAUUUGAAUUGAAAUGGUUUAGGAUUACUUGUGGCUGCCAACGAUCCCUUUGAACUUGUGGCUGCCAACGAUCCCUUUGAACUUGUGGCUGCCAACGAUCCCUUCAUCACCACCGAUCCCAUGGUGAGUUAUUUACUUGAAGUUUUUGUGUUAUUUUGUCGGGUUUUCAGAUUUAGGGUUUUUGGUUUCGGAUUUGAUUGGUGAUUUGUGUGAUUGUUUUUGUGUUUAGACCUACAUGUCCAAGUACGACACAGCCCAGCGUCCAUGGAUGCAACAUGAGUUCAAGGUCAACUACUCCAAGACCCUUGUCUUCCCUGAGAAGCCCGUCAAGACCUCCUCCGCGCACCAUGAGCUCAAGGUCAACUACUCCAAGACCCUUGUCUUCCGUGAGAUGCCCGUCAAGACCUCCUCUGCGCCCAUCAAGACCUCGUCCAAGACCAAGGCAAAUGAGACAAAGAGAAGUGGGCCUCUGCGCACCCAAGACAAGAAGAAUUCCCGUGUUUACAAGACCAAGGCAAAUGAGAUAAAGAAGUGAGCCCCCUCGCACCCAAGACAAGAAGAAUUCCCGUGUUUACAAAUUUCCAAAGUGUUGAGUGUCUCUAGGCUUGCUUUUCAAGUGUUAUGGUUUGGAGUUCAGAAUAAGAAGUGUUAUCUUGUUUCCUGUUGGAGUUUUCUAAUUUUUAUGCAAGUUUGAAUAUAAAGGCAAAAUUGAUGGGGUUGUCGUAUGGAAUGUGUUUCUCUUAUUUUGCUUCUACCCUCGAUUCCUUGUUUGUUAUUUUGCUUUCUAUUAUUCUCUUUGGUUAGCUUAAGCAUUGUGAUGUUUGCCAACCCGAAGACAAUUAACAGUGUUUGAUUUCAAGCCCGAUUCUCUUCGGGUAGGCAAAACAUAUAUUGUAGAGAAGCGGCAAGUUUAUUAUGCUGAGUUUAAUAGAUCAUUGCAGCUAUGCCAGCUGAGGUGGUUUAUUCCUUAUCAACUGCAGUCUACACUGUCGAAGUCCCAACCAAUCAUUGCCUUGGUGUCGGUGCCAUUUUUCCUAUUUCUGUUGUGGUGGAGACUUAUAUGAUUUCCUAAUUCUGUUAUGGCAAAAGCAUAAAAAAUCCGAUACAAGAGAAAAUCGGUUAUGAUAGUUUGGACAUGUGAAUUAAAGACUUACAUGAUUCGGUUAAAAUAUACGAUUAUGACACGGAGGUUUGUGACAAAAGUGUAGAAAAAGACUAGGAAGAAUUUGAAGGAGACUAUAAAAAAGGAUAUGGAGUACUUGAAGCUAACGGAAGAGUUAGCGCAAUGACGUUGUAUGAUUAUAUAGUCGACUCCAGGUGAAAUAAGGCUGGAUUAUUGUUGUAGUGGUAAAAUCACAUCAAGAAUUUACACUGAGUGAAAGACCUCAGCUUCUACAUCAUCUCCGGUGAACCGUGAAAUUGCAUUCUGGACACGCCGGCACUACUACAAUAUUAGCUUUAGGUGUCGGACGAUUCUGGCGGUUAAUAAGUCAUUCUGACGGAUAAAAGAUUUCCGACACAUAAUUUAUUUACUGUCGGAUUAAAGUUACUUUCUGUCGAAUAUAUCUGACAUAAAGUCCUGACGGAUUUUUCCUGGCGGAUUUAACCGCCAUAAAAUUAUUAUAACCCUCAGUAUUUUUUAAUUCUCUUUUUUUUAAUAUUUUUAAAUUAUUCUGACGGUUUCUAAGUUAAUUGUGGCGGUUAUAACCGACAUAAAUUGACUAUUUUAUUAUUUUAGAUUCUGGCGGUUAUUAUUUUAGUAUUCUGCCGGUUAUAACCGACAGAAAUUGACUAUUUUAUUAUUUUAAAAUGUUACAUUGAUUAAAAAUAAAUAAACAAAUGGUGUGAAUAUUUUUUUUUUCACUCACGGUCCCAUUACCUAAUCUCUGAAUGUUUUUUUUUUUUGGCGAUUUUUUACACAUGCUAUCUCAGAGUAUAGACAAACAUAUUUGACGGUUGAAUCGUUGAAACUAGUUUCGUAGAAUGCAUAUCCUAUCAAAUUGAUAGAUUUAACAAACACUUAAGAGUUAAUGUUAUAGUUCCAUUAAGUAUAAAAAAUUAUCCACUAGUGCAAAUAUUUUAAAUUGAAGAUCGAGAAGUGUAGCUAUAAAAAAUCAUCAAAAUCGAAGCUAAAAUAAUCGUUAAAUUGUGAUUUUUUGUUUAUAAUCAUCGAAAUUUUUUGUUUCGUUACCUAAUCUCUGAAUGUUUGUUUUUUACAACUUUUUACGUAUGCAAUCUUGGAGUGUGUAAAAAUAAGUUUGACGGUUGGAUCGUUGAAAAAAGUUUCAUAGAAUGCAUAUUGCAUCAAAACUGUAGAUUAAACAAACACUAGUUAAUAUUAUACUUCUAUUAAGUAUAAAAUAAGAUUUUGUGGUAUCUACUAGUGUAGAUAUUUUAAAUUGAAGAUCAAAUUUAUUCAUUACAUUCUUAUAGGGUUCUGGAGUGUAGCUGUAAAAAAUCAUCAAAAUCGGAGCUAAAAUAACCAUUAAAUUGUGAUGUUUCUUUUAUAACCGUCGAAAAAAUUUGUUCCGUUACGUAAUCUUUGAAUGUUUGUUUUUUACGAUUUUUGACGUAUGCAAUCUUGGAGUGUGUACAAAUAAGUUUGAUGGUUGGAUCGUUGAAAAAAGUUUUGUAGAAUGCAUAUUGCGUCAAAACGGUAGAUUAAACAAACACUUAGUUAAUAUUAUACUUCUGUUAAGUAUAAAGUAAGAUUUUGUGGUAUCCAGUAGUGUAAAUAUUUUAAAUUAAAGAUCAAAUUUAUUCAUUACAUUCUUAUAGGGUCGAGGAGUGUAGCUGUAAAAAAUCAUCAAAAUCGGAGCUAAAAUAACCGUUAAAUUGUGAUUUUUUGUUUGUAACCGUCGAAAACUUUUGUUCCGUUACGUAAUAUUUGAAUGUUUGUUUUUUACGAUUUUUUACGUAUGCAAUCUCGGAGUGUGUACAAAUAAUUUUGACGGUUGGAUCGUUGAAAAAAGCUUCUUAGAAUGCGUAUCACAUCAAAACAGUAGAUUAAACAAACACUUAGAGUUAAUGUUAUACUUCCAUUAAGAAUAAAAUAAGAUUUUGUGGUAUCCACUAGUGUAAAUAUUUUAAAUUAAAGAUCAAAUUUAUUCAUUACAUUCUUAUAGGGUCGAGGAGUGUAGCUGUAAAAAAUCAUCAAAUUCGGAGCUAAAAUAACCAUUAAAUUGUGAUUUUUUGUUUGUAACCGUCGAAAACUUUUGUUCCGUUACGUAAUCUCUGAAUGUUUGUUUUUUACGAUUUUUUACGUAUGCAAUCUCGGAGUGUGUACAAAUAAUUUUGACGGUUGGAUCGUUGAAAAAAGCUUCUUAGAAUGCGUAUCACAUCAAAACAGUAGAUUAAACAAACACUUAGAGUUAAUGUUAUACUUCCAUUAAGAAUAAAAUAAGAUUUUGUGGUAUCCACUAGUGUAAAUAUUUUAAAUUGAAGAUCAAAUUCAUUCAUUACAUUCUUAUAGGAUCGAAGAGUGUAGUUGUAAAAAAUCAUUAAAAUCGAAGCUAAAAUAACCGUUAAAUUGUGAAUUUUCGUUUAUAACCGUCGAAAACUUUUGUUCCGUUACGUAAUCUUUGAAUGUUUGUUUUUUACGAUUUUUUACAUAUGCGAUCUUGUAGUAUCUACAAACAAGUUUGACGGUUAGAUCAUGGAAACUAAUUUCGUAGAAUGCAUAAAUUUGCCAAAAUUUUGUGCUAAAUUUGUGCUAAAUUGAAGUGGGAAAAGUAAUAUGUGCUAAAUUUUUAUUUAUGUUUUUCAAGUAUUGAUUAGACAAUAUUUAGUUCGUGUGAAGACAUUUUCAUUGUACAAUUCUCUUUUUGUUUAUUUAUCGCAUAUUUUACAUGGAUUAUUAUCUAUUAAACCAAAAAUGUAAAAAUUAUCUAUUAAACCAAAGAAUUAUUUAUUUAAUUUUUAAAAACAUAUUCUAUUUAAAUACAUAUUAUUUAUUUAUUUAUUAAACCAAACAAUUAUUAUUUUAUUUUUUUAAAUUGUAACAAAAUUUGGGGGGGGGGAAUUUAAAAUUUCGGGGAAAGUUUAAAAUUUUAAAAUUUGGGGGAAAGUUUAAAAUUUUUGCCGCCAUUUUGUUUCUGUCGGUUAUAGCCGACAUUAAUGAAAGUUUCUGUCGGUUUUUAUUAAAAAAAUUUUGUCGGUUUUUAUUAAAAAGAUUUCUGUCGGUUUUAACCGACAGUAAUGAAGCAUUUCCACAUUAUAACCCCCCCUCCAUCUCUCCCUGCCGUCGGUGCUUCUCCCUUCCCUAUUUUCUCCUCUCCGCAUUUCCUUCUUCUUCUCUUCUCUCCUCUCCUCAUUUACUUCUAGUUCGAACCCUAGCUUUAGCUAUCUCUCUCUCUCUCUCUCUCUCUGUGUCUUUCAUAUUACUCAGGUUCACAGGCACAAUAGUUGAGGUUGGGGAUUUAUGUCCUCAGUGGACUGAAUCUAAAUGGUGAUCGUUGAAGGUUAAGAUGCUAACAAGUUACAGAUCAAAUGCUGUUUUAUUUCUUCCUGUUCAUCUACUUAUCUUUAGUUGUAUUUCUUGCAGGUUCAAUGGGAUGAGCAUGCUGCAGUUCAAAGGCCUCGACAUAUUAUUUUUGAGUUCGAGCUCGAGCAUGCUGCAGUUCUCCUUGGGAUAUAGAACCUUUUGUAGCUUCGGCUCCAUCCAAUCUUGCUCAACCAGUGGUAGAGAGCAAAAGGCCACGACAUAUUAUUUUCGAGUUCGAGCUCGAGCUCGAGCUCCAUGAAAUCUACUACUCUCUCUCAGCUUUUGUGUGUGUUUUCUUGGGUUUUUGGCUGUUUGUUCAAGUUGUUGAGGGAUCUGAUGUUUUCGAGUUCGAGUUCGAGCUCGAGCUCCGACGAGGUUUUGGAUGGUGAACGCAGAUUUUUUUUUAUUAAUAUACUUUCUGUCGGUUUUAUCCGACAAGAAUGAUUUUAUAUAUUUUAUAAUAAAUUCUCUGUCGGUUAUAUCCGACAGAAUUCCUGGCGGUUUUAGUAUUUUCUGUCGGUUUUAUGCGACAUAAAUUAUAAUAAAUAAAUAUAUAUCCUGUCGGUUUUAUAGUAUUUUCUGUCAGAAAAUUUAUUUCCUGACGCGAGCAAUGCUGUCACUUAUGAUAUCCGCCACUGCAACCAUUUUCUGUCGGAUUUUGCUUAAAAUCCCUCAGUAAUAACCUUUUCUUGUCGUUUUUAUUUGUGCCAGUAAUGGGUAGUUUUGUAGUAGUGCGGCUUUGUGUGCGAUUGGGGGAGAGUGCUACAGACGCCGCAUUUAGGUCGUUAAUGAUAGGCUUAACUUGGACAACUCACUAAAUUCAUUCAAAUUUUAGACAUCGAAAUGAGCCCUUAGCCUAAAACACCCCAAGAAUUAAAAGUUAAGAGAAAUGGUCUUUUUUCCGAGCUCCUCUGUUCUGAUGUCCUUGGAGCCCUAGAUGAUUGGAUAGAUGGGGUUAUCCGUUUCUUGGUUUGCAUUUGUCGUUGUUAUCCUGGACGAAUCUUUUGACUGUUUGUUAGAAGGUGAUGCUACAUUUCGGGAUAUUGUUGGAUCACGUGGACCCUAACUCAUGUUUCCAUCUCUCUAUCAAAUAAACAAAUAAAGAUUAUAUGAAUUUCAGUUAAUUAAACUUGUCUCGUGAUCCAAUAAUAUGUUAAAAAAUGAUUGUUAAUUUUUUUUUUUUGAACAAACAAUAAAAUGAACGUGAAUUAAGUUGCAUUGGAGCACCACACUUAGGAGGCUCCACACCCUCCAAUUAGUACAUGUUACCCUCCAACUAUUCUAUUGGUACUAACUUACUUUGAAACUCUUCUUAACUUUUUUUUUCUUUCUAACAACUAAGGAUAUUGUCCGUAUUCAUAAAUAAAUAAAAGUUCUUAUGACUCUUUCUUUCUGACCACCCACCAAGCGACAUAGCCACUCUUUUAACUAGAAUUUCUCAAAAUUUGAACUCAUUUAACAAUAAUAAGUAGGUUAAUGAGCAUUACCACUACUUGAGGAUAGUGAGCAAAAACGUACCCUUAGACUAUAACUUAGUGCGAAUUUCGAUUUAGUUCUCCUCGUUAGUGAAAAAGAAGUUAGUCCACUCCAUCCAGGCUUACAAAGGAAACAAAAGUUAUAGCCGUCCCUUACGAAAUUUUCUGACUCCACCCUUGCCACCCACUUUUGAUGGGAUUCGGCUUUUCUGCCCUCCCACUUCCCAUACACUCACAUCCCCUCCUAUUUUGUGCGGUCACAGUUAAGCCACAAAUUCAUUGCAAACUUGAAUUGAAAGAGGUUGAAUUGAAAUAGAUUGAAUUCAAAGGUGUGUGAAUUAUAGCCGAAUAUCCACCCUAUUUAUAGCCCAAAAGAAUUCAAAUCCAACGACUAGUUGACGUCAUCGUGCAACUUCUAGCUGACGUCAUGCUUACGUCACUUAGUUGUUGGAUUUGAAUUUAAGUUGUAGUUUUUUAAUAAUAAAUUGUGUUUAGCCCUAUGACCCUUUAGCCCUUGGUUGGAGAUGAUUUUUUUGUGACAGGGCUAAAACUAGCCCUAUGGCCCUCAGUUGGAGAUGGUAAGAAAUAUGGCCAUGCACUAUUCAUUAAAAUAUUAAUUUCUUGGAGGACCAGAGAGCUAAAACGAGCCAUCUGGUCAGCCUUCAGUUGGAGAUGGCCUAAGUAGUCAUGGAUAGUUGCACGUACGGUGAUCUUGCACGACAACCAUUACUUGAGAAGCUUACCCCAAGUCAGUGACAGUACACAUCACACUGAAGCUUGAAUUUGGAGCAAGUUAACAUUUAGAUGGAUGAAUCCGCUUUUCAAAAGGGGAAAUCAAAUCCUCAAACUGAAAUGACAAUAUAUACCGUCGGCUCCUCCCUCGGAAAGAGCAGAAAGUGCUUCCUAUGCGCCUCAAGAAUCACUGAACAUGUUCGUGGCGGGAAUUUCCGUGGGGGAUGCUUCCUGUCCGACCAGCACACAGCUCCCCGAGAGGUUGGCGCCGGUUGAUGCUUUCUAUCGGGCUUCUGCUUUUCUGACGGGCUUGUCGGGCAAGGCUGAAAGAGAAUGACAGAGUUAACUUUGAAAGGUGCCUUUGUGAGGCCUUAGGUGUAGGCCUUGAGGCUCACAAUUAAGAUUAACCUUUAAGUGCUCAAGUGUGCCACUGCCAUUUUCAGCAUGGCAGAUGUAGAACGGAUGUUUGAGUUUAAUUAUAUAUAUUCGCGAAACUAUGUUAGUUAUUGACAGGUGCCUUUGUGGGGCCUUAGGUGUAAGCCUUGAGGUUUCCCAUAAAUAACUAACUUAGUACUCGAACACAUAAGGUUCCUUUUGUUGGUUAUAUGGGUCUUAUAACCAUCAUACUUCUGAUUACCUGAGCUCAAAGAGCAGAAUGAAUCCAAAUAGGUGCCUUUGUGGGGCCUUGAAUAAGCCUUGAGGCUUCCCAUCAGAACCCAUUAUAUACUCAAUGUUCUUGCCCGAGAAAUAGGAUGAAUCCAAAUAGGUGCCUUUGUGGGGCCUUGAAUAGGCCUUGAGGCUUCCCAUCAGAACUCAUCCCGUACUCGAACGCUAUAUGGUAAUCAUAAUAUAACAGCAAUAAAACUAAGUGACAGGUCGAUUACUUGCGCCCCAAGUAACUUCGGAUUUCUUGUUAUCAAAGCUUGUAGUGGAUGGGUUAAGUCCAUAUCAGGUUCUUUUUUAUGCCUUGAGGCCAAGGACUUUUUAGAAUGAUCAAAUCUUAUAUGCCCGAAAGCUUAGAACUUAGAUCUGGCUUGAACUGUGAAGACAUAUUCAAAUCGGAUUCAAGUGCUAAAAGAGUCGUUUAACAGCCAUAUUACUAGAAAUAACUUGGAUACAACUUGUAGUGUACAACAUAUUGCUAGCCUAAUGAAUGAAAAGACAAAAACAAAUAGGGUCGGGCAAGGCUGAUCGUCUUGCAACUUCUUAUCUUUGUGGUUUAUCAGAAGGUUUGAAAGAUUAGAAAAAGGUUUGGGAAGUGAGUUUACAGAAAAGAGAUCGAUACUACAGCAAGAGUUGAACAGGGUAGCAGAGCUAUUACAAAGGGUUUAUCCCGAAGGGGAUGAAGGCUUGGGCUGACUACAGCUUCGUUUUGAAGGCAAAUCUGGCUUUGAGCAGAGUUUGUGCUUGUAUUUGUUUGUUUGAGUGUCUUUGAUUCUGACUUCUCUUUCUCCUUUUAUAGACACCUUGGCUUGGCCUCCUGUAGCAAUAAUCCUGCCCAAAUGCAGUUUGAAGGAUAGUGACUCAUUGGCUAUUUACUUGUAUUGCCCUUAUAAAGUACUUUUGGGCUGAUUAGCUACCACUUGGCCCUUGGGUAGGUGAGCAAGUGGUGCAAAUGAUCUACAUCUAGUCAGGAAAGGUCUUCUCUGCUUUCUGGGUUUGGGCUGAGCUUCGGGCUUUUCCUUCUCUAUUUGGGCCAACUCCCUUCUAAGCCCAAAGUUUAAGUUUUAACUCAAACAGUGCCCCCUUCAAUCAAUAUUCAGACUGGAAUUCCAGGCGCCAAUAUUGAUUGAAUAGGUCUCUGUUAAUACCCACGCCUUUCGUUCUCGGGAUUUGCACACUUUUCAAAAGCAACCAUCGCCUUUCUUCGGUUAAUCCCAUCACUCCCGAAUCUCCUGCAUUCUUCUUAUUUCCGUAAUCAAAAACUUCCUAACCCUCCAGUCGCUCAUUCCUUGUCAUUCUAUUUCCAAACUUCAUCAAAUGGCUUCAGGAUCCAGCCAAAUCCAUCUAUCAUAUGAGUCUGGCGAAGGUAUCGCCACUUUGCGCCGUUUACUCAAUGGCCUGCAUCGCCCUCAAGCAGGUUUGUAUUCUGAGCUUUUCUUUGAAGUACAUGGAGUACAAUCGUUGGGUCCUGCAUGGAUUUCUCGGGUCCCUGCAGUGAUAGAAGAUAAUAUGCCCAAGGAUAACUGGUUUUCUCCAAAUCCCUAUUUGGCUAAGUCGGGCAUUUCCUCAUCUAAAUGGUCGUCAUAUCGCCGAGGCUUUCCAUUGAUGAAUGAUCCGGCUUGGGUCCAAUGGAUUGAUGAACUAGAGCCAAUCUUUAAGAAAAAAUGGAUGAAUAAUGGCAUUUAUGAGUUGAUAAUGCUCUCAAAAACCACCAUUAUUCCUAAGCCCGAACUGCUUGCUUCCUCUCUUCUUUUCUGGAACUCGGGCACAAACACUUUUGACUUUCGCAUAGGUCCCAUGUCUCCGACUAUUCUAGAUAUGGCUCAAGUCUUCGGGUUAAGGCCAUCGGGCAGGAUAAUAGACAUUACUCAAGACUGGGCUCUCCCCUCGAUUGCUGAAAGCUCAAGUUCAUCCACAUCCUUCCUCUUCUUGGAAUAUAACUUUGCAACCUUCAAGAGUUACGAGACAUCAUUCAAGGGAUUCAUCCCUUUUGUAAAAGAAAAUUUUGGAGCAGGUUCUUCCCGUGCUGAUAGAGAUCAAGAACACAUGUAUUUCCUUUUAUAUUGGCUCAACAAACAUAUUUUCCCCAACAAAUCUAAAUGGGUGAAGGUUGAAUGGAUCCCCUUGGUGGAAGCUCUUCAUAACUUCGACGAUGUGGCAACAGGUCAAUUCCUUCUUUCUCAUCUUUACCAUCUUCUAUUCGAAAUGACUAAAGGCGAGCCAUUUGAGACUAACCUGAAUGGACCCAUAUGGAUGAUACAAACAUGGCUCCAAUGGUACUUUCCAGAGUUUCGGGCUGCCAACUUAGAGUUCCCAGAAGGUGUAGCCCCUACUCGAAUCCUAACCGAAGCUGCUCUUACUGAUCACUCCACCUUCGCCUGUUUUUAUUUCUUCAAGGUUUGUAGGACUCGAUCAGACCUGGAAUGGGGUGCAUCAGUUUUGAGAAGAUAUCCUUGGUUUUCUGACAAGGCCUUUCACGAUGCUCCUAGGGAAGAUGCCACCUCCUCUUGUAGGGACAAAUUUAUUAGUUGCAUCCAAUCGAGAGAUAUGGCCUGGGGAGUUCGGGGCAAUCGGUACGAUCGAGGGUUGGAGGUGUAUCACCCCAACUUUUGCAGCAGGCAAUUAGGUUUUAGGCAAACCAUCCCCAUCCCAUUCUUUGACUCUGUUCAUUGUGGCACUUCUUUUCGUUUAGUAUCUCCUUCUGAGGCGACCUUUAGAGCUGCCUGACGCAGUCUUGAAGUCAUGAGUCAGGCUGCCCGAAAGUUCAUCAUCCUCAAUUUUGAAUGCACUUCACUCUUCUCUUCUUGGUGGGAAGACAAAUGGACCAAGAAAUAUGGAGGAGACUUGAGAGAGACUUAUGAUCGCCUGUUCGGUCAACUUUCUCUCAAAUCAAACCCUAGUUCGGGCGAACUUGAAAAUUGGAAGGAGAUGAUUCAAGAAAAGAAUCGAGUUCUUCUGAUAGGUAUCCUUUCUUCUUAUCUUGAUUCCAUAAUUUUUCCCUUAAACCCUUUUAACUUUUUCCCUUCUUAACCCUGCAGCCCAAGUGGAUGUUGAAUUAGUACCUACUGAGUCCGAGGAUGACUCAGCUGAUGCAGCAGUUCUUCAUGGAGCUGCGGCAGAGGCUGAGAGGCGAGAAGCUGGAGAAUGUGGGGAUGUUUUAGAAGAUUCAGGAGCUGAAAAAGAAGCGCCUGAAGCUACCAUCCAAGUGUCUAAGCGAAGGAAAACAGUCGUGAUUGAGAACUCAGAUUCUAAUCCUGCAUCCCCCCAAGACUAAACGACGAAUUCCUACUCCUACUAGAAAGAGUAAGAGAACCAGAACCGUCCAAACUAUCAAGUCUUCAUACCCACAUGCUCCAGUUAUUGAGGCGGGUAGAAAGAAGCAAAAAUCUUCAAGUGAGUUAUGUUCCCUUUUGUUACGCUGCCACAUUUCUUCUUUAUCCAGUUACCUAUGUUUUUCUUGAACACAUGACCUCAAGCAUCAAAGAAACCAACCAUCGCCUCCAAGGAUGAACCCUUAGGAGCUGCAAUGUAUAAAAAGGCUGAAGAGUUGAGAAACCUCACCCUUAAAGAACUUGAGGUAUAGUCUACUUUUAUAUCUGCAUAAUCUUUCCUGCUUUCACAAAAACCCUGAGCAUGGUUACUUGAGUCAGGCUGCAAGAAACGAAAAGCUUCAUCCGCCCAAGGCCUCUUCACCACUUGCUCAAGAAACAAACCUCUCCCCCCCCCCAGGGUUGAUCUUUCAGAGGUAUACUUCAUUUCUUAAACCUUAGGUAACUUCAUGAUUUUUGGGGGUAAUGCUCGAUCUUUUUCUUUCUUCUGACUUCAUCUAAGUCGGGGUAUCUGCUCCCUUGCCUAGUCAAAGUUCUCCUUUGAUUUCUCCUUCUGUCCUGGAGGCAACUCCAUCUUCUCAAUUUGAUCCAUCCACAAGAGUAAUGUUGCACUUCGUGGAUGAGGACAGUAAUUUGGUGAGUAACCAUCCUUACAGUGAAUCCCCUUUUAUUGUUUCGGUAUUAACUUCUAUUUACCUCUUCCUCAGCCUCAUUCAAUACAAAAUCCAUUAGUGGCAACAAGAACAAGUGACGAACCCAUAGUCCCUAAGAUUCCUGUAACUUCAGAAGCAACUACUCUGCAGAUGUUUGCCUGCCCGACAGUUACCCUUGAUAGACCUUAUUCAUCCCUUCAGGGUCGAACUCUGGUAAGGAGAUAUUUCUUUCCCGUUCUUCUCUUACCAUCUGCUUACUAACCAUUAUUGCCCUUCCUGUGUGCUUUCAGGGUAUUGGUGAAGGUUUAGGUGCAGCUUCUUCUUCCUCCGUAAGUGGUAGGGAGUCUUCCCCUCAACCAGGAAUCAGUAUUCUUCCUUGUGAGACUCUAAGGCUUAGUCAGGUAUAUUUCUUCAUCCCCAAACUUUCCUUCAUUUCAAAUUGUCUAUUUAACAAUCUGAUCUUCUUUUGGUCUUUGUAGCAAGUUCCUGAAGAAACUUCUCCUCCUCAUUUGGUUCGUAAACCAAAGUUUCCCCGACCUCAUUUAACUAUUAGGAGUGCUAGGAUUGCUCAUCCUGGAAUGGAGAAGGCUGGAGAGCUAAAAACUGCCCCAUCAGUAAGCGCUACUUCAUUAGAGGAAACUGGAGUGCGAAGUCCCCCUCCUGCUUCUUUAGCUUUAAAAACUGCUAAGUUGCCCGAACUGUUUGAAAAAUUCGGGCAGCUCGAGACAAGGCUAAAAUCCUCGAAGCAUUCUUCACCUUUAGGUUUUCCAGAGCAGAAGCGAGUUUUCCAAGAAUGGGCAAGGAAGGAUUUCUCCGCUUCAUUUAGCCUUAAGGCCCUUCAUGAUCUGGAAAAGGUUACAAGUGAGCUUUUCAAAGCUGACCAACUGUCCAAAACCCAACAUGAUUCCUUCUUCUCCUUCUUUGAAAAUCUGAGGGCUAUUCGGGAUCAACAUAAGAGGGCAGAAAGACAAGCCAAUCGUGUAAGAUGUUUCCAGGAGAAGGAAUCAAGCACUUCUGCUCAGGUAGACAAGUUGAUGAAUGAUGGUUCAUUAACGAAAGAAAGAAUUGGAGUGGUGACUGUUGAAAUCCAAAAACUAGAAGAACAACUGGUUGUUCUCAAGGCUGAGCAAGCAACUCUUCUGGACACCCUCGAAAAUCAAAUUGAAGAAGUGAAGAAGACAAACUCGGAGUUGGAGCAUUCUAGAUCUCAGCUUGCAAAUAGUCAUACCGUCCUGGCCGAACCUAGUAGGAUUUUUACAAUUAUGCAGACAUAUCACUCCCGAAUAAUCACCCUGAGUGAAAAUGUAAAAUUAUUAGACUAGGAUCACUUGUAACCCCUCUCUCAGUGGAAUGAACAUGUAUUUGUCUUUUGCUUGCUUUGCUUCUGGCCCCUAUCCAAACUUCUUUCGGGCAAUUCUUUGCCCCCUUGUUUACUUUCUUCUUUAUUUGAGCAAUGGUGUUGUGACGACCCGAGAUCCAUCUUCCCCUUUGUCGUACCAGUCGAUGACAUUGGCUUCUCCAUCUAAACCAGAUGGAUCGCGUUGAUAGGAGCUUCCGGGAAAGGAUUGGUAUCAACCAUCAUGCUAGCUUGUGGCUUGUCAAGUAACAACUUUCCCUUCACUAUAAGGUCUUGCACCCAGUCUCUGAACUGGACACAAUUAGUUAUAGAAUGGUUGAAGGUAUAGUGUAACUUGCAAUACUUCUUUCCCCUCAGCUCUUCUGGUUUGGGCAUCUUUUUUGUACUGUCGGGCACAAUCACUCUUACCCACACCAGCUCUUCAUAAAUCUCAGGUGUUUUGGCCAGAUCGAACGAAUAGCUCUGAUAUUUGGGAGGUUUCAUGGGGACAAAGUCUCCAUCAUUCAUCACGAUCUUCUGGUUCUUGAUGGGCUGAACUAAUCAUUUCACCGUCAAGGGUUUGAAAGGCGUAGUCAUUUCAGUAGCACACACCUCGAUCUCCUCUCUAUCAUGAUCGUCCUCCUGCUCUGGCCCAAUUUCUCCUACCUCCACAUGAUGAAUUGUAGCUUUGUUUUUGUAGAAUGGAGGAGUUUUGGACGUAUGCUUCACUUGCUAUUCUUCUAGUAAUAGUUUUUCAUAUCUUAUGGCAGCAAUGACUAACUCAUGUAGCUCAUUAAAUUGUGUAUCAUAAAAUCUCUUCCUCAAAGGUAAUUUCAGAGCCCUUUGAGCAAUUGAUAUGAGCUGAGCUUGGUUAACAGGGAAUUGGCACCUCAUCCUUGUCUUCCUGAACCUCAUCAUGAAGUCCUCUGUGGACUCAUGCUCGUAUUGUUUGACUUCAACCAGAUCAUUAAUAGUCAUCUCUGGUUCUAUUCUGUAAAAUUGUUCAUGGAAAGCCAUCUCAAUUUGCCCCCAGUUGGCAAUAGAGUUAGGGGGUAAUAGAGAAUACCACUGGGAUGCAAGUCCUGCCAACGAAUUCCCAAACAACCUUAACUUGUAGUUUGGGUUGUCUUCAUACGCCACACAAUGAUUAGAGAACUUGAAAAUGUGAUCUCUGGAGGACACACCGCUGUCUUCACCCGUGAAUGUUGGGAAUGCGGGCAUCUUGAAGUUGGGAGGAAAUGGAUUCUGUUCGUCAAUGUAUUCAGGAUAAGGCUUUUGAUAAGUAAUCCUGAACACUGGGCGAGCUCGUGGUUGAGCGUUUUGAACUACUGCCCUCCUCAAUUCAGCCAACUCAUCCCUUAGCUGUUGAGUAGCUGUAUUAUUCUGGAAAAUAAAGGCGGACUCGUCCUUCGGGCUUCGGUCAUUGCCUAUGAAUGCUUAUUUCUUUGUUUCAGGCUUUAUCCAGUUGGUUCCCCAUCCCUUAUGAGCCAAAGGGGGUGGCCUAUAAGGAAGAGGUUUGUCCGGGGCUGCAAAGCUUUCUUUUUUGCUGGACUCUCUUGUUGUUAUGGGCAUCCCAUACUUUGUCCUCUCCUGCUCACUUUGCUUCCUGUUAUUAAAUGUUAACAACAGGAAGCUAGGAAACUCCUUCCCCAAGACCGGCUCUACCAUGGGUUGACUUCCUUCAAGAACUGCUUUCUUCUUUCCCCUAUCCGUUUCUUCUUCUAGUAGUGGAAAUAGGGGAAUAACUGGCUCACUUCUGAUGGUAACCUGGCUCAUCCCACUUCCUUGAGCGCCUUUUGGAGUGGAAAACUCCAGAUCGAGCCUUCUUUGUAGAUUUCCUGUUAAGGUACACAGUCUACUGACCUCCCCCUUGGUCUCCAACGAGAUUUUUUCCAUGCUUCUCAAUACUUGUAUCAUAGUAGCCUGCAAUUCCUCAUUAGUUUCUUUUCCUUCCGACUUCCCGGAUGAAGAUGGGCUUUCUAGGACCACAUGUCCCGAUGGGGAAGAAGGAUUUCCUUAUUGAUCUGUCAUUGGUAGUAAAAGUUGAGAAAAAUCACUCUUCGUUUUCUUUCUACAAAGUGUAUGGCUUUUCUUUUUGGACAUGCAAGAUCUACACAAAUGAUAUCCCACCGAGCGUGCCAAAACUAUGUUUGUGGCAAGAAUUUUCGUGGGGGAUGCUUCAUGUCCGAUGAGCACACAGCUCCCCAAGAGGUUGCCGCCGGUUGAUGCUUUCUGUCGGGCUCCUGCUUUACUGGCGGUCUUGUCAGGCAAGGCUGAAGGAGAAGGACAGAGUUAACUUUGAAAUGUGUCUUUGUGAGGCCUUAGGUGUAGGCCUUGAGGCUCACAAUCAAGAUUAACCUUUAAGUGCUCAAGUGUGCCACUGCCAUCUUCAGCAUGGCAGAUGUAGAACGGAUGUUUGAGUUUAAUUAUAUAUAUUCGCGAAACUAUGUUAGUUAUUGACAGGUGCCUUUGUGGGGCCUUAGGUGUAGGCCUUGAGGCUUCCCAUAAAUAACUAACUUAGUACUCGAACACAUAAGGUUCCUUUUGUUGGUUAUAUGGGUCUUAUAACCAUCAUACUUCUGAUUACCUGAGCUCAAAGAGCAGAAUGAAUCCAAAUAGGUGCCUUUGUGGGGCCUUGAAUAGGCCUUGAGGCUUCCCAUCAGAACCCCUUCUAUACUCAAUGUUCUUGCCUAUGAAAUAGGAUGAAUCCAAAUAGGUGCCUUUGUGGGGCCUUGAAUAGGCCUUGAGGCUUCCCAUCAGAACUCACCCCAUACUCGAACGCUAUAUGGUAAUCAUAAUAUAACAGCAAUAAAACUAAGUGACAGGUCGAUUACUUGCGCCCCAAGUAACUUCGGACUUCUUGUUAUCAAAGUUUGUAGUGGAUGGGUUAAGUCCACAUCAGGUUCUUUUUUAUGCCUUGAGGCCAAGGACUUUUUAGAAUGAUCAAAUCUUAUAUGCUCGAAGGCUUAGAACUUAGAUCUGACUUGAACUGUGAAGACAUAUUCAAAUCGGAUUCAAGUGCUGAAAGAGUAUUUUAAUAGCCAUAUUACUAGAAAUAACUUGGAUACAACUUGUAGUAUACAACAUAUUGCUAGGCUAAUGAAUGAAAAGACAAAAACAAAGAGGGUCGGGCAAGGCUGAUCGUCUUGCAACUUCCUAUCUUUGUGGUUUAUCAGAAGGUUUGAAAGCUUAGAAAAAGGUUUAGGAGGUGAGUUUACAGAAAAGAGAUCGAUACUACAGCAAGAGUUGAACAAGAUAGCAGAGCUAUUACAAAGGGUUUAUCCCGAAGGGGAUGAAGGCUUGGGCUGACUACAGCUUCGUUUUGAAGGCAAAUCUGGCUUUGAGCAAAGUUUGUGCUUGUAUUUGUUUGUUUGAGUGUCUUUGAUUCUGACUUCUUUUUCUCCUUUUAUAGACACCUUGGCUUGGCCUCCUGUAGAAAUAAUCCUGCCCGAAUGCAGUUUGAAGGAUAGUGACUCAUCAGCUAUUUACUUGUAUUGCCCUUAUAAAGUACUUUUGGGCUGAUUUGCUACCACUUGGCCCUUGGGUAGGUGAGCAAGUGGUGCAAAUGAUCUGCAUCUAGUGGGGAAAGGCCUUCUCUGCUUUCUGGGUUUGGGCUGAGCUUCGGGCUUUUCCUUCUCUAUUUGGGCCAACUCCCUUCUAAGCCCAAAGUUUAAGUUUUAACCCAAACAUAACAACUUCAAGACUCUUCCUCGCUUACCAAAGCAAUUUUUCAGGCUACAUGAGUGUCAUUGGCCCUAAAUGUUGUCUUUACAGGUAACUACUCUGAAUUUGCUCUUGAAAUAUCGCCUUUGGUCUUACUUUUAUGAAUAACUUGUUAAUUGUUACUCUUAAUUUGAUGUUGGAGUUAAUGCUUUCGCAUCCUAAACGGUCCGUUUCCAAUCACAAACUUUGUGAACUAUAUGCUCAAAAACCUUGAUGGUUCAAGCUACCAUUACGGAAUACCUCUUGCCAUGAUGUUCUUUUUCACACUGACGUUGGAAUCGGUUACUCAAAGACAGUUGUGCUUUGCUGCUCGACGAAUUGGUCUACGAGUAAGAGCAGCUCUCAUUGCCUUAAUCUACAAGAAGUCCAUCUCAAUCUCUCUCAAAUCUGGCUGCCCAAGCAAUGGAAAAUUUAAUCAGCGUGGACGUAGAAGCAAUCGGGGAGUUCUUCUCAUCCAUUCACGGAGUUUGGCUUAUUCUGCUUCAAGUGUUUACGGUGCUGUUGGUUCUAGCAGUUCCUUGAAAUAAGGUUCAAUCUUGUGGGAUUAUGCCCAAACUUGACCUUAAGUCUUGCAACCCAAUUUUUGAAAUGCCUAAUCCGUCAAUGAGAAUCCUCCCUCCUGAGGGUUCUACUACUCGGAACAGUGCUUGAAUCAAUGUAGACUUUCCACUUCCUGUCCUUCCCACAACACUGGUUUUCCUCUUUUCCGAGAAGGUGCAUGUGACCCCUUUGAUCACCAUUGGGAGAGCUGGGUGAUACUGAACUUGCAGGUUCUGAAGUUCGACUUUUCCUUCAGUUGGCCAAUCAACGUUUGGCCUAGAACCUUCGAUCACAAGCGGUGCCUCACUUGGUGAAGUCUCUCAAUUGAUAUCAUUGAGUUGUCGACAUUGCAUAGAUUCCAAAUAACCCAAGCCUGCAGGACCAUGAGGUUAAAGCCAAAAGUGCCGUUGAUGCCCAUACCCGAACACACUUGUCCAAGGCAGGCAAAAUUCUAGUUCAUUGUUUUCGAGUGUAUUUACUUAAUGUAUAUGCAGUAGUAAUUGAUCAGGAAUUGGUUCAGGAAUGUCUCUUGCAACUCGUCCGAAAAGACGGUCGUCUAUGUCACUCAUCAACUAGAAUUUUUAGAAGCAGCAGACUUUGUUUUGGUAAGUUAAUUAUUGAUUACAUGGACAUUUUUUUUUUCAAAUACUCACUUAUCUAACUCAUGAUUAUAAUUCAAUUAUUUAUAUUUAGGUUCUUAACCAAGAAGAUCAGACUUGCAGAAAGAAAAAGAAAGAAACAAUACAGAGAAUAUAGAAGAAAACUUAGAAAGAAUAUGAAAGGUUUUGUAUUGAUAGAAUGAUAUUUUUCUUACAAACAAUAAGCUGCAAUCAGCUUUUUAUAUCCCUAUAGUAGCCUAACUACCUUGCUUACUGUGUAAGCUACACAGCACCAUCCUAACUAACUUUCAACAGAAAUAUGAAUGACAUGGAAGAUGAUGUGGCAUUCACUUGAGUCAAUUAUUAUCAGUCAACAUCCCCCCUCAAUCUCAACGAGGGAAACCAAGUUUGAGAUUGAAACAAUGACGAGUGAAUGGCGGACUAUGUAAUCCUUUAGUAAGAAUAUCAGCGGUCUGUUCAUCAGUAGGGAGAUACUCAACCAACAGAUCACCAUUAUGCACCCUUUCACGGACAAAAUGAUAAUCCGUAUCAAGGUGUUUGAUUCUCGAAUGAUACACCGGAUUAGCACUGAGUGCUAUUGCGGAUUUAUUAUCACAGAAUAUAGUGGGUUGAACAGGUAAUGCAACUCCCAAAUCUUUCAAAAUGAGCCGAAUCCAUGCCACAUCUGCUGCAGUAUGAGCAAGUGCCUUGUAUUCCGCCUUUGUAGAACUGCGAGAGACAGAGGAUUGCUUCUUUGACUGCCAAGAGAUUGGAUUCCCACCAAGAUAAACCACAUAACCAGUCACAGAUCGUCUUGUGUUCAAAUCAGCAGCCCAAUCAGCAUCAGAAAACGCUGUCAAAUGUAUGUCAGUAUCAGCUGCAUAUGUAAGACCACAUUCGACAGUGCCUUGAAGAUAUCGAAUAAUUCGUUUGACAGAAGUAAGAUGUAUAUCUGUCGGAGCAGUCAUAAAUUGACACACGGAAUUCACAGCAUAAGCUAUAUCUGGACGUGUAAAAGUGAGAUAUUGCAGGGAACCAACCAAACUUCGGUACAAUGUGGAGUCCUGCAAUGGUAUGCCCUCAUUCAAUAGCAUCUGAUUGUGAGGUUUGCAUGGUGUAUUCGCAGGUUUACAAGACUCCAUUCCAGCUUUAUGAAUAAGAUCUUUAACAUACUUGGAUUGAUUCACAAAUAUCUCUCCAUUCUCCUUGUAUUGAAUCUGAAGUCCCAGGAAGUAAGUAAGUCUGCCCAUAUCCUUUAAGUCAAAAACACCUGCCAAAUCAUCGAUAACUUGCUGAACUUUGCUAGCAUUUGAUCCUGUCAAAAUGAUGUCAUCGACAUAUAGUAAAAGAACCACCACAUCCUUGUCAUCAUUCUUCACAAACAAACUGGUAUCCGAUGAAGAGGGUAUAAAUCCCAAAGCUGGUAAAUAGGUUGUGAACUUUGAAUUUCAUGCCCGAGGGGCUUGCUUCAACCCAUACAACGAUUUAAUCAACUUGCAGACAUAAUGGGGUUUAGUUUGAUCAACAAACCCUUGAGGCUGUUUCAUAUACACCUCUUCUUGUAAGUCACCAUGCAGAAAUGCAUUUUUGAUAUCUAACUGCCUCAAUUCCCAUUUAUUUAUAGCUGCUAAGGAUAAAAUGAGUCGUACAGUAGUGUGGCGUCUACUGGACUAAAAGUUUCUGAGUAGUCAAUGCCUUGUUCUUGGGAAAAACCUUGAGCCACAAGUCUGGCUUUAUACCUCGAUACACUUCCAUCAGGAUUCUUCUUAACUUUAUAUACCCACUUACUGCCAAUAAUGGUUCUGUUUGGUGGAGAAGGAACCAACUGCCAAGUUCCUUGAGUUUUGAGGGCAUUAAACUCCUCUUGCAUUGCAGUUUGCCAGAUUUGAAUGUCAGAUUAUAACCUCAGCAUUAAACUCCUCUUGCAUUAAACUCCUCUUCAAAACAGGUCCUAUAGUUGAAUGUCAGAUUUGUUCUCGCAGAGGUCAUACUGCUGCAAACUGUUCGAAUAGGAGUGAUGGUUAUCAGAUUAUAAUCUGUCAAAUUUGUGGAAAGAAAGGUCAUAAUGCUCUGGAAUGUAGACAUCGGAAUAACUAUUCCUAUCAGGGGGCACCUCCACCUCCUUCUCUUACUACAUUUUCUGCUCAAGCUCCGUCUCACAUGACUAUACAACAACAACAACAAAGCAUUUUCCCACUAAGUGGGGUCGGCUAUAUGAAUCCUAGAACGCCAUUGCGCUCGGUUUUGUGUCAUGUCCUCCGUUAGAUCCAAGUAAUCAAGUCUUUUCUUAGGGUCUCUUCCAAAGUUUUCCUAGGUCUUCCUCUACCCCUUCGGCCCUGAACUUCUGUCCCGUAGUCACAUUUUCGAACCGGAGCGUCAGUAGGCCUUCUUUGCACAUGUCCAAACCACCGGAACCGAUUUUCUCUCAUAUUUCCUUCAAUUUUGGCUAUUCCUACUUUACCUUGGAUAUCCUCAUUCCCAAUCUUAUCCUUUCUCGUGUGCCCAUACAUCCCACGAAGCAUCCUCAUCUCCGCUACACCCAUUUUGUGUACAUGUUGAUGCUUCACCGCCCCAACAUUCUGUGCCAUACAACAUCGUUGGCCUUAUUGCCGUCCUAUAAAAAUUUUCCCUUGAGCUUCAGUGGCCUACGACGAUCACACAACACGCCGGAUACACUCUUACACUUCAUCCAUCCAGCUUGUAUUCUAUGGUUGAGAUCUCCAUCUAAUUCUCCGUUCUCUUGCAAGAUAGAUCCUAGGUAGCGAAAACGGUCACUUUUUGUGAUCUUCGCUAGAUUGCUCCGGUCAUUAGUGUGGAUAAGUAUAUAAAUGGAUAGAGAUAGGAAAGCAAACACAAGAUGUACGUGAUUCACCCAGAUUGGCUACGUCCACGGAAUAGAGGAGUUCUCAUUAAUUGUGAAGGGUUUACACAAGUACAUAGGUUCAAGCUCUCCUUUAGGGAGUACAAGUGAAUGAUUUAGUACAAAUGACAUUAGGAAAUAUUGUGGGAGAAUGAUCUCGUAACCACGAACUUCUAAGUCCCGGAGUGUGGUAUCGGCUUGACUUUCCUUAUCUAUCUCAUAGGUAGAUGUGGAAUCUUCUCUGGAAGUACUCUUCCUCCAUCCAGGGGUGGUAUCUGUAACUGGUGGAGAUGCACAAGGUAAUGUAUCAAUGUCACUUGAAGCUUACUUGUAGUUUCAGGCUUGGUCAAGCGCGAUACAAACCAUGUAGUAGGAGUCCUCCAAGUCGCCGAGCUAGGGGAUCUGCUGAAAGAGGUAACAGACAAGGUAAGCAAUCAGAGCUCCGGCUGAUUGUUCACAUUCUCCCUAUCUUGCAGGCAGCAUGAAGGAUAAAGAGAAGAAAAAUGAGAAGAGAUGAUAUGGGAUACUUUUGCUUUUGAAGAAGUAACUUUCCACAGGCUUAUUCUUGAACUGGGCUGGAGGGUUUUCUGGUUUCCUCCAAAGUAUAAGGCCGACUGAAGAAUUUGAGGGUCAAAAACAAGUCCAUCAAAUCUAGAGUACGUUCGACCCUGCUGAUAUGGGAUACUUUUGCUUUUGACAGAGUAGUGGAUGUAUCGGCACGUGUGCUGUUACGCUUGUCUCCACAUGCUUCCUUGUAUCCUUCUCACUUGCCCUAUCCUCAGGCAGAUGCGGUAUCUUCCUUGGAAGCAUAAGAUGUUGAAGAUGAGUACUCGAGAGCAAUGCCAGGGUAAGGGGGUUCCAGGCAGUCAGUUCCUGGCUGGAAGCUUGAUUCCAAGUGCUGACUGAUUGCUCUCUUUCUCCUUGUCUUGCAGGUAAGAACAAGGCCAAAGGAAAAGACAGGGAAAAAGCAUGAUAUGGGAUACUCUUGCUUUUAACCCUGAUGAUAUGAGAUAUUCUUGCUCUAGUAUAGCUUGUUUACAGAGGUAUUAUCGGGGGGAAAGAAAGCUGAAUAUUUCGAAAGGCUUCGUUGGGAGUGCCCUCUCAGAUAAGAGGAAGGGUUGAGCAUUUUUGCAGGUCUGCCUGUCCGUUGGGGAUGGAGGUCGACAUAUAUAGGAGUCUCCCUAACAUCAAGUAAUAAUGUUAUUCCUUUACCCUGCUUGGUCAUAGCACGGUAGUGGGAGCUGCCAGCUUCACAAGUUUUAACUCUGUCAGAGCACUUUGAAAAAGUGGUCUGUGGUAUCUGGAAAGCUGAUGUUGCGUGUGAAGAUUACAGACAAGCUUUAUCCAAGGAGAUCCGGCUCUUGAAGUUGGGAAAGUGGUGCCUCUUCGGUUUUCGAACAAGCAAUCCUGUCGGGAUCUGGCUCUCGAGAUUCGGAGAACGAUGCCUCUUCGAUUUUUGAGAAAGCAAUCAUGCUGGGGGUUUGGCUCUCGAGAUUCGGAGAGCGGUGUCUUCGAUUUUUGAGAAAAAGUAAUCAUGUUGGGAGUUGGGAGUGUUUUCUCGAAAUAUGAGUAAAGGUUGGGCAUGUUUGCUAGUCUACCUUGCCACGAAGCACAGAGGUUGACACACAGGGACUUUUCCAAUUAUCCAGCAGUGGUACUGUUCCUUUACCCUCUCUUCGAUUUUUGAGAAAGUAAUCAUGUUAGGAGUCUGGCUCUCGAGAUUCGGAGGGCGGUGCCUCUUCGAUUUUGGAGCAAGCAAUCUUGUUGGGGGUGUUUUCUCGAAUGUGAGUAAAGGUUGGGCAUGUUUGCUAGUCUACCUUGCCACGAAGCACAGAGGAUGACACACAGGGACUUUCAAAUUAUCCAGCAGUGGUACUGUUCCUUUACCCUCUAUUCGAUUUUUGAGAAAGUAAUCAUGUUGGGAGUCUGGCUCUCGAGAUUCGGAGGGCGAUGCCUCUUCGAUUUUGGGGCAAGCAAUCUUGUUGGGAGUGUUUUUCUCGAAUGUGAGUAAAGGUUGGGCAUGUUUGCUAGUCUACCUUGUCAUGAAGCACAGAGGUUGACACACCGGGACUUUCCAAUUAUCCAGCAGUGGUACUGUUCCUUUACCCUUGUAGGUAAUAAUAUGGUAGCUAGGCCGUCAAAAUUUAUGUGUCUAAACUUUGUUAGUGUUGUUUCUUUGCUAUUCUUUUACCCUUCUUGGUCAGAGCGAUGUAGUGAGAGUUGCAAGCUUCACGUGUCUCGACUUUGUCAGAGAACUUUGGCAAAGUUAUAUGUGGUACCCAUGAGCUACUGUUGCGUGUGGGAAGUGGGUGAUUGAACAGUACGAUUCAUGUGCUUUCUACUUCGCCAGAAAUCUUCGACAGAAUGCCCAUAAUUUCCGCAAAGCUGAGUGUGCGUGUGACAGGUGCUGACAAGGCUGGAAAAGUAGGUGCCUCUUCGAUUUCUGAGAUCGACCCUCGUGGUCUCUGAGCAGCCCAGCUUUUGAGAAAGCAAACCUCUUCGAUUUCUGAGAUCGGCCCUCGUGGUCUCUGAGCAGCCCAGCUUUUGAGAAAGCAAACCUCUUCGAUUUCUGAGAUCGACCCUCGUGGUCUCUGAGCAGCCCAGCUUUUGAGAAAGCAAACCUCUUCGAUUUCUGAGAUCGGCCUUCGUGGUCUUUGAGCAGCCCAGCUUUUGAGAAAGCAAACGCCUCUUCGAUUUCUGAGAUCGACCCUCGUGGUCUCUGAGCAGCCCAGCUUUUGAGAAAGCAAACGCCUCUUCGAUUUCUGAAGCUUCGUCGAGUGCAGAUUUUUAUAGAGGCUAACAUUAAGUUCCAAAGCACACUUGAAUAUCCACCUGUAGAAGCUCCAUUCUUGCACUUCUAAGAUCUUGAUUUGUCCGACCUCUUCUCUCUUCUACACCUUUGAAAAUGUCUGGCCCCUCCGACCGUCGUUUUGACUUGAACCUUGUUGAAGAGGCAGCCCCGCCUUCUCCAGACAACAUAUGGCGCCCAUCCUUCGUCUCCCCUACUGGUCCUCUUACUGUUGGGGAUUCCGUGAUGAAGAAUGAUAUGACCGCUGCGGUAGUGGCCAGGAACCUUCUCACUCCCAAAGAUAACAGACUACUUUCCAAACGGUCUGAUGAGUUGGCUGUUAAGGAUUCUCUGGCUCUUAGUGUUCAGUGUGCAGGUUCUAUGUCUAAUAUGGCACAACGCCUAUUUGCUCGAACCCGCCAAGUUGAAUCAUUGGCGGCUGAAGUGAUGAGUCUCAAACAGGAGAUUAGAGGGCUCAAGCAUGAGAAUAAACAGUUGCACCGGCUCGCACAUGACUAUGCUACAAACAUGAAGAGGAAGCUUGACCAGAUGAAGGAAUCUGAUGGUCAGGUUUUACUUGAUCAUCAGAGAUUUGUGGGUUUGUUCCAAAGGCAUUUAUUGCCUUCGUCUUCUGGGGCUGUACCGCGUAAUGAAGCUCCAAAUGAUCAACCUCUGAUGCCUCCUCCUUCUAGGGUUUCUGUCCAGUACUGAGGCUCCGAAUGAUCCCCCUCCGGUGCCUUCUCUUUCUGGGGCUCUACCGACUGCCGAGACUUCUCCUAAGCAACCUUUGUGAAGGCUCCCUCUUGUUUGUUUAUUUUGACUCAAGUAUAUGUACAUAUUUGUAAUUUAUCAAGAUAUCAAUAAAUAAGCUUUCCUUCAUUUCAACGUAUUGUGUUAAAUCACCAAAGCCUUCUUCGCUAAGUUCUUUGAAUUUUCUUUUGUUGAAGCUUGUAUGUUGGAGCUUUGUGAGUGGAGCAUGUAGGUUGAGGUAGUGUUCCCUUAAUUUCCCGAACGAGGACAACUUCUCGGUUGGAGACUUGGAAAAUCCAAGUCACUGAGUGGGAUCGGCUAUAUGAAUCUUAGAACGCCAUUGUGUUCUGUCCUGUGUCAUGUCCUCCGUUAGAUCCAAGUACUCUAAGUCUUUUCUUAGGGUCUCUCUCAAAGUUUUCCUGGGUCUUCCUCUACCCCUUAGGGUCUCACAUGACUAUGUUGACUGAUAAUAAUUGACUCAAGUGAAUGCCACAUCAUCUGCCAUGUCAUUCAUAUUUCUGUUGAAAGUUAGUUAGGAUGGUGCUGUGUAGCUUACACAGUAAGCAAGGUAGUUAGGCUACUAUAGGGAUAUAAAAAGCUGAUUGCAGCUUAUUGUUUGUAAGAAAAAUAUCAUUCUAUCAAUACAAAACCUUUCAUAUUCUUUCUAAGUUUUCUUCUAUAUUCUCUGUAUUGUUUCUUUCUUUUUCUUUCUGCAAGUCUGAUCUUCUUGGUUAAGAUAGGUAAUUAAAGACAGUCAUAUUGGUCUGUCCGGCACGUCCAAGGAGCUGAUUGCAGAUCGUAAUGGUGAACUCGUGAGGCAAAUACAAAAUCUCUACGGCAAGUUCGGACUUGUCAGCAAGAUUCCUCAGAACACACUACUUAUUGCCGUAAUACAAAACGAACUGCUAAAAUAUUACACGUAGAAAUAGUGGAAGAAGCUUCCAUUAACAACAAUGUUGUUAAUAAGAAAAGCCGAGAAGAGGAAGAAGAAGCACACACAGGACGAGUAAGUGGAGUGUGUAUUCGACAUUUGUGACUCGUGCAUAUGGAGGCACACUUGUUCCUGUUAUCUUGCUCUGUCAAGUUCUCUUCCAGGGGCUUGAAAUGGCAAGAAACUACUGGAUUGUUUGGGCGUCAAAGAAGGAAAAUGGAAUUACCAUAGAAGAGAUGAACUGGAUUUUCGCUUUGUAAUCGGGAGGGAGGGAGCUGUGUCUUCAUCUUGGUAAGGGCUGUUAUAACCUCAGCCGUCACCAUUGAAACUUCCCAGCGUCUCUUGCAUGGGUGAUGAGUUCAGUUUUCUGAGCACCUAUGGCGUUUUUUUUAUUCCACUCCUUCUAGUCGAAUCCUCAAUAGGGUAAGUAAGAUAUUCUCUAGUUCACAAGUUCAACGUUAGAUUUUGUUAAACUGUUUCAUUGAAUUAUAAAUCAAAUUCUAAGAGUACUACAAAACAUGGCUUUUCUCGUUGCUUACAUAAACUUAUGAAUAUUACAGUCUUCGACUGAUCAAAGCACAGUGGACAUGGAUAUUCCAUUCAGAUUAGCUGGAUUAGUAUUUGCACUCAUCCAGCUAAUAGGUUCCGUCAUCCUUAUGUCUGUAGUGGCCUGGCAAGUCUUCCUCCUUUUCCUUGUCGUCUUUGCGCUCUCCACGUGGUACAUGGUAAACAAGAAGAGAACCUUAGUUCGUUCCACACUUAAAAUUGCAAUGCAUAAUCUUGUUUCUUGAUAAAAAUUAAACGCAUAAGUACUGUGCUUUGCUUUUCCCCAGGUGUAUUGCAUUAGCACUGCCAGAGAAUUAUCCAGGAUGGUUACAAUUCAAAAGGCUCCAAUACUGCAUCAAUUUUCCGAAUCAAUCACGGGGGCUGCAACUAUUCGUUGUUUCAAUCAAGAACAAGAUCGCUUCAUGAAGAAAGUAAGAAGCGAUUUUUCAGGAGUAGCCUUUCACAAUUAUGUAACCACGAAAUGGUGCGAAUGAACUUUCUCUUCAACUUAGCCUUCUUCAUAGUCCUCAUCGUCUUGGUGACCUUGCCUGCAUCCGCCAUUUAUCCCAGUAAGCCCCCUUGUGUCCCCUAUGUUUUACUAAACCAAGAUUUAAGAGGAAAUGUUAUUAAUUCAUUCAAUCUGAUUGGGAUUAAUGCUUUUGAAUCUCAGGUUUGGCAAGAUUGGCUGCAUCUUAUUGGUUUAACCUCAUGGUCCUUCAGGCUUGGUUAUCUGGAAUCCAUGCAAUGUCGAAAACUCAAUGAUAUCAGUUGAGAGAAUUCUUGAAUUCAAAAGAAUACCAAGUGAGGCACCGCUUGUGAUUCAAGGUUCUAGGCCAAACACUGGUUGGCCAACUGAAGGAAAAGUCAAACUUCAGAACCUGCAAGUUCAGUAUCACCCAGCUCUCCAUAUGGUGAUCAAAGGGGUCACCUGCACCUUCCCGGGAAAUAUGAAAGUCGGUGUUGCGGGAAGGACAGGAAGUGGAAUGUCUACUUUGAUUCAAGCACUGUCCCGAAUAGUAGAACCCUCAGGAGGGAAGAUUCUCAUUGACAGAUUAGACAUUUCAAAAUUGGGUUGCAAGACUUAAGGUCAAGUUUGGGCAUAAUCCCGCAAGAUUCAACCUUAUUUCAAGGAACUGUGAGGACUAAUCUGGAUUCCCUGGAGCAGCAUUCGUGUCACAAAAUAAUUGGAAUCUCGCCGAGUAUGCUACAUAGCAAGCUUGACUUGCUAGAACCAACAGCACCGCAAACACUUGAAGUGGAAUAAGCCAAAAACUCCAUGAAUGGAAGUGAAGAGCUCCCCGAUUGCUUCUACGUCCAUGCUGAUUAAAUUUAUGAUAUUUCCAUUGCUUGGGCAGGCUAGAACUAAGAACCAAAACUAGUUCAUCAACUGUGUGGUCUUUUCAUUAACUUUUGCUCCUGAAUUUUGCCUAUUGGGAAGCGAUUGUUGUAAAAACUCGAGUUCAGAGUUAAGAUCAUAUUACGGCCUUUUAUCUAAUGUCGAUUAGUUGGGUAUCCCAAUCCAACUCUACUAUUAGUCUUAACUUCAUUGAUUUGUAUGUAAGUUCAGUGCAUAUUACUGCUAUGGUUUUGUUUCUUAGCCCACAAGCAAAGUAGGAAAUUAAUUUUAGACCUGAGUUGAAUAAUAUGAACUUUAUUGAGAAACAAAAUCAUACACACACCAACAACUUGGCAGCUCUCAGUACAUAGAAUUCGUCUCAUAAACCCUUUUACCAAACAAAUUUUGUGUCCUACGUUCUCCAAUCCCUGCAAGGUCUAUGAAUCGCAUCAUUCGAUUCACUUUGGAAUCUUUGGAUCUGAGAAGUAUUUGUUGAUAGAUGGCAUGAUCUGGGGGGCUCUGCUUCGGACAUAUUUCCGGAGUCCAUGUUCUGCGUAUCUCUCACCCUCUGCAUGGUUCUCUAGCACCCCUGCAAUUCUGUUCUGCUUGGUAACCCUGAAACAUACAUAACACAAGAUUAAUCAACACCAUCGAAUAAUUAUUUGUAAUCGUUUCUAUUUGUAUCAUGUAAUCGUUUCUAUUUGUGCAUACGGGCAAAUGGGUCUACGUACCUGACUUCAGGGUUGGUGGUGAUGUUCCUAACAAGCUGCAUGCCGCAAAUGCCAACAGCUAUACCAACUGCAGCAAAUAGGGGGAACACCUAUGCAUCCAGGCCAACAAAAAAUACAUUUCACAUAUAUGAGUGCCACAUUAAUUAGUUAGGGUUCUAAGAAACCAAUAUUCUGACCUUUAAGAAACAUAUAAGAAGUCGAGAAUGGAAAUAAUUCCAGUACCUCGGGCCUUAUCCAUCUGGAGGAGGAAGCCAUCGUAAAGCUGUUGAGAGAAACGAAGAAGAAGAGAAGAGAAGAUGAUUGAACAACUGUUCCCUUCUCUUUCUUGGAGGUGGCGUGAGAGACAAGGCAGAACUACCUGAGUUUUUUUUCACAACUAUGAGCUCUUUAUUUAUAGCACCCACUAAUUACCCAUUUUUAGUUUCCAAAGAAAAAGCACAGCCUUGACCUAUUUUUAUCCAAAUUCCGAUUAAUUCUAAUUUUUCGGUUCAAAGUUUGUGGCCUUCCCUGUUGAGGAACUAUUUGACUAAGUUUCUGUUUUGGUCCUCACACAAGUUAAUUGAGUCCCCCAUUUUGGCCCAAUGGGCCUAUGGAAGUUCUUUCGUACAUGUCUAUUCAAUAAAAAAAAAAAUUCGCAUGAGCUCGUUUUGAAGUAUUUUUAAAAUGACUGAUAGCAGUUUAACAGAAAAUAUUUUUGGGUUUUAAAAAGAGGUUGAAGUGCUUCUUACAAUAAGCAUCAGUUAUGUGCUUCUUGCAAGAAACACUUUAAGUGUUUUCCAUGAUUAACUUGCAAUGUAAGUAAGAAUUGAUUUUAAAAACAUUUUUAUGAAAGGUGCUUUCUGCCAUUUUGACCAGUUAUGUACUUCUUGCGGAUCGAUAAUGAUGAGAAUGAACUCUUGAGUAACAUUAUACGAUAGAAGUCUAACAAUUUGAUUCCUCGUUUUCUAUAUUACAUGAGCUAUUCAUACGUAUAAAAGAACUACAUCCGUUCUAACUAAUGAGACUAUACCCCAAGUGUGCCAUAAUAUUGUCAUAUUAUUGUCAGAACAAUGCUCAAGUACAAGUAGCACCGUAAUCCGGCCCAAAAUCGGAUUGUAUCCCCUUUCUAAAUUUUGGACUGGGUCGGAGCCCAAAACAACUAAAAAGACUACCUAGCCGAAGGUAUGAUGCAUCCAACAAAGAAGUCACUCGUCAUCACAUUAUCCGUCUUGACUGUUGGAAAUUUUGAAUAAAAAUUUCAUUGUCCCACAUUGGUAAUUUCCAAAAAUUUUCCUCACUUUAUAAGGUUUUGUCCUUUAUAGACAGUGAUUGGAGUGAUAAGUCUUGGAGACUAAAAUUGGGUUCACCCUUAAGGUUGGGCUUUGGGAUGUACUAAUUAAUUGAUAAUUAAUAAUUAAUAUAUAUAUAUAAUUAAUUUUUAAAAGAUGGGCCUUGAGCCUUGGGGUUCUGAAAAUUAAAUUCUUUAAUUAAUUAUUUUUAAUUAAUUUCAAAUUUAAUUAAAUUAGUAUUUAUUUGAACAGACUCAUUUUUUCAGAUGAAGUCUGAAAUAAAAAAAAACGUAGAGAGCACAACACCCCUCUGAAGAGAUGUCUUCCAACAAUCACAUCUCAUUCUCAUACAUGUUGUGAACAUGCAUAAUCACACUAUAUAUACAUCCAUCUGCAUGGUAUAUAGAACACCGAAAAUAUCAAAUUCUUCUUCUACAUGCCUAAACCUUCUUACUGAGAGAGACACAUAGAAAUUCGCUAGAAGUUGAGUUUUCCGGUGCUGGAAUUCUAACUUGAUCGUUGAAUCCUAGUGAAGCAGACGUCCGUAGAACUACAAGCACUGAGUAGGGACGAAAUUUCUGCUUCAAGGACAUUGCAGUAUAGAAGCCUCGAUCUUCAAGUUGUAUGUUUUAUAUUUUUGUUUUGUUCAUACUCUGUUAAUUUUUCUAUCCGCAUUUAUUGUUUAUUAACAUAUAUAAUUAUAUCACAUAUUGUUGACUUAUAUCCAAUAUUGACCACAAAUCGAGACCCACCUUCAUGUUCAUUGUUGUCAUUUCUUUAUCUUGGACUACGUCUUUCGGUUUCAUUGAGUUUCCAGCUCUCGUAUGCUAUUGAGUCCCUUUAUUAUAUAGAACAACACUCGUGCCAUAGAUUCAUAAUCCAAGUCGUUGAGAAUUUUGCUAUCAAAUUAGGGUUUAUCUAUCCCUCAAUCCGUUCAAACAUCAUGAGCUGGGCAACUGGAGGUAACUAUAAGCACGAUGUGGUCAAUUAAGAACAAAGCAGACUAAAUUUAUAUAACUUGAGAAAAGUACAAAGCAAACUAUCAAGGUCCAACAUUUCCAGCCAACUCUGUGUUAUAUUCCUAUUGUUUUUCUCGCUUUCUCUCUUGCUCCGUCGGCUGCAAAUUUUAAUACAAAUUCUGGCAUCUGCCUUUGACUUUAUUCAAUUGUUCCCUUCCCAGCUUCCUUCAAAUAGUUCAUCGAUCAUUGGGCAAUACAUAAUAUUCUUAGUUUUUUUAUUUUUCUGGCAUAGAACUUAGCAGAUCUCAACAAGGUUUUAAACAAAGCCACUGACAAGAUUGGAUCACUGUCUUGUCCCUGUUCUAUGUCAUGCACGUCUGAUAUAAUUUGUAACAAAUUGAUUGAUUAUUUUUUAGCAUGAUUAAGUUUUGGAUCGCUUGUAUAGGGGCUAAGAGUGUUUUUCGACAAUCAAAAGUGUUUUUAACUAAAAUAAAUAUUAUUUAGAGAAGCCAUAUUAUGUUUAUCUUUACUAAUUAAUGAAACUAUCUUUGUCAACAUAAAGAGGAUGAAAAAACAACUUAGUAUUCUAUCACAUAAAAAUAUGAUGGGCAAUAAUGUAAUUUCACAAGUCCAAAUUUUACUAUUUUUUAUUAAAGUCUCAUUUACAUGUGAUGUUAAACUACCCCAAUAUUAAAAAAUAAAAAAAAUUUAAAAUUUAAAAAACCAAAAACAAAAACCUCCCACUCCCUUUCUCUCCUCAUUUUCUAAAAAAAUGUGUUCAUACACACAAAGUGUGUAGGCAAAUGCCAGUAUUUAUGAAGAACUUUCAAAUGUUUUUCUAGAAGUACUUGCAUUUAAAAAAAAAAUUAACUUUUAACAAAAGGAGUUAUGAACAUAUUAGGAUUGCAAAAAUAGUCACAAACGAGCUCUGAGUGUGUUCAAUUUUGUAACAAAUUCAUUGAGUUUUUUUUUUAGCAUGAUUAAGUUUUGGAUUGCUUGUAUAAGAGUAUUUUUUGACAAUCAAAAGUAAUUUUAACUAUAAUAAGGAAGAACAAUCUUAAAACUGACUUCUACGUUGGAUAAGUAUUCUUUGGAGAAGUCACAUUACAUCUAUGCUUAUGAAGAACUUCCAAAUGCUUUUUCAGAAACACUCGAUUUUUUUUAUUCAACUUUUUAGCAAAACACAAUUAUUAGCAUAUUGAGUUUGCAAAAAUAGUCACAAUCGAGCUCUAAGUGUGUGUUGAGUUAGAGUAGGGUAAUGUUUUUAUGUUAAUUAAUGUUUAAAAUAGAUUUAUUUUUUUAUUUUUUAUUUUUACAAUUGAUAAGGUAAUCUACACCAGGUCUAGAAAUUCUUAAUAGAGUCUCGAAUACAAAAACAAAUAUGCUUAACAAACUAAACUACAAGUUACUUACUGAUUAAUUACUUAGCCUUUACUCUUGAGUCUCUCAUUUCAUUUCAUGGUUGACUUUUGUUAUUGAAAAUGCUUACCUAACAAUCGGUCGUCAAUCGACGCCUCUACCUGGUUGUUGGUGAUGUUGCAUGCACGCCUAGCUAUAUAUUUAGGUAUUUUAUUUUCUCUGUUGGAAGACAUUGAAUUUGAGACUUAUUAUUAUUUUUAGCAAGAAUAAUUUGAUAGCACGAUUGUGGCAAAGCAUUGCCCAUGCAGGAGGAAUGAUGUCAAACUUUUACCCACCAAAUUUUUUAAAAUUUAUAAAAGUCCGAAUAUAUGGGUUGAAGUCCAAAUCCACUUCAUAUAAACGUACUAUAAUCACCAGAGUAAUCCAUCACUUGCUCGUAAAUUUUUUAUUACCUUUUUUUUCUUUCCAAUUUAUCAUUUAGAAUAAUACUUAUUUUCUAGUGGAUAGAGUAUUUCGUUUCCCCUCAUCCAUCCCGAGUUUAGAAUUCUUUUCUUCCCUUAAUUAUUGUAAUAGUAAAUUAAAAUUAAGAUAUGUUUAGUCAACCUGAAGUAUAAAAUAAAUCAACGAUUAUGAUAAAAAUUAACACUAUCAUGAUGAUUCAAUUAUUGAGUCAUCAUCAUUUUUCUGAUAGAGACGAACAUUAAAAUUGAGUCGUGAGUAAGAAAAUAAACAAUUAUGGUUAUGAUAUUGGGACAAUCAAAAUACGUAUUGUCUCGUAUAUAAAUUAUUCCAACUUUGGAAUGGAUGUUUGCGCAUACCGUAUAUAAGACCAGUAGUUAUUUGAUAAAGUUUAAAGGUCAAUUCGCAAUGGUUGUGGCUUUUUAAGAAUUAAUGUGUGGGCAGAGUGAGUUGAUGCAUCAUCAUCCAUGGGUAAGGCAUGACAACAACAAUCUUUCAAAAUUCUCUUGUGGUGUUUGCUUUGCAGCAGAAUUGUGCCUUUUAGAGUGUGUUCCAAGUUCCAACUUCGACAUCAACUUCGAUAAAGCUACCAUGGGUGGUUCAGUGGUUGAGACGAAUUUCAUAUUUAUAUUCCACAUAACACAUCAUGAGUUCAAUUCUUGGUGCUCGUGGAUUACACGAUGAUGGUCAUGAAAAGACUAAACUGCUUAUGCAAGUCUUCUUAACCUUCGAAAAAGUAGACUAUUGUAGCGAAUCCUCCCGCUAGUAGCUUUUCUUAAAAAAAAAACAAAAAAAAAACCAUCAACUUUGAUAGCAUUGUUAAAUCAAUUUCAAAAGGUGUUAUAUUCGUUAUUAUUUAAUUGGUUACUUGCUUUAUUUGAUUUGUUAAUUGCUCGAGGAAAAUUUGUUUUUGCUACAUCUAAUCAAAUAGUUUAAUAUUUGCCAAGUUGUCAUAAAAAAACAUUAUUGUUUGGGUAGUGUUAUCAAUAGACACAUUUUACUUCUUACAUACCUUAUUAAUUUUAGACCGUUAAAUCGAAUAAACAGAAAAAGAUGCCACAUCAAAGGUGAUCUAUACAAUUCCGAUCGCGCUCCAAUUGACAACGGGCUGGUUUGGUAUUACUGUACUUUGAAAAAAAAUUGAUUCUGAUGUGCUGUGAGAAUAAACUCAUUUUGCUGCUUCGCGUUUUUUAGUUUUUUUUCAUUCAAAAUUAUGAAAAUAAGCUGUUUUUAAGUAUUUACCAAACAUAUUUUUGAACUCAACUUUUUUUUAUACCUAUUUUUUAUAAAAGCACCUCAGUACCUCAGUACCAAACCAGUACUAUACACAAGAAAGAAACAACUUCAAUGCUUAGGUUUGAAGCCCUUCUGAAAUAUGCAAAUAGUAGUUGAACCACCACAAAUUUAGUGGGCUCCAUUGCAAACUUGUAGACAAAUAAAAGUUUGGUGUCCAUUGUUACGAAAUUAGCCCACUUAACAACUACUAAAGAAAAACCACACAAAUUCAAUCACUCCACGUAUAAUAAGGUUCAAAAGUACUUUUAAAAUAAAUGAAAAUAUUUUUUGUAAAAGAGAUUUUGAAAUCAAUUUUUAGUAAAAAUUUAAGUGGUUUUUGGAAAAAUAUUUAAAAUACUUUAUGCAAGAAACACAAUAUAGUGCUUCUUCCAAAAACACUUGAAGUUUUUUUGGAACCCAAAAAUAAUUUCACUAAAAACAUUUUGAAUCAUUUUAAAUAUAUUUUCAAAUAAGCUCAUAGACAAGCGUUUGUUCGAGAUGCGAACAAAAUGCAUUAGAAGGUUGAGAUUAAGUAAAUUUAAAGGCAAUUACUUAAAGUGACAUGUGAACAUCAUCUUCCUCGCAAUAAAACCGUAAAAAAAAAGUUGGAAAAACCAUAGAACUAUCUAGAAGCUCAAGCUCACAUGAGCUCAUUCUCACGCCACUCUUUCCAAUUCGACUUUUCACUUAUCAAGCCCAAUUCAAUUUCGCCACGUCAUCUUCCACACCGCAUCUUCGUCCGCAUAUUCCAAAAAAAAAAACAAAAGCGCCGACCCCACUCUCACGCGCGCAACGUGCACCCGGACCACCUUGCUCACCACGCACUUCCCAUGAAUGCGAAAUCUCGAAAGCGGAUUCUGCGCGUGACCCAACGGCGGGAGAGCGGAAAUCCAGCGGCUAAUAGUAAAUCAGCGGCUAAUACAAAGCCCUAAACGUAAUCAACGGCUGCAAAGCGACUUUCUUUUUGUCAAAUAAAAACCGCUGCACGAGAUCAGGACUACCCACCGGUUAUACGAGAAAUUUUUAGUUGUGACGAGAAUACAGAUAGUACAUUACGUGUUUUUACGUAACUAGUAGAAAAUUUUAAUUUUUAAAUUAUUAACUUUUUAAUAUACAUAACCUAUUAUUUAUAUAAAGACACGUAAGGUAGCAUCUCGUGCAAAUGUGAUAUUGAAAUAUGUCUCCGGAUUUACCCUUCGCCGCUAUAUAUACUCUCUCGUAACUCACUCUCUUUCACACUACCUUCUAAAACCCUCGAUCAGCUUUCUUAUCUGCCUCUCUCUCUAGACUAUACUUUCUCUCUCUACAAUCAUCAUGGGUAUUGAUCUAUUGAUCUCGAUUCUCAAUUAUUGAUUUCGAUUUCGCCAUUUUUGUUUCAGAUCUUGUGUUUUUUUGUUUGUUGAUUUUUCUGUAAUUUUUGUGUGAUUUUCUGACCAUUUGUUUGUUGUCCUUGUUUGUAUCGAUCAGCAACAUCUGGCAAGAAGAUCAAGAUCGGAAUCAACGGUGAUGAUCAGAUCCAUCGCUCCUUGAGUUUUGAUUUUUGGUAUGUUCAUUUGUGAUUUGAUCUGUGAAUUGAUUGAGAUUUGAAUUGAAAUGGUUUAGGAUUCGGAAGAAUCGGACGAUUGGUUGCUAGGGUCGCUCUUCAGAGGGAUGAUGUUGAACUUGUUGCUGUCAACGAUCCCUUCAUCACCACGGACUACAUGGUGAGUUAUUUACUUGAAGUUUUGUGUUAUUUUGUAGGGUUUUCAGAUUUAGGGUUUUGGGUUUUCGAUUUCGGAUUUGAUUAGUGAUUUGUGUGAUUGUUUUUGUGUUUAGACCUACAUGUUCAAGUACGACACAGUCCAUGGUCCAUGGAAGCACCAUGAGCUCAAGGUCAAGGACUCCAAGACCCUUCUCUUCGGUGAGAAGCCCGUCACCGUUUUCGGGAUCAGGUACAAUUUGUUUCUUACUCUCAGUUAUUGAACUUAGCAUAGAACCCACUUUGUUGUUUCUGGUGCUAUGUUUGAUUUGUUUCAUAGAUUUCAAUGCUUAAUUGCUCGAUCUCUUACAG